This 151914-nucleotide long non-coding RNA is filed under the name Citrus x clementina. RNAcentral describes it as "Citrus clementina (C. clementina) long non-coding RNA (CCLE_LNC002911)". The record is from RNAcentral. Lineage: Eukaryota; Viridiplantae; Streptophyta; Magnoliopsida; Sapindales; Rutaceae.
AGGGCGUUUAGAUGUGGAAAAACCUUACUCCUGCCGCAACACCUCAAACAGAUUGUGAUCAGACAAGACUUAGUUCAUCAUUAGUAGUAGUUGGAGCUUCCAUUUGUUCUAGAGAUUUAAAGGCAGCAAGCUGCUUCCUCAGUGCUACUAAUUCUUCCCCGGCAAUGCAUGUGUAGCCUGAGGCUUGUCUACCAGACAAAGUUGCUCCUUCCAUACUAUCUAUGUAAUCCAGUGAGAGUGAAACCAUUUAGAAGACGUAUCUCUUUCUUUCCAAUAUUUAGAAUGAAACAAUUAUAUAUACAGUUACCUGUUUUGUAUAUGAGCCGGCGAGGAAGAAGUUCUUCACUGGUGUCUUUUGAUCACGUCUGACGGGGUCUUUACCAGGUCCCUCACCGCACAAAGAUUGCCCAAUUUUGACGAAAGAUGACCAAAUAACUUCUAAACCUUGGGAUGAUGGAAAUAGAGCUAAAACCUAAUAAAAGGAACCGUGAAUGGAUAGUAUGGACUCAUGUAUAUUAUCCAGAAAGUUGCAUGACCUUUUGUGGUACUCAGGUCACUAAAAAAUGUGAGAUAAACAUCUAGGAUAAGAAAAGCAAAAAAGCAUAACCUAAUACGUAUUAUAUGAAUUGAAGGUGUCACUGAACGCUACCAACCUGUUUUGCCACUCUCCUUAUGAUUUCAUCAUUUGGUAAGGGCAUAUAAGGAUCUCCAGGCGUCAAAACGCAUCUGAAAUAUAAUAUGGCUAUAGUAAGCAACACGGAAUACAAAGACACUUAGCAAAAGGAAGUCAAUCAGAUUCCAUGCACAAAAAAUAACUAAUAAUGACGAGGAUAAGAAAUUUUUCUUACUGGAGCAAUGAACCUUGCCCUUCUCUGUAGUAGUCUUCUGGUGAAGUGAGUGCUAGAUCUGCAAAGCAAGAGAAAUCUGCAUCUGGAGUAUAUGAAAUGUUAUCUAACCCCAUAGCUUGCCUCAAUUGUCUAUGUUGAUGCGAGAUUCCGGUUCUCCUCGUUCUACGACCAGGAUCUCUGCUCGAUCAACUUCGUCACGACCAGGAGGUCUCCUCGCUAGGCUUCUUCUCCAGAGGUUCCUGCGUACACAGACAAGUCAGAGUACGCCGGUUGUUUUCCCGGCGCAAACCCUCCGACGCUCAAGUCAGAUAUGAAGGUUCGGGGAAUGCUUGCCACAGAUCUUAUGGCUUUUUUGUGGUUUUCUCUUCUUUUUUAUUUCUUUUCUAAUCUCAAAAAUGCCAACCCUUUUACCUCGUUGGCUACCUUUUUAUAGGCUUCGAAUCCCAGUUUUCCACUUUUUUCGAGACGGUAUGGGACUCUGACUCCUGCGUUAUGGGCAAACGUGGGAUCUUGCGUGUUACGCCACGGUUCUGGGGAAAGCGUGGCUGUCGUGGUUCUGUGAGAUCUUGCGUGUUACGCCACGGUUCCGGGGAAAGCGUGGCUGUCGUGGUUCUGUGAGAUCUUGCGUGUUACGCCAUGGUUCUGGGGAAAGCGUGGCUGUCGUGCCUAGAUUCUCGGGCUGGAGAUCAUGUCUUGCCAACUGCCGUCGACCGGGUCUCCUCGCCUCUCGACCUCUAGCCGGAAUGAUCUUAUGCCUCUUACAGGAAAUUGGCCUCGCGGAUGACGUGCUCGUGGACGAGCAGGAUAUUUCUGCUCCUGUUCCCCCGCGCAUCAGGCUUUUACGGAACACACCGGCUCGCAGAACUCUGCCACCAGAUAUCUGCUCACCAUGCCUGGUCUCGUCGACGUAUUUCUCCCAAACACCGGUCCCCCAGUUUCUGGUGUUGGGUAAUGUAGUGGACCAGCAGUAGAAACUCGAUAGUACUCGCUCGCGUGGGAUUGGAAAAGGCUGCCAAGAGUCAUGUCGCAUUUAAUUGCGGACGAGGUGACGUGGCAGAAAUCCCCCCCCUCCAUUUGAAUUUCAAACCGACGGUUAUGAGGCCCUCGGGAUUCGGCGCUGUUAAAUGCUGGCAACCCAAGAGUCCGUCCUCAUUAGGAAAACCAAAUCCUCUCGAACGGCAUAUUCAUCAUCCACUCCGUCUCCGUCUCUGUCUCUCCGGCAAAGAAGUUCCGGCAUAAAAGUCCUCCAUCUCUGAUUUUCACCGACUGAACCAUUACUUCAGGUAUUUCUUCUAUCUCCUUGGUCUCGGAUAGUUGUAGAUAAUUUCUCUUCUCUUCUGUUUGGGUAGUAGUUGGUGGUGUUGUGGUUAGAGCUUAGGGAAUGUCGAAAGGCAAAGAGAAGGUCAUUGAGGUCGAUGACGACGAGUUGGACUUCCUGCCUAGUCUGCUCACCGAUCCUGCUUUUGACCCUGGGAUUCCCUUAGAACCCAUUAGGUCUAGUGUCGGGACUAGUGCUAGGAGGAUGUCUCCCCAAACAACCUCUACGAGCAGAAGUAAUGGUGAGGAGAGAUCUUCUGGCUCUGAGGAUACGUUGAGUGAGAAUGGCGAAGGUGACUCUGGUGAGGUGUCUCCAUCUGGAACAUCACGACCAGAAGAACGGGGUACAGUAGGAGGCAGGGCCUUGUCGCGCGAUUAUGCCAUUGAUUACAUGACGUGCACGACCUCGUUUGACGAGCUCAAUGACCUCCGGCUUAGGUAUAGCAUUCCUGGUGAGAUACCUCUCAAGGUCCCAGGAAAGAAGGAUGCUCCCAGCCGGCCUCCUAGGGGAUAUGUUACCCUGUAUCUGGACAGCUUUAAGUACGGACUGAGGUGUCCCUUGCAACCUUACUUUGCCCGGAUACUUAACGGGCUAAAUCUAGCUCCUGGUCAGCUGAAUCCCAAUGGGUGGAGAGUGCUCUCUGGUCUGUUCAUAUUGUGGGACAGAUGUUGCCAAAGCGAGCCCACGGUUGAUGAGGUGAAGCACCUGUACCAGCUAAAGAGCAGCCCCAAAGAUGCCGGCUGGUACUACUUCCAGUCUAGCACCAAGAGCAGGAAACCUAUAACCGACCUCCCUACUGGUGGUGGUGGGAAUUGGAAGAGAAAGUUCUUUUUUGCUGGGGGUCCUUGGGGUCAGGUUGCACAAAUGGACGGGAAGGAUUAUCGGGUCCCACCCCGUUUCACGGUCCCGGGUUGCCUGCUCGCUUUAGAUGUCUUGUAUCCAUAAUUGUUCUUGCUUUAUUGGCUUGUCUCUAACCAAGAGUCUGUUUGUGUUGUAGUUUCUUGGGGUGUUCACUUCCCGCUCCCACCUGACCAGCUCAAACGGGUCGAGGCUGUGCUCGCCAAUUCCUGCUCGAGCCGAGAACUGCUAACUAUAUACAACUUGCUCGAGUCUCGCUUGGUACUUCCUGGCCAUAGGAUGGAGGACGCUGUGAUUGGGGCUCUGACCCGAAAACGUUCUCGACCUCCAACCACGAAGAGGGACCAGAGUAAGGAUGCCCCUACUGCAAAGCGGGUCAACAUCGUGCAGCAAGUCUCACCCCUGAAGACUUUGCCUCCUGCUCCUGUAAAAGUCGGGGAAGCUAGUGGGGCAGCCACAGAUCAUGCUUCCUCUUCUCCUCCUGUCGGGCUCGAUCUCGUUUACCUGACAGCCGAGCAGAACACCUGGUCCUCUACCUCAAUGAGUUGUCUAAACUCGUGAGCAAGAAAGACCUGGAGGACUUCGACGGCUGCACCUUGGGUGAGUUGGUGGGGGCCAUGCAGCAUAGCGCUUUCCACCUCAGCUGCAUGACCACUUAUUACAAGGCUAAGGUUGGUCGCUACGACCGGAAAAUGAAGGGGGAUAUUCAAUCGGCGACGACCAGAGCUGACGUUGCCGAGAAGAAAGCAGGGGAGCUGAAUCUCGAGAAUCUGAAGCUGAUAGAGCAAGAAUCACUUGCUCAAGCAAAGACUAUUACCCUCGAGGAGGAGCUUACCAAGGUCAAGGAGGAUCUGCAAAGGCAGAAGGCUAUGUAUGAGGCCCAGCUCGAAUCUCUCCGCGACUCCAACCGAGCUCAGGUCGAGAACUGGGAGAGGGAGGCCGAGAAUCAGUAUGACCAGGGACUUCGGCAUUCUUAUCGUUGCAUCAUGGCCGUCAUCGGGAAGCAACACCCUGAUCUGAAGAUGGAUGACCUUGCAGCUGGUGUUGCCCAACAUAUGGACGAGGAGGCGGCCAAGGAAGAUGCUGAAGGGGUAGAGCCGGUCGUGAUCGAGGAGGAAAGUUCUCCCCCUCGUGCAGUCCCUGCUGAUGUUGGUGAGGCGAGCACCCCUCCGGACGCAACUGGUGAUACCCCCCCCGCACCUGAGGAGGUCCAGCCAACCGAUGCUGCUCGGCUUACUGAUUUACCAUCUUUUUGAUAUAUUUCUUUUUGUAUUGUAAUGAACAACGUUUAUGAAAUUUAUCCCCUCUGUUAGCCAUUAACACAUUAAUAAAAAUGUUUUUUGAUUACUUUCUCGUCUUGUAAUCAUCACUUAUUUUCCGUUUGGGAAUCUGCUCGUCUCGUCUGGUCGAGGAGGUUCUGGUUUGGCAUAUGGUUUUGCAACAUGCCUUAGAAAUUUUUUUUUUUUUUUUUUUUUGCUUGGGGAUUCUGCUUGCCUUCGCGUGGUCGAGCAGGUCCUGGCACGCUUGGCUUCAGUCUCGCCAUAAACAGGCUUUGAGACUUGGUGAGGCCUUUGCAUGCCUUAGAAAACUUUUUCGAUGCUUGGGGAUUCUGCUCGACUUCGCUCGGUCGAGCAGAUCCUGGCAUGCUUGGCUUCUGUCUCGCCAUAAGACAGGCUUUGAGACUUUGUCGAGCCUUCGCAUGCCUUAGGAAUUUCUUCAAAGCUUGGGAUUCUGCUGCCUUCUCGUGGCCGAGCAGACCCUGGCAUGCUUGGCUUCUGUCUCGCCGUAAGACAGGCUUUGAGACUUUGUCGAGCCUUCGCAUGCCUUAGGAAUUUCUUCAAAGCUUGGGAUUCUGCUGCCUUCUCGUGGCCGAGCAGAUCCUGGCAUGCUUGGCUUCUGUCUCGCCAUAAGACAGGCUUUGAGACUUUGUCGAGCCUUCGCAUGCCUUAGGAAUUUCUUCAAAGCUUGGGAUUCUGCUGCCUUCUCGUGGCCGAGCAGAUCCUGGCAUGCUUGGCUUCUAUCUCGCCAUAAGAUAGGCUUUGAGACUUUGUCGAGCCUUCGCAUGCCUUAGGAAUUUCUUCAAAGCUUGGGAUUCUGCUGCCUUCUCGUGGCCGAGCAGAUCCUGGCAUGCUUGGCUUCUGUCUCGCCAUAAGACAGGCUUUGAGACUUUGUCGAGCCUUCGCAUGCCUUAGGAAUUUCUUCAAAGCUUGGGAUUCUGCUGCCUUCUCGUGGCCGAGCAGACCCUGGCAUGCUUGGCUUCUGUCUCGCCGUAAGACAAGCUUUGAGACUUUGUCGAGCCUUCGCAUGCCUUAGGAAUUUCUUCAAAGCUUGGGAUUCUGCUGCCUUCUCGUGGCCGAGCAGAUCCUGGCAUGCUUGGCUUCUGUCUCGCCAUAAGACAGGCUUUGAGACUUUGUCGAGCCUUUGCAUGCCUUGGAAACUUUCUCGGUUUCAAGCGAAAGAAAUUCUUCGACGUUGCAUUAAUGGCAGGAUUCGACUUACAUGAAAUUGUUUGGACAUAAAACGUGAAAGAUAAAUGAUAAUGAACAUGAGCAAAAACAGCUUUCAAAUGCGAACAAGUCUUACUGGAAGUAUUUUCGGAGGUGUGCUGCGUUCCAUGGGCGUUUCACCUCGUGGCCGUCCGUGCGAACCAGCUUGUAAGCUCCGGGUCCCGCUAUCUGCUUGACUCUAUAUGGCCCUUCCCAGUUCGGUCCCAGCACUCCUUGAGUCGAAUCUCUGGUGCUCUGAUUCACUCUUCUUAGUACCCAGUCUCCGACCCUGAAUUACCGUAUGUUCACCUUCUGGUUGUAAUACCGAGUAACCCUCUGUUGGUAAACGACUGAUCGCUCGGCUGCUUGCUCCCUUCUUUCCGUUAGCAGAUCAAGAUUCAAACAUAUCUGCUCGUCAUUCUCCUGCUCAUUGAAAUGAUCUGUCCGGUGUGUGGUCGUUCCUAUCUCAGCCGGCACGACCGCUUCAUGUCCGAAAGCCAAAGCGAACGGUGUCUCCCCAGUUGCGGUUUUGUGGGUUGUUCUGUAUGCCCAUAGCACACCUGACAGCUCGUCAACCCACGCACCCUUUUUUGCUCCAAGCCUGGUUUUCAAAAGCCUCUUGAUGGUCUUGUUGGCUGCUUCUACUUGUCCAUUCGAUUGAGGGUGAGCAGGCGAGCAAUACUUCAGCUCUAUCCCGAGGUUCUGGCAGAAAUCCCUGAAGCUGUGAUUAUCGAACUGCCUGCCAUUAUCCGUUACCAAGGCAUACGGGAUCCCGUAUCGACAGACCAGGUUUCUCCACACGAAGUCUGUUGUUUUCUUCUCAGUGAUCCUGCUAAGGGCUUCUACCUCUAUCCACUUCGUGAAGUAAUCUAUAGCAACUAUUGCAUGUGUUGCUGCUCCUCGUCCCUUUGGCAAUGGGCCGAUCAGAUCAAUUCCCCAUUGAGCAAAUGGCCAAGGGGAGGCCAUGGAGGUGAGCUUCUCUGGUGGUUGGUUAGAGAAAUUUGCAAAACUUUGGCAGCUUACACAACUCCUGGUCUUCUCUUGCGCAUCCUGGUGCAUUGUCGGCCAGAAAUAUCCCUGCCUUAGAACCUUGUGGGCCAGGGACCUCCCGCCAGAAUGAUUUCCGCAAAUUCCUUCAUGUACUUCUCUCAGUACGUAAUCCGCGUCGUCCUCAUCCAAACACCGAAGGAAAGGUAGUGUAUAUCCUCGCCGAUACAGUACCCCAUCAAUCAUCGUGUAUCUCGAGGCCUGGGCUCUAAUCUUGCGAGCUCGCAGCUUAUUUGGUGGUAAUACCCCGUCUCUAAGGUAUGAAACUAUCGGGUCCCUCCACGAGCAUUUUUGUUCUAUCCGCAACACCCCCAAAUUCUGAUCGAUACUUGGGCUGGACUUCACCUCCAGAGGGACCGACUUUGGCAUUUUUGGGUCGGCUACUGCUGCCAUCCUCGCCAAAAUGUCUGCUCGAGUAUUCUGCUCCCUGGGGAUUUGUAUCACCUCCACUGCCUCGAACUUCCCCAUCAGCUGCCUGACUAUCUUCAGGUACUGCUCCAUCUUCUCCUCUCUUGGUUGGAAUCUUUCACUGACAUGAUUCGCAACCAGCUGGGAAUCAGUUCUGAUCUUAACUCUGUCUGCUUUCACGGCCUUAGCCAAUUCCAGACCUGCUAUCAAGGCUUCAUACUCUGCCUGGUUAUUUGUGGCUGCAAAUUCCAACUUUACAGCAUAAGAGAUCUCCUCCCCCUCUAGACCUUCCAAGACAAUCCCUGCUCCUGAACCCCGCUCCCCUGAUGACCAAUCCACAGACAUCUGCCAUACUUGAGUUUCGUCAUUGCCUAUAACUGCAUCUUGUUGAUCUAAGCAUACUUCGGGCUCUGUGAAUUCAGCUACGAAAUCGGCCAUUGCCUGGGCUUUUAUCGCUGCGCGGGGUUUAUAGUCUAUGUCGAACUCGCUCAGCUCUACAGCCCACUUGACGAGCCGACCAGAGGCAUCUGGCUUGUGAAGAGUUUGACGCAAUGGCUGGUUUGUUAUUACCGAGACCGGGAAUGCUUGAAAAUAUGGCCUCAACUUCCGAGCAGCAACCACAAGGGCAAGUGCCCAUUUCUCCAACGGUGGGUAUCUGGUCUCAGCGUCGAGCAGGGCCUUGCUGGUGUAGUAUAUCGGAUAUUGAACUCCUUCUUCCUCUCUCACCAGAACAGAACUGGCGGCCCGAUCCGAUACCGCCAAAUACAGAUACAACUUGUCCCCAUCCCUCGGUGUGGACAGCAGCGGAGCUUGCUGCAAGUAUUGCUUCAAGUUCCGGAAGGCUUCCUCGCAUUCUGGGGUCCAUUCUGUUUUCUUCCCCCUCCUUAUCACUUGAAAGAAUGGCUGACACUUAUCUGUAGCCUUGGAUAUGAAUCUGCUCAACGCCGCCAACCUCCCCGUGAGGCUAUGCAUCUCCUUCAGGUUACGAGGAGACGUCAUCUGCACAAUCGCCUGGAUUUUCUCGGGAUUUGCUUCAAUCCCCCUAUGGCUCACCAUGAAUCCAAGGAAUUUCCCUGACUCGACCCCGAAAGCACACUUCUCCGGGUUGAGCUUCAUCUUAUACUUCCUCAAAAGCUCGAAUGUCUCCUCGAGGUGUCCGACAUGUUCCUUUGGGAUUUUGGACUUGGUGAUCAUGUCAUCCACGUACACCUCCAUGGUUUUCCCAAUCAACGGCUUAAAGACUUUGUUCACCAGCCUUUGAUAGGUGGCCCCAGCAUUUUUGAGACCGAAUGGCAUUACCCUGUAACAGAACAAACCUUGGUUAGUGAUGAAAGCCGUGCUCUCCUCAUCCUGCUCGUACAUGGGGAUCUGGUUGUAUCCCGAGAACGCGUCCAUGAAGCUGAGCAGACCAUGUCCAGCCGUUGAAUCUACUAGUUGAUCGAUCUUUGGUAAAGGGAAGCUGUCUUUUGGGCACGCCUUAUUGAGGUCUGUGAAAUCCACACACAUCCUCCACUUGCCGUUUGCCUUCUUUACCAACACCACAUUCGAUAUCCACUCAGGGUAACUGACUUCCCGAAUAAACCCUGCUCUCAAGAGCUUCUCCACCUCGCCAUUUAUAGCCUCAUACCUCUCCUGGUUGAAGCACCUCCUCUUCUGCCUUACUGCCCGAGCACCUUUCUUUAUUGCCAGCUUAUGACAUGCUACCUCAGGGUCAAUCCCUGGCAUGUCUUCAUGUGUCCAAGCAAACACAUCAGCAUGAGCCUGUAAGCAUUUCACCAACUCCUGCUUUUGCUCUCCCUUAAGUCUCGACCCGAUUCUGAUCGUCUUUCCCGGGUUCUCUGGUCCCAGGCUUACUGUUUCCAGAUCCUCUACAGGUUCUUGUCUGCCAUUCUUGUUUUCCACUCGGGUAUCGAGGGAUGUUAUCUGCAUUGCUUCCCUUGCUGCCGAGGAGUAGCAGCUUCUUGCAAUCCUCUGGUCUCCUCGUACCACACCUACUACCUCAUUCACCCGGUACUUCAGAGCCAGAUAAUGGUUGGACAACACCGCUUUGCUCAUCCUUAAAAAUGGCCGACCUAGGAUCAUCUGGUAAGGACCUUCCUCAUCCACUACGACAAAGUCCAGUAUCAUUGUUCUUUCUGUCGGGGAGCUCCCAAUUGUGAUAGGCAGCUCGACCACGCCCAGAGGGACCAGCUUCCCUCCUCCGAACCCCUUCAAGGAGGUAUUGGUGUAUUCCAACUUCCGGUCGGCUAUUCCCAUCUCUUCCAGGGUUGACUUAAAUAACACAUCAACUGAGCUCCCUGUAUCAAUCAGUAUCCGGUCAAACUUCUUGCUAGCGACAGUAGCCUUGAUGACUAAAGCAUCCUCGUGGGGGUAUAGAAUCCCUUCCUCAUCCUCAUCCGUCCACAUGAUUGGCACUUGCCCGACCCUUGCUCGUUUGGCUGCUGGGGUGUUGAAGAGUACCUCUUUACUGGUCAUGGCGUAUCUAGCAUAAUUUUUUCUCGAUCUGUUGGAAUCUCCGGCCAAUGUUGGGCCCCCAGCUAUCACCCUUACUGCGGGUUGCUCGCGCCUCAAGUUUCUACCACUCUGCUCCCCUUCAUCUGUUGUGGCCACCAUCGGGAAAGUCCCAUCCAUAAACUCGUCCAGGUACCGAUUUCUCACAAAAUCUUCGACCUGGGUCUUGAGAUCUCUACACUCUGCUGUGGUAUGGCCAUGGGUGCCAUGGAACUUACAAUAACGUCCUCUAUCCCUCCUGUUGGGUAGCUUUGUUAUUGGUGUAGGGAGGUGCAGCAGCCCUCGAUCCUUUAUGGCCUCGUACACCUCAUCCAGGGACAUCUUCAAGGAAGUGUACCGCCCAUAGUCCUGGUUCUGGUCGAUCAGGUGCACUGCUCUUUCUCUGUUCUGCUCGUUCUGCUACUGUGGGAAUGUUGAUGAAGACCACCAGAUGCCGAAUCAUGCAUUCUCCAAGGCUCCCUAGCUGGGGAACGAGGAGGUUGCGCCCCGCUGCGCUGAUACUGCGGUGGCCUCUGAUGAGGCUGGUAAGCGGUUACCCGGCCUCCUGCUCCACUACCGGAGGCCUGGUGAUCCCUCCUCCUGAUCGGCCCAUUCCCCGGUAAUGCUUUCUUCUCUUUCCUCCCCAACCCUUCUAACUGGUCUGUCUUGAUCCGUGCAGCCUUCUCCUCUUCAAUCUCGAUGUCUCUCUUAGCCUGUUCGUAUGCGGCUGCAUACGUUUGAAUAGCUGGGCUUCUCAAAUUGUACCACAGCCUUCCUAUCUUCACCCAUUCUUUCAAUCCCCUUAACGCCUGAGGGUGGUUGAAGGCUCCCAAGUCGAGGACAGCCCGAUGAAACCUCUUGAUGAAUUCCCGAAGGGUUUCUUGCUCCCCCUGUUUCAUGCUUUUCAGCUCCAUCAUGUCGUCUUCCGGUGCCAUUGCCCCACUAAACUGCUCCGCGAAUUCCUGGCACAUCUGCUCGAAGGUUUUAAUGCUGCCCCGAGGAAGUUUCCUGUACCAUUCUCGUGCACGUCCCUCAAGGGAUAGUGGGAACACCCUGCACCUUUGGGAUUGAGAUAAUCCUUGUACCCCAGUUAUGUCGUUGAAGCGCUCUAUGUGCACCAGCGGAUCAGUUCUUCCCGAGUAUCUGAGGUCUGGGAGGCGGAAAUCUCUCGGAAUAACUGCCCUCAUGAUCUCUGCUGCGAGCGGUGAUUCUCCGUCCAGCAUUAUCCUCCAACCAGGGGCUCUGUUCCUUCCUUGCAUGUCGUCAAUUAUCUGCGCUAGUCUGCGCAAUUCCUCCUCCAGCAACCCUGCACGACCAGGGUCACGUGCUGCAACUUGAUCCCGCUCUUGCUCUACAUCAUGCAAGUGUUGCCUCAACUCUGUUUCCUCUGCAUUCACCUCCCCGUCGUCCUCGUCACAAGUCUGUCUUGCCGGGGACUGCUCUCUUUCUCUAUGAAAUUCUCCCCGUGGAGGUACGUUACCUCUCUCACCACCAAAUCUCCCUGUGGUUUGACUUCUCCCCGCACUAUCGGGACCUGGUGCCACUCCACCGCCUCUCACCCUUCCCUCUUGGGUUACCCUUCGCUCGCUCCGCAGCUCAUGCAGGAUGGUUGUCAAGGUCUCCAUCUGCUUUUCCAUCCGUUCCAUCCGGUCGAACAUGACUUUUUCCUGUGCUUCACUGACUAUCUCCCUCAGCGUCACGGAAUCGUUAAGCCUCCUAUCACCCCCUUGUGCACUACUUCCUCCUGUCUCCAUCGCUUUUCACUCGCCUCACCCCUCUUCUUGCUAUCAACAGAAGCUUUUUGCUUCGGUCUCCACAGACGGCGCCAAAAUGUUGAUGCGAGAUUCCGGUUCUCCUCGUUCUACGACCAGGAUCUCUGCUCGAUCAACUUCGUCACGACCAGGAGGUCUCCUCGCUAGGCUUCUUCUCCAGAGGUUCCUGCGUACACAGACAAGUCAGAGUACGCCGGUUGUUUUCCCGGCGCAAACCCUCCGACGCUCAAGUCAGAUAUGAAGGUUCGGGGAAUGCUUGCCACAGAUCUUAUGGCUUUUUUGUGGUUUUCUCUUCUUUUUUAUUUCUUUUCUAAUCUCAAAAAUGCCAACCCUUUUACCUCGUUGGCUACCUUUUUAUAGGCUUCGAAUCCCAGUUUUUCGCUUUUUUCGAGACGGUAUGGGACUCUGACUCCUGCGUUAUGGGCAAACGUGGGAUCUUGCGUGUUACGCCACGGUUCUGGGGAAAGCGUGUCUGUCGUGGUUCUGUGAGAUCUUGCGUGUUACGCCACGGUUCCGGGGAAAGCGUGGCUGUCGUGGUUCUGUGAGAUCUUGCGUGUUACGCCAUGGUUCUGGGGAAAGCGUGGCUGUCGUGCCUAGAUUCUCGGGCUGGAGAUCAUGUCUUGCCAACUGCCGUCGACCGGGUCUCCUCGCCUCUCGACCUCUAGCCGGAAUGAUCUUAUGCCUCUUACAGGAAAUUGGCCUCGCGGAUGACGUGCUCGUGGACGAGCAGGAUAUUUUUGCUCCUGUUCCCCCGCGCAUCAGGCUUUUACGGAACACACCGGCUCGCAGAACUCUGCCACCAGAUAUCUGCUCACCAUGCCUGGUCUCGUCGACGUAUUUCUCCCAAACAGUCUACAUGUUCAAAACAAGGAUCUGUUAAAAAAUGGAAAUUUCUUCAAUGCAUUAGUAAAGGGAAGUGAAGUGAAAGCUGAUUUCUUAGGCCUUCACAGAGUUAGGCCUUCACAGAGCAUCAUGUGUUUGAAUUCCGGUAACCUCACAAAAGAUUAGAGCAUCACCUUGACGGUUCUAGGUCUUGCAACUCAGUAACCCAACCAUUGUAUCUAAGCUGCACUGUGACAACAGGAACUCCAACUAGCUCAUAAAUAUUGUUGAAAAUUUUCAUUUCCCUCAACGAUGAUGGAAGCAAUCUUUUAAUUCCAGGGACAUCACAUGCGGCCAUUAAAUAAGAAGUUGAAUAAAGAAAAAUCGUUCAACUAAAUGAUUCAGGAGUUAAAAAAAAAUUGUAGAAGUAGAAAUAAAUAACGAAGAUUUAACCAUGAACCUGCAACAUAUGCAUCAGCUUGCACAACCUUCUUGUCAGUGGCCUGAAAUAGAAUGAGAAAUUGAAAGACAGUAAGCAUUAAAGAAUAAACUCAAAGAAGCUGCUUCUAACAGAUGAUAUAAACAAUAAAUUUACAAAUGUCAGUGUUAAGCAAAUAAAAGCACCAGGUCGGCCAUGAUACUAUUUCCACCCCGGCAUGAAUCACCUCAGCCAAAUGGUACGAGCAGAACAGGGGGUAACAUGAGCCGAUCCGAGACGAAUACUGACCAGAGCCAUAUACCGAGCCGGUACCCGUCCCCCAAAAAGUGGAAACACGAUCUCACAGAAUCACGGUAGUUGCGUUUUCCCAGAACCGUUGCGGGAGACGCGAGAUCCCAUGUUUGCCCAUAAUGCAGCAGUUAGAGUCCCAUGAGAGGCUACCACUACCCGAAAAAGGUGGGAUGAAGGGCAAACGGGAACGUGGGGACAGCGGCUAUAAAAGAAGAAGAAAUCGAUGAAGAAGGGGACAGAAAAAUGAAGAGAGGGAAAACGCUGCCAAAUUGCAAUUAGGCAUUUUUUACAAACUUCGAAACAAGUUAGAAACCAUUCUUGAAUCCAAAUUACAUUGUUUUCCCGUAAACACCUUGUGCUAACUUAGGCAUCGGAGGGUUUACGCCGGCAAAACCACCGGCGUCUCUGAUCCGUUUUUGGUGAACGCAGGUCUAGUAGGAGAGAGGAGGGUGAUUCCAACCCCAGUGGUUCGAGCAACAGUUAAUAACACGAACGUUGGUGGAGGAAUUUGGUCGGCCAAAAGGCGAGCAGAUUUAAGCAUCAACAUUUUGGCGCCGUCUGUGGGGAGCUGGAUAAAAAGCUACCACCGAAUUAGUAGUUACCGGAGAAACAGCGAACGAUUAGACAUGGAUUUGCCAAGGAAGGACGCUUUGAGGGAGGAUAACGAAUCGGGGGAGACAAUCACCCUUCGGGAAAUUGCAAAUGAAGCCCGAGAGAGGGUGAUGCAGGAUCGGUUGGAACGAAUGGAGAAGCAAAUGGAGACUCUCGCUACCAUACUGAAUGAGCUGAGAGAUGAGCGGAGAAGGGAUUGCGAAAUCCCCGUGGGGAGAGAUGAUAUUGGAGCAGAACUCAACCUCCGGAGGCGUAGAGUCGAGGAAAUCCCUCUGCCGGCGGACCAACCUUAUGGGGUGCAUCCCCACAGAAGCACUGGUCGGGUUCUUGGAGAACAAGUAGAUGAAGGGAGGAACCAACCUCGCCCCAGGCGAGUACCGGAAGCUGAUGACCGAGGGGCCAGUGCUGAUGAAGGAGAGUUAAGACAGCGGUUGCAGAAUGUCGAGCAGGAGCGAGAUCAGAUAGCUGCACAUGAUCCUGACCGUGCUGUAGAAUUGGAGGGAGAGGUGCGCAGAUUAGCGAAAGUGAUAGAGGAGAUACAGGGUAAGAGGAAGCCCCCAAGCUGGAGGAUAAUGCUAGAUGAAAAAUCUCCACUAUCAACUGAGAUCAUGGGUACCAUAAUCCCAAGAUAUUUUCGCUUCCCUGACCUCAAAUACCCCGGGCGAAGUGACCCGCUGGUGCACAUUGAGCGUUUCAACGACAUGACGGGUGUGCAGGGGCUGACACCAGCUCAGAGGUGCAGGGUGUUCCCGUUGACAUUAGAGGGACGAGCCCGAGAAUGGUACCGCAAGCUGCCCCGAGGAAGUAUAAAGGGGUAUGAGCAAAUGUGCCAGGAGUUGGCCGAGCAGUUCCGAGGGGCAGUGGCCCCAGAGGACGACAUGAUGGAACUGAUGGGGAUGAAACAGGAAGAGCAUGAAUCCCUUCGAGAUUUCGUAAAACGAUAUCACCGAGCCGUGCUGGAUCUGGGAGCUUUUAAUCACCCGCAGGCGUUGAGGGGAUUAAAAGAAGGUGUAAAAAUCGGCCGGCUGUGGUAUAACUUAAGAAGCCCCCUUGUACAGAAUUACUCGUCGGGGUAUGAGCAGGCGAGGCGAGAUAUAGAAAUCGAAGAGGAGAAAUCGGCAAGAAUAAAAAGUGAACAGCUGGACGAGCUGAGGCGAAAGGAACGGAGAGCCCCGACAGGGAGCGGGUCGGGAAAACGAGUUGGAGAAUCUUCAGUGAUGGGCGGAAUAUCGGCUCGGUCCCGCCCUUACCCCAUAGCUCCGAGGUCACAGCAGUUCCAGCACAACCGGGCUCAACCUCCGCGUCCCCCAUUUCCGGAUCGGCAACGAGAAUUCCGGCAGAUGGCUGCCCACCCCUAUCACAACACUCCCAGAGCAUCACAUGCAACCAAUUCCAGGGCUAGUCAACCAGAUCAGUUAGCGACUGUGCCAGCCCGAGGUGACAUUCAUGAUAGCCGAGCAGUUCAGCUGAUAGACCAGAGCUUGGCGUAUAGACAGUACACUCCAUUAAAGAUCUCCAUGGAGGAAUUGUAUGAGAGGAUCGAGGGACGAGGUCUGCUGUACCCUCCAGCCCCUAUAACAAAACCGGCUCACCGACGGGAAAAGAGCAAAUUCUGCAAAUUCCACGACACUCAUGGUCACACUAUCAGCCAAUGUCGUGACCUGAAAAUUCAGGUGGAGGAUUUGGUGAGAAACUGUUAUUUGGACGAAUAUGUAGAUGGAAUGUCCCCCGUCAUUGAAUCACAAUACACGCGGGAUGAAGGAGCUGAGAUGGGCCUGGAACGUGAACAGCCGACUAUCUGUGUAAUAGCAGGGGGGCCAACAUUGGCUGGGGAUUCGAACAGGGCACGGAAGAACUAUGGGAGAUAUGCCCUGACUAGCAAAGAAGUGCUUUUCAAUUUGCCGGCAACCAAGAAGGCAAAAGUGCGGCAAGUUCCCAUUAUGUGGACAGAUGACGAUGAGGAGGGUAUCUUAUAUCCGCAUAAGGAUGCAUUGGUGAUCAAGGCAAUGGUGGCCGGUACAGAAUUGCGAUGAAUACUAGUAGACACAGGCAGCUCGGUUGACAUCCUGUUUAAGUCGGCUCUAGAUGAUAUGGGGAUUGCAGACUUGAAAUUGGAGCGGACAAAUACAUCCUUAAAGGGAUUUGGAGGGGGACGGUUAACUCCCAUGGGGAUCAUCGAACUCCCAAUUACUAUGGGGACAAAGCCAUUUGAAAGAACAAUGAUGCUGGAUUUUGUCGUGGUAGAGGAAAGAAGCCCUUACCAGGUGAUACUAGGGAGACCAUUCAUGAGGAUAAGCCAAUGCGUUGUAUCCACGCAUUACUUGGCACUGAAAUACAGAGUAAAUGGGGUGGUUGGCGUAGUAAAAGGCGACCAGAGGAUGGCAAGGAGUUGUUAUGCUACAGCGGCCAAGGAGACACUGCAGGUUACUUCUCUAGAUAAUCGAGGAGAGUCUAAAAAGGGCCGCCAAGAGCCUGUUGAGAAACUGGAGGAAGUUGCGGUAAGCAAAAGCAACCCGAGCAGAGUAGUGAAGAUCGGGUCAGGAUUGGUUGGGGCAGUAAAAGGCGAGCUGAUAAAUUGCCUACAGUCUCAUGCGGAUAUAUUCGCCUGGUCUCAUGAAGAUAUGCCCGGAAUUGAUCGCGGGGUAGCUUGCCACAAGUUGGCAAUCAAGAAGGGGGCAAGGCCGGUGAGACAGAAGAGGAGAUGCUUCAACCAAGAAAGGUACGAGGCCAUAAACGCCGAGGUGGAGAAGCUGUUGAAAGCAGGAUUUAUAAGGGAAGCCAAGUACCCAGAAUGGAUUUCAAAUGUAGUCCUGGUAAAAAAGGCCAACGGGAAGUGGAGAAUGUGUGUGGACUUCACGGACCUCAAUAAGGCAUGCCCAAAGGACAGCUUUCCCCUACCCAAAAUAGAUCAGCUGGUGGACUCAACAGCAGGUCACAGUCUGCUGAGUUUCAUGGAUGCCUUUUCUGGAUACAACCAAAUACCCAUGGACGAGCAGGAUGAGGAAAGCACUGCCUUUAUAACUAACAUGGGUUUGUUUUGCUACAGGGUAAUGCCUUUCGGCCUAAAAAAUGCAGGAGCCACCUAUCAAAGGUUGGUAAACAAGAUCUUCCAACCGUUGAUUGGACACACUAUGGAGGUAUAUGUGGAUGAUAUGGUUACAAAGUCCAAAGAGCCGAGGGAUCAUGUGAAGCAUCUAGAAGAGACCUUUGAAUUACUGAGGAAGUAUGAGAUGAAACUAAACCCGGAGAAAUGUGCAUUUGGGGUCAGCUCGGGCAAGUUUAUGGGAUUCCUGGUAAGCCACCGAGGGAUUGAGGCCAACCCCGAAAAAAUACGAGCGGUUACAAAUAUGAGAUCUCCGCGGACAGUUAAAGAGGUGCAGAGCCUUAUAGGGAAGUUGGCAGCAUUGAACCGAUUCAUCUCGCGAACCACAGAUAAAUGCCACCAUUUCUUCCAAAUCAUAAAGAAAGGGAGAAAGAUGAAAUGGACAUCAGAGUGCGAGCAAGCAUUUGGGCAGCUAAAGGAAUAUCUGGCCCGUGCACCGUUACUGUCAACUCCGAGAGAGGGUGACCAGCUGCUUUUGUACUUGGCAAUCUCCAAGCAGGCUACCAGCUCGGUCUUAGUCAGGGAAGAAGAAUGGAAGCAACACCCGGUAUACUACAUGAGCAAGGCCCUGGUGGACGCAGAAACCAGAUAUCCACUAAUGGAGAAGUGGGCGCUGGCUCUGAUAACGGCAGCACGCAAACUCCGACCAUAUUUCCAAGCCCACCAGAUAGUUGUGAUGACUGACCAGCCCCUUCGGCAAGUGCUUCAAAAACCAGAUGCGUCUGGUCGGUUAGUAAAAUGGUCAGUGGAGCUGAGUGAAUUUGACCUGACCUACAGGCCCCGAGGAGCAAUCAAGGCCCAAGCCCUGGUAGAAUUUAUGGUAGACCGAGCUGAGCCAGGGGAAAGAGAUCGGGAGGAGCAACCGUUAGAGCAGGAGAAAACAGAAGGGGUGUGGUUAGUAAUGGUUGACGGAUCCUGUAGUGAGCAAGGAUCCGGAGCNNNNNNNNNNNNNNNNNNNNNNNNNNNNNNNNNNNNNNNNNNNNNNNNNNNNNNNNNNNNNNNNNNNNNNNNNNNNNNNNNNNNNNNNNNNNNNNNNNNNNNNNNNNNNNNNNNNNNNNNNNNNNNNNNNNNNNNNNNNNNNNNNNNNNNNNNNNNNNNNNNNNNNNNNNNNNNNNNNNNNNNNNNNNNNNNNNNNNNNNNNNNNNNNNNNNNNNNNNNNNNNNNNNNNNNNNNNNNNNNNNNNNNNNNNNNNNNNNNNNNNNNNNNNNNNNNNNNNNNNNNNNNNNNNNNNNNNNNNNNNNNNNNNNNNNNNNNNNNNNNNNNNNNNNNNNNNNNNNNNNNNNNNNNNNNNNNNNNNNNNNNNNNNNNNNNNNNNNNNNNNNNNNNNNNNNNNNNNNNNNNNNNNNNNNNNNNNNNNNNNNNNNNNNNNNNNNNNNNNNNNNNNNNNNNNNNNNNNNNNNNNNNNNNNNNNNNNNNNNNNNNNNNNNNNNNNNNNNNNNNNNNNNNNNNNNNNNNNNNNNNNNNNNNNNNNNNNNNNNNNNNNNNNNNNNNNNNNNNNNNNNNNNNNNNNNNNNNNNNNNNNNNNNNNNNNNNNNNNNNNNNNNNNNNNNNNNNNNNNNNNNNNNNNNNNNNNNNNNNNNNNNNNNNNNNNNNNNNNNNNNNNNNNNNNNNNNNNNNNNNNNNNNNNNNNNNNNNNNNNNNNNNNNNNNNNNNNNNNNNNNNNNNNNNNNNNNNNNNNNNNNNCCAAAGCUUCUCCGAAGUUCCUGUUCAAUCCUCAGAAAAGCUGACCACAAUGACAUCCCCAUGGCCUUUUGCCCAAUGGGGAAUCGACCUGAUUGGCCCAUUACCGAAAGGCUGAGGAGCGGCAACCCAUGCAAUUGUAGCAGUAGACUACUUCACCAAGUGGAUAGAGGUGGGGGGUCCUUAGGCAAAUCACGGAGAGAAAGACAACGGAUUUUAUCUGGAAGAACAUCAUCUGCCGAUAUGGGAUCCCCUAUGCCAUCAUUACAGACAAUGGGAGACAGUUUGACAACAGCAACUUCAGAGAGUUUUGCCGAAAUUUGGGGGUGGACCUGAAGUUCUGCACCCCCGCACACCCCCAGGCAAACGGACAAGUGGAAGCAGCCAACAAAGUGAUAAAGAAGCUCUUGAAAACCAGAUUGGGAGAGAAGAAGGGAGCUUGGGUUGACGAGUUACCAGGGGUAUUGUGGGCUUACCGGACAACUCACAGAACUGCUACAGGGGAAACCCCGUUCGCUUUAGCUUUUGGUCAUGAGGCAGUAGUCCCAGCAGAGAUUGGAGUGGGGACACAUCGAACGGAAUAUUUCGCUGAGGAACAAAAUGACGAGCAGAUCUGCCUAAGCCUGGACCUACUUGAGGAGAAAAGGGAAGGGACCUCACAGAAAGUGGCCCAGUGUCAGCAAAGGGUCACGCGUUAUUACAACAAGAAUGUACACGUGAGGUAGUUCCGAGCAGGAGAUUGGGUACUUAGGAAGGUGAAUCAAAACACUAGGGAUCCCAACCAUGGAGCUCUUGGCCCAAAAUGGGAAGGCCCGUAUAGAGUAAUACGAGCAACGGGACCAGGAGCUUAUAAGCUAGCAUACCCAGAUGGGCGAGACGUGAAGAGGUCGUGGAACGCCGAGCACUUAAAGAAGUAUUUCCAGUAAGCAAAAUACUCUACUAAAUCUUCAAUUUGAUAAGUUAUAUUUGUCAAAUGCAUGGUGGCUUGGUGCACAUGCAUAUAUUUUGUAUUUUUGUAACGCAUUCAAAUUUCAAUAAAGAUGAAUUCAGCAUGAAAUCCCCCGGCUAAUAAGCCCAUCAAAAAUUUACCAAGGCAAGUAAGUGCCUGCUUCUGCUCGGUCAACGAAAGACCAGCAGCUAAUUCUACAAAAAAUCUUACUAAGGCAAGUAAAUGCCUACUUCUGCUCGGUCAACGAAAGACCAGCAGCUAAAUUUAUGAAGAUUCUACUAAGGCAAGUAAGUGCCUACUUCUGCUCGGUCAACGAAAGACCAGCAGCUAAUUCUACAAAAAAUCUUACUAAGGCAAGUAAGUGCCUACUUCUGCUCGGUCAACGAAAGACUAGCAGCUAAAUUUACGAAGAUUCUACUAAGGCAAGUAAGUGCCUACUUCUGCUUGGUCAACGAAGGACCAGCAGCUAAUCCUACAAAAAUCCUACUAAGGCAAGUAAGUGCCUAGUUCGGCUCGGUCAACGAAAGACCAGCAGCUAAAUUUACGAAGAUUCUACUAAGGCAAGUAAGUGCCUACUUCUGCUUGGUCAACGAAGGACCAGCAGCUAAUCCUACGAAAAUCCUACUAAGGCAAGUAAGUGCCUAGUUCGGCUCGGUCAAGGAAGACUAGCAACCAGUUUUACGGAAAUUUUACUAAGGCAAGUAAAUGCCUACUCCUGCUCAGUCCACUAAGGAACCAGCAGGCAAAAUCAGAUAAGUUGUCCAAUUGUUUUUCAGAAACAAUCUAUGAGCAAAAACCGGACAAGAAAGCAAAUAAAGAGCAUCUAAAAAUUUAUAAAUGUUCAAUUGUUUACAAAACAAAUGCAAAUCUAGAGUUUAUACAAAAAUAGGCUCAAAGCUUAGCAGAGUCAACGGCUCCAGCAGCUGAAGGAUCAGCGAGCUCAGGAAGUAAGGGAUUAGCAACAUUAGGAGGUGGGAGAUCAGCAAUGCCGGGAGGAGGAGGCAUGGACCCUUGACCCACUUCGAAAGUGCGUCCCCCAACUUCCCCCUCUUGCACCCCAUCCAAAGGAGCCUCCACCUGAUCCUGCUCACCCUGCUCCUUGUCCGCCUGGCCGACCUCUGCCAUAUACCGCUGCACUCCAGCCUCUAACUUGCUCAUGUCCAGCUCGGGAUAUUCCCCCUGAAGCACAUACAUGAUACACUUAUAGGAGAAAGCAACCCCCGAGUCAUACUCGGCAUCCAACCGAUCGCCCACAUCAGCGGAUUUGCCUUUCUCCUCAGCCAGCUGCUCAUUCAGGGAUUUGAUUUCUCCCUCAAGGGCGGUCCUCAAAGUAUCUCUUUCACUUUGAGUUACCUGAAGGUCCGACUUCAGGCCACCCAACUCACCCUCAAACUUGGAGGCAGUAGACUCAGCAACUGCAACUUUCUCCUCCAGCUCCGUAAUCUGCUUGUUCAGCUCGGCUAGUUUCUCCCUGGAGCGGUCAGCAGAUUCAGCUUUCUUUUUCAACUCCUGAUUAUCAGCUUGAAGCUUCUUCUCAUGACGCGCGGACUUGGUCUUGUAGCACGAGACCAUUGUGGCCAGCCUGAAGGAGACUCUCUGAACAGAAGCAGCUAACUCAGAGAGGCUCAUGCUCUCGAUGUCCUUCACCAUCUUGGGCCCAACCGAUUUUUUAUAAUCCUUCUGAUAUGGGCUCAGGUAGUCACCUUGAUCCCGAGAUGGGAGAGGAGAAGAUCGGUCCCCAGACUGCAAGCUGACCUCAGGACUCUUGUCGGAGGUUUUCUCCCCACCACUCUUAUGAGGUGGAGGAGGGGGCAGAGCAGGAACAGGCGCCUUGGAAGGACCGACGCUGGGUUUCUUUGGAGGAGGAGGAAGGUUGCUGGAGCUACUCGGAGCCCGACCACGCUUCCUGCUCAUCGCGCUGAGGAUCUUGUUAUCCAUUCCAGCGGCUAUGUCCACUAGGCCCGAACCGACCAGGUUUGUUGGCGACAGGAGGUCUUGGCAGGUAGACGCGUUCAACAGAGCAGUUUCCACCUGAAGCAAAGGUCGAUCUUCAAGCCCCCCGAUCAAACCCCACGACUCUGAAAUAGCAAAAGAGGUUAAAGAACUCGAUAAGUGACAAUUUGAGAAAGAAUAUAGGCAAAAAAUGAACGACCUGGGGUGACAAACUGCGUUGGAAGGUAAAUAUCACCACCCAACGAACGGAGUGCUGAACACCACUUUCCCCCAGCAAAGAAGAAUUUGUUCUUCCAAUUUUUGCACGAGGAGGGGAAACCAGUGAUUGGCUUUCUCUUCGCAGAACUAGACAUGAAGUAGUACCAGCCCGCCUCCUUUGGGUUGCUCCGCAGCUGAUACAGAUGUUUCACUUCAACAAGGGAAGGCUCCUCCGACCCGCACCUCUCCCACAAUACAAACAUUACCGAGAGAACCCUCCACCCGUUCGGGUGUAGCUGACCUGGGGCCAGGUGCAUACCCCCCAAUAUUUUGGCAAAAUAACGCUGAAGGGGCAGCCGAGCUCCUAGUUUGAAACUCUCUAGGUGCAUUGUCACAUACCCCCGCGGAGGCGGACUAGGAACGUCACCCUUCCCAGGAACUACAAGGAGAACCUCCUCAGGAAUGUCGUAGAGGUUCCUAAGCUUGAAUAAGUCAGUUUGGGUGGUGGCACAAGCUAUGUAAUCAAUAGGGUAGGAAUCAGCCUCCACCCUAUGGCCAAGAUUCCUUUUCUUAGUAGGUCCGCUCGGUCCGGAACUGCUCCCCUCACCAUCGCCAACUCCUUCAGGGAUCCCAACCCCACCAGAGCUGUGGUUCUCACCAGAUCCCGACGCAGGUCCACCUCUAUUCCCUACAAGCUCUAGUUCGGGAGAGAAAGAGACAACCAAGGGGCGUGGGUACUCAAGGGUAUCCCUGCCAUGGGGAGGACCUACACUACUGGAGGGACCUAAGAAAUCGGUGGGUAUUGACAAGUUGAGGCCUAAAUCCCCUGAUUCUUCAUCACCCUCAUCAACAAUUAACUUUCUUUUCCGGUUUGACAUAUCGGAACCCCAAAAGAAAACAAAGAAAACUCGAAUAUACGGGUACAAAAGGGGGCAACACGGAACCCAAUCAACAACAACCAGAGAAGAGAUUAAAAGCAGUACCUGAAAUGAACUGGCCCUGAUAGCGCUGCCGUGACAGAGAAAAAACCAGCAAGUAGAAACUCCGGACACAGGAAGUGUGAGUAAAGUUCAGAAAGGGGGUAGGUUAACGACGGAGAGACGAGUAACAAAACGAUGACGAUGUAAGUCUAGGGAUUUGAAACGGAAAGGGGGAAAUGAAAGCAUUUAAGUGAUGGAGACGCCAGCUCACUCACCGUACAUCGAGGACAGAUAGUCCGUCGUUUCAAAUUUCAAAUACGAAGAAUCUGGAGAUGCCACGUCACCAACCGUUACAAGAGGCCAGGCUAGAUGCAAGCCCAGAUACGCAAUGAACAUGCUCAUUUAGGCCCACGCCCAGAUCAAAAUCUCCCCUGAAGAAAAAUGAUACCUCAGGUCCGUCCCGGUAGACAGAAGACCAGAGGAGAAACCCCCGGAUUGGUAAGAGCCGACUAUCAGUUUCUACUCUUGACUCAUUUCACUCACAAGACCAGAAACUGGGGGACUGGUGUUAAGCAAAUAAAAGCACCAGGUCGGCCAUGAUACUAUUUCCACCCCAGCAUGAAUCACCUCAGCCAAAUGGUACGAGCAGAACAGGGGGUAACAUGAGCCGAUCAGAGACGAAUACUGACCAGAGCCAUAUACCGAGCCGGUACCCGUCCCCCAAAAAGCGGAAACACGAUCUCACAGAAUCACGGUAGUUGCGCUUUCCCAGAACCGCUGCGGGAGACGCGAGAUCCCACAUUUGCCCAUAAUGCAGCAGUUAGAGUCCUAUGAGAGGCUACCACUACCCGAAAAAGGUGGGAUGAAGGGCAAACGGGAACGUGGGGACAGCGGCUAUAAAAGAAGAAGAAAUCGAUGAAGAAGGGGACAGAAAAAUGAAGAGAGGGAAAACGCUGCCAAAUUGCAAUUAGGCCUUUUUUACAAACUUCGAAACAAGUUAGAAACCAUUCUUGAAUCCAAAUUACAUUGUUUUCCCGUAAAUACCUUGUGCUAACUUAGGCAUCGGAGGGUUUACGCCGGCAAAACCACCGGCGUCUCUGAUCCGUUUUUGGUGAACGCAGGUCUAGUAGGAGAGAUGAGGGUGAUUCCAACCCCAGUGGUUCGAGCAACAGUUAAUAACACGAACGUUGGUGGAGGAAUCUGGUCGGCCAAAAGGCGAGCAGAUUUAAGCAUCAACAGUCAGAUCAUUGCAUUAGCUCUAUGCCUCCAUCAGAGGGAAUAUUAAUAGAUGCAUAAAAAAAUAAUUAGAACCAUGUGAGAAACAAUUACCUUAGACAUGGCAACUCCUUUGACAUAUGUUUCUCCAUUAGCAGAUUUAUCAUAAAGUAUCUCUCUGCAUCCCCACCUAAGAUGGAACCUGUUCUAGCAAAAACAGACCCCAAGGUUAGGAAAAUCAGUUCAUCAUAGGAGAAAACAAACAAGAUUAACAAAUCACUGCAAUGAUGUGAACCUGUAAAUAGAAAUUUACCUGCCCCCUUUAUCUGUGAUAUGUUUUCGUAUGGGCCCACUCAAAUAAACGUCUGGAGAACCCUUGAGCAUCCGCAAUAGGGAAGCCUCAGUCUUAGUCGCAAACAGUGCGAAUAUAGUGAGCAUACAACAAGCACUGAUGUUAUCACAGUCAAUAAACCCAAGGGCAUAAGCAACAGGAUCCCACAUUCUCUGAAUACUCGUCCGUGUCCCACCUUUGGACAAAAACCAAUCAGAGAAGCUUAUCUGUAAGAAGAAAUGAAGUUUUAGGUAAGAUAACAAUUUGUAGGAACAAGGAUUGAUAUUAAAACAAACUAGAAAAUAAGAUGUCAUUCUUACACUAUCAACGAGUGCCUUUACAACAGGACUCAGAGCAAGAGCAAGAGCAUUUCUUGCUUUAUCAUAAGUCUGCACUUGAGCAAUACAUGAGGCAAAGUACAUCAAAAGAGAAUCCAAAAGAAGCAAGAAGUUUCAACAUGAAAGAAGAAAUAUUGUCUCAUCAUACUGCUGACUAAUCAGAUUGCAAAAGAUUACAUCAACAUAAUCAAAAUGGAAGAUAAAUCCAUAUGCACUACCUUAAGCUAAUUUGUAGACAAAAAUGCAUGAAUCCCAUGUACGGGAGCUCCGACCGGAAACCGAAAAUCAAGUUCUGGAGUUAAAAAUCAAAAUCAUGAACUGAAUCAGAGAUAUUAUUGGACCAGAGAAUCCAUAAACCAAUUUCAGAGUGUCCAACCACCAAACAAACUAUCAGUAGUCUUAAGUGAUCAAGAAAUAACCAUACCACCAAUUUCACCACCCUUAUUCACAAGUGUACGAGUAUGAUCCUUCAUGAGUAAAUUUUUGUCCGCGCUGACCUGUAGACAUCCAUGAAAAACUAUCAGAAUAUAAACACAGGGUCAAUUUAAAGAGGAGCUAUGAUUAUGAUCCAUCGUGAUAUUUGAAGAACAUUUUCAUAUUUUCCUACAACAAGUAAACUAUAACCAGUUAUCAUCACUAUAGAUGGCAUGGUCAAGAGGAAUUAUAGUUCUUGUUUCAAGAAUCUCAAAUCAUAAUUCCUUUGCAUGGCUAGUGUGCUUUUUAUAAUCAUUCAAACACACAUAUCCACAACUAAGCAAGCUUUACCUUUUUCAUCAAUCGGAACAGAUUAUUGUAGCAUCCAAAGAAAAUGUGCAGGCCCAUUUCAAUAUGGUUUCCAUGUUUAUCAAUAAAAGAACCCACUUUACCACCAAUGAAAGACCUUGACUCAUAUAUAUCCACCUGGAAGAGGGGGGCGGGGCCAUCAAUAAAAUCAGUAAAACACAAACUAAUUCAAAAUGAAAUAAACUUUGUGAAUUGAAAUAAUGCCUGCCCUAAAGAAAAUGAUAACUGCUAUUCAUUUUUCUGAACUGCUGAUAAAAGCUUCUGUGUACUAAUUCAAAAUGAAAUAAACUUUACCUAAAAAAAAUGCAUGAUUAGAAUGAUUAAAGAUCAUUUGAUGAGGAGUUUCAUCAUUAACUGUGUCGAAACACAGCAGCAAUCCACAAUACACUUAACACGAGAGGGGCACACAAGCAUGCAUGAAUCUUCCACCAUUAAACCUGAAAUCAUAAAAUAAAAGAAACAAGAUGAGUGUUGUUUUACGGUCUGAAAGCCGAUUCCAAAUAAUAAUAAUAAUAGUAAUAGUAAUAGUAAUAGACCUUUGUUAAUAAUUUCUACUAGUUGUCUCUGCCUUUUGCAUCUUCCUCCUUUGUAUCAUCGUCCUCUUCCAAUCACACGGCUAGACCAGUAUGUCUCGAGAAUCUCUACUGCCUUCUCAGAGAUGCCGUUGUCGUCAUGACUUCGUAGAUUUUCAAUCUUUUCUAAUCCCUCAGCCUCCUCAACCAACUGGGCAUAUUGAUUAAAAUCUCCAACGGUACCCGUAUUCAUUUCAGCUACCCCGACCUUCAAAAUGUUCUCUAAUCCUUCUACGCAAACAGUGGCGAUCUUUGGAUCAGCGCAUAGAAGCAGAUCACACAAUGGUUUUAUACACCCCUCUCUCACGAGGUACUUGAUUUGCUCAUGAGUGCCACCUGAGAUGGCAUUUGAAAUUACCCAAGCGGCCUUCUCCUUUGUAUCAAAUUCAGCAUUUUGAAGUAGAUUGACAGUGGGACCAAUUAAGCCGGAAUCAAUUACCGCCUGAAUCUGCUCCCCGUUUCCAGCUGUAAUAUUUGAAAUAAUCCAGCUGACUUCCUUCUUGAUGCUCUCUUCAUGCUUAUGGACCAACAUGUCCAAAAGGUAUGGCAGUGCACCACAGUUAAUUAUACACUGAGUCUGGAAAUCGUUCCCCAUCACAAUAUUUCCAACAGUCCGCAGGGCAGGGGUAAGCACUGAGGAUGAUGGAUGACCAAGGAGCUCAACAAGUCGUCGACAGACACCUGCCUCGAUCACAGCUUGAAUUUUGUCAUUCGUACCAUCAGAAAGAUAGGAGAGUGUCCAACAGGCGUCACUCAACACCUCUUCAUCAUCUAAAUGAAUAAGCUGUGCAAGUGCCGGAAGAGCUGGCCUUACCUGAUCAAAUGGUGGUUCUGGCUUGCCCUUGCAUAAAUUAGACAAUGUCCUUGCGGCAAUUCUCAGCAUUGAAAGCUUAGCAUGCUCAUUUAACUCUGCCAGCAAUGGAAUCAAAGCUCCUUCACCAAGCACUAGAUCACGGCAUCCAGAUGAGUCACCAGCAACAUUUCCCAAUGCCCAAACAGCCUGCUCGCGGACAUCAUCACUUGGGGAAGCAAGCAGCUUCACAAAUAUUGGAACGGCACCGUGGUCAAUCACCACCUUAAUGUUCUCUGAAGUUCCAGAAGCAAUGUUUGAAAGAGCCCAAGCAGCCUCAUACUGAAGUUGCGGAUAGUCUUCCCUCAUAAGAAACUCAACAAAGCGCGGGACAACGCCAGAUUGUAUGACUUUAUCAAUUUGUGGACUCCUCUCAAUCGAAAGCAGUUUGCUGAACUGAGUAGUUGCUUCCAGCUGCAAGCCGCUGUCAUCUGACCAAACCCCAGCAACCAUCCCGGGUAAACUCGCAUACUUAUUUUAGGAGCAGGAGCAAGAGGAGGAAAUUAAGUUAGGGAUUUGGAGUGAGAGUGAAAGUGGAGAAAAAGCAAGAGAGGGAAAAAGCUAAUUGUUGAGAAAUAUAUACCUUUCGUAUGGUUGUGUUAAGGUCGUCCUUCCAAUCCCAACAUGCUUCACCCCGCCGCUGCACUUUGUGUAAUUUGGGUGUACUUAAUUUUCCUUCAGAGAAAAUUUUCAUAUUGGGGCAAUUAUCCACCACUAAUCUUUCCAAAAAUGGGAACUUGAAAGCACAAUUGCCAGAGCAGAAGCUUGUCAGGUAUUUUAAGUCUAAAAGCUUCAACUCCUUCAAUUCUCUGAAAGUAAUAACCUCAUCUUGUGCUACAACAUCAUCCACCAGUACUAUUUCUGUUAUCUCAUCGCAUGAUUCUAUCUCCAUAUAUCUAAGUCGCACCAGAGUCUUUGCAAUUGAGGGUGUUAAUACGAUUUUCAAGCCUUCGCAACAAUACGAUUUUCAAGCCUUCGCAACACGAUACCACCAGAUUUGCAAGAUUCUGAAAGGAUGUCGAGGAUGGCACUAGAUUGACCAAACGGUCACACCCCAUUACGCGUAGAAAAACCAAGUUGUUCGUAACAGAAGACUCCUCUAUCAAAAUGUUCUCCAGAUCAUAACAAUUAUAUGCUUCGCUUAUUUCUACCCUCAUCCCAUUUUCAACCUUCUCUUCCGGCAACCAAGCACCAUGUCCUCCUAUUUGGAGGACUUUCAUUGUGUGAAGUCUCUGGAGGAAGUCACCAAGUGAUAAAAUAGUCCGCUCAUCACCUAACUCCACAGAAAGAUAUUUUAGUUUGCAAAGCAAGCCUUCAGAAAAUAGAUACUUAUUUGUUACUACGUGCUUUGCAUCAACUUCCAACUUUUCCAAAUUAGGGAAUACCUGGGAGAUCAAUCAGAACCCCAAAAAAAAAAAAAAGAAAUACAAGAUGAAUCAAUUGAUGAGAAAUAUAAGUUACCACUAAUUUAUAAAAUAUAUUUUAUUCAAUAAAUCUUAACCUUUAAAAAAAAUAGUAAUAAUAGUACGCCUAACAUCUAGAAUAAUUAUGAAUGAAUACCAUACACUAAUCUGUAAGAGAGUUACGUAGCUGACAAUUUGACUUUUAGUAAGAAACCAAGCAAUGAAGGCAAAGGCAAUAUAACUCUAAGCUAUAUGAUAUAAACUUUCACAGUACAUACAUAAGAAUUGAAAAUUUGAUUAUAAAAUUCUUGUACGUACCCUUUCCGUCAAGAUAUUAGUAGUUCUUUUGUAUCUCGCCAUGAAUUCAGGACAUGCAGAUAUCCAUAAUCCUUUCAAGGAUGGAAAUUCAAGAAUAUCAAGAUCUCCAGUGCAGAAGCUUGUGAACUUUUCAAGACCAGACAUCUUCAGAUAUUGCAACUGGGGAAACGUUACAAUAUUAUUCGUCAUUUCUUCUUGGUUGUCCACGACUAUUAACUCUUCCAAGACGGGACAUCUGACUAUCUCAAUGCUUUGGAGUCGAACAAAGCUACUAACAGUAGAAGAUGAAAAUAUACAUCUUAAAUUCAUACAUCCGUGCAGGAUCAAGUGUGUUAAAUUCUUAAUACCACAAGACAUGGCUGUAACUUGGUUUUGCCAAAUCCUUCCAACGUUUAUUGAAUACAACUCCAAGUUCUCCAAAUUUGGUAAUGCAACCUGUUCGAUCAAAAAGUUAACUUGUUAAUUACAAGCAACAAUGAUUUCUGUUGAUGGACAAAUCAAUAAAAUUACUCUUUCUCUGGUUAUAGUUCUUUUCAGUUUUUCAUACAAACAACCGUUAAUCAAGUUUUCCAAAUUAUUCCUUACAAAAUGUAUAGAUUUAGAGGGCGGAUAAUAUAAUUCAUAUUGCAAAAAUUCUUUGAUUGUAACGAAUUUUGUAAAAUUAAAUUUUGGUUGAUUCGCAAUAGGACCUACUAUCCAGCGCGAGCAGUUCUCGGGGAUUUAACUACUGGCACCUCGAUUAUAUAAAAAUUUGGAAUAUUUUCAAAGGAAAUCACAUAAUUCCCCCUUGCAAAUAGUAAUUAUCAUCAAUUGCCGCGGGUUCACAUAUAAUUCUAAGAAAUUAGGCGAGAAGAGUCUCAUCAACAAUCAAUCAGCAGAUAUCACGUUUGGCAGAUCAUCAUGAUUUCCUCAGAUGCUAGAGAAUCAACGUGAUUUCCGCUCAUGCAGGAGUGGACACAUUAUCUUAGAGCAUCCCUCACUGAGAUCUUUUAAAAAAUUUAUAUUAUAAAGUGAACAACAUAUUUAGUAUAGAUUUAGACGGCGGCUAAUAUAAUUUAUAUGUAUUCUAAUGACGUAUAUUAAAGAAAAUGACUAACCAUAAUUUCAAUCAACUUAUAUAUAUAUAUAUAUAAUAUUCAGUGAUUACAACAUAUUUAGUAUUUUGUAACAUGAUGUUUAUAAUAAUAAUUAUUAUUAAUUCACUUAUUGUGUCGAGUACCUUUUCUUUCUCUAAGAAUGUAUUUGUUACACCCUACUAUACUUCGGAUGAAAAAUUUAGAAUAAUUGUGAAAUAUGAUUAUUAAUCACUCUUUGCCAUAUUUGCUACCAAACAAGAAUGCAACAAAGAAAAAAAAAACAAAAAUUAUAGAGAAUUAAUAAGACCAUUGACUUAUCAAUAAUUGACCUUGUCAGCGAAAAGUGUAUUAGAAAUUUGGACAUUGUCCUCCAAAAUGAUUUCAUGUGACCGCAAAUCAUUAGCUGAUUCCUCCUGUCUCUGCUAACAUUGCAGGUGUAUUGAUUUUAGAGUGUAAGCUUAAUUGUGAGCACAACCUUAAUGCAUAGAUACAAGAUCUUUAAAAAUUAGUACAAUAAACUUAGCACUAAAUCUAAAUUUGAUAUUUUGGAUUCUAUGAUUAAGAUUUUUUUUAAAUGAAAAUUUAAUAGAGUUAAUUUAAAAAUAAAAAUUAAAUAUGAAAAAUUAGACUUGCAAUUAUGGAUUUAAUUUUGAUAAAUAAUGAAUGUUCUCUUAAUAUUUUUUUUAAAAGGUAAAAGAGCGUACAAAGCCCAAAUUCAUUUUUUUAGUCCCUUACUCUCCCAUGAUUCAAACUUGGGUGGUUGUAGGACUGAAAAUAUAUAAGACAGUUAACUUUACUUUUUUUUUCUUUUUUGUUUAGAGAAAAGAGAAGAAGGAUAUUACAAAGCAUGAAGCUCGUGCAAUAUAAGGGCAAUUAUGGUUUUUUCUUUAAAUUAAAAUGGUAAGAUUCUGAAGCUAAAAGAUUAAAAUAUUAAUUAAAUUACAAACAUUAAAGAUUUUUUUUUUUCAAAUGGUUGCUUUGAAAAUGAGAAUAAUAUAAUAUUUGAAGACUUUUCAAAAUUAAUUACUGUGAUGCACUAGAAAUUUCUAGCUUUAGUCUAAUGUAUAAAUUGACAAAACGAUAUUAGAAUCCCAGGAGAAAAGAACCCUCUCAUACCAAUUAUUUAAAUUAGGAAUGAUCAUACCUUUGACUCUGCCGGAUUGAGGGCGAGGUCUGAACCCUCCAGACGGAGACGCUUGAGAUGGGAAGAGCCCACUUUGACUAAUUCAUUACGAAAAUAAUCGACAUCUUGCUCUUGCAAUUCACUUAACUCAAGGUCUUCAAUUCUCUGCAGUUGCACGAUCAGCGAAUCCUUCAAGCAAAUCUUGUUAUUUAGCUCGACUCUGAAUUGACGACACCAAAUGCCGGUUUUCCUCGAAAAAUAACGUCGAAUAUAUAUGCUGUACCUUUCCAGCUUCUCCAAGAGCAGGCCUCUGGGCAGACUGCUGACGUCACGGACGUGUACUUCCAAAGAGGUCAAGUUGGGCAAAUGCUUCAAUUCCUCAAGGCUUGCAUUCUUAACCCCUUCCACCUCCUCCUCCCAAUCAACAAAGCUUUCACGACCUAUAUAUAGUUCUUCUAAAUGUGAUAAUUUUGACAGUAUAUUUGGUGGAAUAACUUUCAGAAAACAACAAUCCCUCAAAUCAAGCAACUUUAGCCAAGUCAAUUCACCUACUUCUACUGGCAACUUCACAAUAUCAGAACCUCUUAAGCAAAGGAUUUCUAGUUUCUUCAAGUAUCCUACAAAACUUAUAUCAGGCAAGCCGCAGCUACACAAACUCAGUGUUCGAAGGUUUGACAGGAGACCAAGUGAUGAAGGCAGUAUCAUGUCAGUCAAGUUUACAACUCUGACCUCGAUCAUGCUCUUGAAAAAGUUGUCUGGAAUUGUUACUGGUGAAGUUUCCCAAGGAUCAUCACGACCACCACCACGUAUAAAAAGAAGUUCGAGUUGAGGACAUUCCAGUACUUCAGGAAGCAAAUUAGGCUUAAUACCAUGUAAGACGAUUGAAGUGAAAUGCUUUAUUGUACUUCCGUCUGACCAUUCCCUGCAACCAUCAACCUGCUCAUUUGUAGCAGUAAACACAUUUCGUUUAGUAGAUGCAAUUGAUAUGGCGACAUGGCGAACUACAUCAUGCAUAGAAAACAACUCUUCCUUCUCGCUUUCAUGGUCAAGCAACAUACAAGAAGCUUUGAGUGUGCGCACCAAUGCAUGUACUCGAUUUCGUGCUGCUUCCAUCUUAUUCACACCUUGAAAUAAACCCAAUCCCAUACCACACAUUAACAAGUCAUCAAUAGAUGCUAUGGCUGUAUAUCCUAUUAGCAAAAAGAUGUUCUUGAGAUCAUCCCUUCCUAGUUUAUUGUAGCUCAACUCGAUAGCUUUAUAUGCAGCUGGCUGUACAUCCUUAAAAUGGAACACAAGUGACCACAACAAGAUGGAACAAAAUAAAAAGGAAAAAAAUACAAAGAGUGGAUGGAGAAUAAAACAGAGACAGCGGCACAGCUGGACACAACUAGAUAGAGAACAGAGCAAAACCAAAUAACAAGACUUAAGAUUACAACAAACUGUGAAGAUAGCUCAUUAUGGAGAAAGAAGCAAUGGAAAGCAGAAGAAGGAAAAGCUUAAGUUGAAGCAGGAUACAGAGUAUAGUAGCAGCUCAGUUGCCAGCUCAGCAUAGUUAGUUUCAGUUCGUUAGAAGUGCAAAAUGUAUUGUGAUGAGUAUUAGCUAAUAACUUCCUUAAUUAGUUACAUUGAUUGUGAUUAACUAGAUGUUAGUAUAAAUACUCACGAAUUGUAUUACUCUGUAAUUAAGGAAAAUAACAAACUCUGCUCAAGAGUAUUUCAGAAUCCUUCGUUUAAUAUUUUCUCUAGAAACAAACAACUCUCUUUUAUAAUUCUUUUAUGGUAUCAGAGCCACUCAUGGCUAGUUCAAGCAAUACAAUCUUCAAUCCAAAUCAUAUUACUUCAAAUCAAUCAACUCAGAUAUCAUUUUCCUUUAGUUCUCCAGUCAAGCUAGAUAGAUCGAAUUUUAUGCUAUGGCGCAAGCAAGUUCUUACUUCGAUUAGAGGAAAUCGACUUGAGCAUCUAAUUUCUGAUAAUCAAGUGACACCAGAUCGUUACAUUACUCACACGGAAGUUGAUGGAUCUAUACAGAAAGUAGAAAAUCCAGCUUUUGUUCAUUGGAGAGCACAGGAUCAAACUCUUCUUGGCUGGAUCUUAUCCUCAAUUAGCGAAGGUAUUCUCAGCUCAAUUCUUAACUGUGAUAGUGCAUUUGAAGCUUGGAAAUGCAUUGAAAAACAAUUUGGAGUUCAAUCUGAAGCUAAGCUCAUGCAACUUCGUUAUGAACUAAAUAUUCUUAGGAAAGAAAAUAUGACUGUUGAGGAAUACUGCUUGAAGGUUAAAGCACUUGCUGAUAAACUCGCAUGUUCUGGAAGUCCUAUUUCUGAAAAAGAUCUACUGAUACAAAUCUUGAAUGGAUUAGGUCCAGGAUACUUAGAUCUUGCAUCAAUAAUUACUGCUAAUAAAAUGUCAUAUGAUGAUGCAUAUGCACUGCUAUUAACGCAUGAAGCUAGAAUGGAACAAAGUCAAAAUGCUAAGAGUGUGUUUAAUGCCAAUUAUGGCAUGAUGAAUGGGAAUUAUCCUCAAACUAAGGGCUAUAAUAGAAGAGGAGGUUAUAAUGGAUAUCAGGGACACUUCAAUGCUGGAAAUAGAAAUUUUGGUGCAGGAAGGGGAAUAAUGUUUACAAAUUCAAGAGGAUUUGUCAAUGGUGGUCAUGGUCCUGGUGCUUAUAAUUCUGGUAGGGGACAACUAAUGCACAUGCAGGCAUAUAGACCAACCACUUAUAAUAGAAACAUCUCUAAUGCUAACCUUGGUGCUGAAAAUGGAUCUGGAGAUAAUGUAUUAAUAUGUCAAAUUUGUCAUAAGUCUGGGCACACUGCAGAUGCUUGUUGGUAUAGGUUUGAGAAUUAUGUGCCUCCACCCAGAAACUUUGGAAGAGGGAGAGGUCAAAGGUCAGCAUAUAUGGCAAAUUUUGAAUCAUGUCCAAGUGCUGCUGGAUAUCCAAGUGCUGCUGGACCUUUUGAAACACAAUAUUAUCCAGACUACUCUAGUCAUCAGAUGUCUGAUUUGAAUUCAAUGAAUCACUCACUGGACUCUUUCUCUGCUCCUGGAGCUGCCUAUGUUGCUAACUAUGAAAGACCAGCUGAUGAGGGUUGGUAUUUAGACAGUGGAGCCACACAUCAUUUGACAAACAACAUGGCAAAUAUGCACAUCAGGGAGCAAUUCAGUGGAUCAGAUCAACUCAUUAUUGGCAAUGGACAAGGUCUGAAUAUAACUCAUAUUGGUGAUGCUUUUCUCAAUUUCAAAAGUUCAAAUGACAAACACAAACACACACCCAUAGCACUAAAAGACAUAUUGCUUGUUCCUUCAAUUACUAAGAACCUUUUGAGCAUUUCUAAACUUACUGCUGAUAAUAACCUGUCUGUUGAAUUUCUUGGAAAUAUCUGUGUUGUGAAGGAUACUCUGAAGGGGCAAAUACUGAUGCAGGGCCUUGCUGAGAGAGGAUUAUACAGGCUGUUAAUAAAUUCAUCUUCUUCAAAUACUCAGUCAUCUUCUUCUUUUCAUUCCCAUAUGUCUUCUAAUAAACCACUUUCAAUGUUGUCCUUUUAUCAUUCUGAUUCUGCUGGUCACACUGAUGUCGUUAGUGGAACUGCAAAUUUGAAAACUUGUUAUCAGACUGCUGUAUUACAUUAUACUAAAUCAAUCAAUAAAGCUUUACUUUUUCAUAGAAGAUUUGGUCAUCCUAGUGUUCAAGUGCUAUUACAUAUGCUCAAAAUUAACAAGUACAUUUCCAUUCCUACAUAUCAAAUUCAUCAAAUGCAUCAAACAACAUGUGAAGCAUGUCAAAAGGGCAAAGUUCAUAGGCUUCAUUUUCCCUGCACAGACACUAAAACUACCCAAGUUCUUGAGCUCAUACACACAGACUUAUGGGGACCCUCACCCACUCUAUCUAGGGAUGGAUAUCGAUAUUAUAUAAGCUUUGUUGAUGACUUCAGCAGAUAUACCUGGAUAUACCUUUUAAAAGUUAAGUCAGAUGCAUUAGAAGUUUUCAAACUCUUCAAGUUGCAAGUGGAAAAUCAGUUUACCACCACCAUUAAAACUCUGCAAUCUGACUGGGGAGGGGAGUAUAGAUCUUUUACAGAAUUUCUAAACCAAUCUGGUAUUAUCUUUAGGCAUUCAUGUCCUUAUACACAUCAUCAAAAUGGAUUGGUUGAGAGGAAACAUAGGCAUAUUGUAGAAUCAGGAUUAACUCUGCUGGCUCAAGCUCAUUUACCUUUUCAAUUCUGGUGGGAUGCCUUCCAUACAGCAGUUUACCUUAUCAACAGAUUGCCAUCACCUGUUCUGAAAUUUUCAAACCCAUAUGAAAAGAUUUUCAAGCAUAAGCCUAAUUAUGAUAUGCUCAGAUGCUUUGGCUGCACAUGUUACCCUUAUUUAAGAGAUUACAACAAACAUAAAUUUGCCUAUCACUCUAGCAAAUGUGUAUUCAUUGGGUAUAGUCCAUCACAUAAGGGUUAUAAGUGCUUACAUGCUUCAGGAAAAAUUUAUAUUGCCAGACAUGUUGUCUUUGAUGAGUUCACUUUUCCAUAUACCACAGACUCUUCUUUUCUUAAACAUUCAGCCUCUGAUUCUCAGUCUUCAUAUUCUAUUACUCCUCAACAAGUUCAUCAUCUUUCUACUUCACCUAUCCUACCAAUAUUUCUCAAUGACAACACUAAUAAUGCAAUCUCAGUGAGUUCAGAAAGCAUUGGUACAAGCACUUCAGUUCAUCCUACACAGCAAGAAGUUAAUCUAGAAUCACAGCAAGGUACGAUCAGUAACUCUUCACCUGUUCUUAUGUGUCCAUCCUCAGUUUAUGAACCUGUACCUAAUUCAUCACUUCCCCAUACUCACAACUCCCCUCAACAACAGUUCAAUAAUCCCAUUACACAUUCUCAUACACCUCAGAAUACACACCAAAUGAUAACUAGGGGAAAAGCUGGUAUCUUCAAACCCAAAGUGUAUAUUGCUGAUCUUGUUCACAAAGAACCAGACACUAUACAUGAAGCAUUAAAUGACUCAAAAUGGCUACAAGCCAUGAAGGAGGAGUUUGAUGCUUUAAUAAAAAAUGAUACAUGGACAUUGGUUCCAAGAGCAGCUAAUCAGCAAGUUGUUGAGAAUAAAUGGAUUUACAUAAUUAAGUACAAUACUGAUGGAAGUGUGGCUAAAUACAAGGCACGGCUAGUUGCUAAAGGAUUCCAACAAAUAGCAGGUGUAAACUAAUUUGAAACCUUCAGUCCUGUUAUUAAACCAGCAACUGUCAAAGUGGUAUUUGUUGAGUGUUAGAAAAUGUAUAUUUAUAAAGGAGAAAACCGUCAUUUUACAUUUCAAGUCUUACUAACAACCCUUACUUUUAUGUAUUUAACCUCCUUGUGAUUUAAUUACAUGUGUUUUAUUUUAAUUAAGUAUUUUAUGUAUUUUAGGGGCAUUAUAGUCAUUUCACAAUAAAGGAGAGAUCAGACGGCAAAACGGACAUCACUUUUGAACUCAGGACGAUCGAAAACCUUAGGAGGAGCAUAAAAGGAAAAAUGGCACUAUUCACAUGUACGGUACUAUUCACGUGUACGGUACUGUAUACGUUACUGUUCACGACACUGUUCACAUAGACGGACGAUGACGUGGCAUUGACCGAUGAUGUGGCAUUGACUGAUGAGGUGUCACGAUCCUGUUGGGCUAAAAUUCUUAUGUACUGUUGAUGCUGACGUGGCAGCAUAUCAGUGGAUGAAAAAUCUCGCGUACGGUACAUACAUCACACAGGAUUAUUUUCAAUCAAACCGCAUUACUGUUCAUCCGGGUCAAACCGUGUUACUGUUCAUCCGCGUGGUCAAACCGUGGACUGUUGACUGAUGACGUGGCGCAAUCCUGAGCGUUCAAACUGUUUUUAAUCCGAUGGCCAUGAUUUACUCCAUGUAUCUAUAAAAAGGGGGCCUCUCCCCCCUAAUUUGAUAUCUCUGAAUCCAUUUUUGGGAUCCAUUUUCUGUAAUUCCCUCUCCAUCUUGUAUUUUCUUCGUAUUUUAAUAAAUUCCCAUUUUGCCCCUAGUUCAAUUAUGAGUAGCUAAUUUCCUUUCAAGCUUGGGUUGAAGGUGAAGUCUCAACAUAUGCCAUGGGCUUAAUUUGGUAAAUUUAUUUUCUCUUCCCCUCUAGUUUUUGUGGAUGUUUUGACUUCUCGUCGACAAAUAAUACUAAUCUUAUCUAGUACCGCCUUGGUUUCACCGGCCCUCUAGUACAAGGUUAUUAUUAUUUGGCACGAUAAGCCCUUAGCACCAUAUUGAUUAGAGUGUGGUUCAUGAGGUGUGGAUUUCCCCCUCAUGAUUUAAUUGGUAUUAAUAAGGAAUAUUUAGCCCAUGGUGCAUGUUGAUACGGAUCCGGAUACCCAAGUGCUUCAUUUCAAUAGAUCUAUCUUCAAUUUAUUCUCGCCAUUACAAUUCCAAUUUUAGAAUUUAUUCUCGCCAUUUUAAUUUAAGUUUUAGCAUAUUCCAAAUCAUUUCCACCACAAAUCCAAUCCCCGAUUUACAAAAUUAAUUCUAUACACAAUUAAAAUCCACCUCCUCGUGGGAUCGACACUCGUCACCAUUAGUCUAUACUACAAUAGAUUUGUGCGCUUGCGAGUACAUUAAAAUUUGCACAACAAGUUUUUGGCGCCGUUGCCGGGGAGGUAAGUAAUUUUAAUUCAUAAAAUUAAUUUUUGUGAAUAAUUUCUUUUAUUUGUUUUCUUGUAUUUUUUAUUAAAAAAAAAAGUAAAUCUACAUUUAAAGGUUAGUAUUUCUUUUCUUUUUCUCUUCUUUAAAAUUCUGUAAUUUAAUUUUCAAUUUAUUUUUUCUUUGUAAUUUUUGUUUAUUUUAUUAAUUUAAUUUUUAGUUAAUUUAUUUCACGUAUUUGUUUUUGUGUAUUUUUAUAGAAAGGUUGUAAUAGCGCAAUAAGGUUAGUAUCGUAAUUUCUCCCUCUUCUUUAUUUUUAUUUGUUUUGUUCCCAUCUUUAUUUUUAUUUUAUUUGUUUUGCAUGCAUGGUCGUAGGUCAUUAUUACCUAAUCUUAAACCUAUAGACCUUGAAUUAGAAAAAACACUUCGCACACAAAAGCACAUUAAUAAAUUUGGAAUGGAUUUACAAGCACCACAGGAGAGGUCAUUCAAGGACUAUUUUAGUCCUUUAGCUAAUUUGAGCACAUCAUGUAUAAGAUACCCAAAUGUAGCUACUAGGAGUUUUGAAUUAAAACCUAGUGUGCUAAAUUGUCUCCCCACAUUUUAUGGCCUAGAAAAUGAGGACCCAUAUAAUCAUCUGAAUGAUUUUCAUGCCAUUUGUCAAACUUUUAAAUAUGAAAAUUUUUCAGACGAUGAUGUUAAACUUAGAUUAUUCCCAUUUUCUUUAAAGGAUAGAGCUCGUUCAUGGUUAAAUACUUUGCCUGCUAAUAGCAUUGCAUCAUGGGAACAAAUGGUAACUAAAUUUUUGAAUAAAUAUUUCCCAGUGCAUAAAACCAAUGCUAUUCGCAGGGAAAUCUCAGAGUUUACUCAGAGAGAGGACGAGCAGUUUUUCGAGACAUGGGAGCGAUUCAAUGGGCUACUCUUGAAGUGUCCACAUCAUGGGUACGAGAAAUGGCAUCAAUGCCAAUACUUUUUGGAGGGAUUAUUGCCGAAUGUGCAAGAAUGGCUAAUGGCAACAAGUGGAGGAGAGCUAAUAUCAAAAAGUGCAUCAGAGAUUUGGGAAUUCUUCCAGCGACAAGCGGAUAAUUCCCAACAACGGAGUCGAUCACUCAGGAAUACUAGAAGAAUUAAGGGAGUAAAUGAGGUUCAAAUUGGCGAGUCAACUUCGGGAAUCAAAGAAGUCAAGGAGAUGGUUGAAGGUCUUGCUCGACAAAUAGCAUCGUUGUCGACUGCUAAAUCAACAGAACCACAUGACCAUGACUCAUACUCCGAUCAAGCCAAUGCCAUAGGUGUAAUCAGAAAACCAUCGAAUUACAACCCAUACUCCAACACAUAUAACCCUGGAUGGAGAGACCAUCCCAAUUUUUCAUGGUCUCAAGGAUUCCAACAGAAUGGACCAGCAGCUCCAGCUCCGCCAAUUCCUCAAGUUCCUCAAGCCUCUCAGCCCCCAUUUAGACCAUACAAUCAGAACCAGAACUACUCUCAACCUAGACCAUGGGAGGAUUCAUUCCAGAAUCUCAAGAAUCUUACUCACUCUACGAUUGAGCAACAGAACCGCACCAUUGAUGGACUACGAAAUGAGUUGAGAGCGGGCUUCAACUCACAAGCCCAAUCAGUUUCAAGCCUCGAGAAGAUGGUGGGACAACUUGCUUCUUCAGUUCAGACCUUGGCAAUGACUGUUGAUAAAGGUAAAUUUCCAAGUCAACCAGUGCCUAAUCCUAAAGGAGUACAUGAAGCAAGUACUAGUUCACCACAGCAGCAUGGAGAGGUCAAAGCAAUCAUGACCUUGCGAAAAGGAAAGGAAGUCGACAACAAAGUGGAGAUGCCUGUGACAAAAGAAAAUCAAAUUGUACCUGUGAAUGUUGAAGACUCACCACCGGAGGAGAAAGAAGAAACCAACCCACGAGAAUACGUUCCGAAAGCUCCAUUUCCUCAGAGGUUAGCGAAAGGAAAGAAGGGAAAAUCCACAGGUGAGAUUCUUGAAAUCUUCAAACAGGUAAGUGUUAACAUCCCUUUGCUUGAUGCUAUUAAACAAGUUCCAUCUUAUGCCAAGUUUCUUAAAGACCUUUGUACUAAAAAGAGAAACAUGCAUGUUCAAAAGAAGGCAUUUUUAACAGAAAACGUUAAUUCUAUACUCCAACAUAAAAUUCCUUUAAAAUGCAAAGACCCAGGCUCCCCCACUAUCUCAUAUAGUAUAGGGAACCACACAAUUGAGAAUGCUUUGUUGGAUUUAGGAGCUAGUGUAAAUCUGUUGCCUUACUCAGUAUUUUUGAAACUUGGACUGGGAGAAUUACACCCAACUCCAGUGGUGUUACAGCUUGCAGAUCGGUCCACGAAAAUACCUCGUGGUAUUGUGGAGGACGUGCUUAUCCAGGUAGACAAGUUUUAUUUUCCUGUUGAUUUCAUUGUAAUUGACACUCAACCAAUACAGGAUUCAAGGAAGCACAUCCCCAUUAUCCUAGGCCGACCUUUCUUGGCAACUGCGGAUGCUCACAUUCAAUGCAGGACUGGAAAUAUGCAGUUGUCCUUCGGCAACAUGACUAUGGAGCUAAAUAUUUUCAACAUUGCCAAACAACCUCACAGUGCAGAUGAUGGAAUUGUUGAUGUGGAUUUAAUUGAAGCAUUAGUUGAUGACACUUUUAUUUCAAACCUUAGUGAUGAUCCUUUACAGACAUGCUUAACUCACUUUGGUUUUGAUUUUGAUAUUGACAGAUCGGUUGAUGAGGUCAACGCUCUACUUGACUCAACACCAUCCAUGGACACUAAUAAAUGGAAGUCAAGAGUUGAACAACUAGCACCAUCAGAAAAGAAACUCAUCCCAUCAUCAGAAUCACCACCGAAACUCGAGCUCAAACCAUUGCCCAACACUCUGGAAUAUGCAUUUUUGGGAGAAGAAAGUACUCUGCCGGUAAUCAUCUCAUCAUCCCUAAAUGACGAACAAAAAGGUAAGUUGUUGGAUGUUUUAAAAGAGCAUAAAGGAGCAUUAGGAUGGACCAUAGCAGACAUAAAAGGUAUAAACCCCGUAGACUGCAUGCAUUACAUUCACCUUGAUGAAAAUGCUAAAUCUACUAGGGAAAUGCAACGUCGGUUAAAUCCUAAUAUGAAAGAAGUUGUUAGAACUGAAGUCCUUAAGCUAUUAGACGCAGGUAUCAUUUACCCAAUUUCUGAUAGUUCAUGGGUCAGUCCUGUACAAGUUGUCCCCAAAAAGUCAGGAGUCACAGUAGUUACCAAUGCUGAUAAUGAAUUGAUACCAACUAGAGUAACUACAGGAUGGCUUGUAUGCAUUGAUUAUAGAAAGUUGAAUUCUGUCACACGUAAAGACCAUUUUCCUUUACCAUUUAUUGAUCAAAUGCUUGAUAGAUUAGCAGGCCAUGAAUUUUAUUGCUUUCUAGAUGGCUACUCAGGAUAUAAUCAGAUUCCCAUAGCACCAAAAGAUCAGGAGAAAACUACUUUCACUUGCCCUUUUGGCACUUUUGCAUAUAGGAGAAUGCCAUUUGGAUUAUGUAAUGCACCUGCUACAUUCCAACGAUGCAUGUUGAGCAUUUUUUCUGAUAUGGUUGAACGAUUCCUUGAAGUCUUUAUGGAUGAUUUUUCUGUCUUUGGUGACUCGUUUGAUCAAUGUUUACAUCAUCUAACACUAGUUCUGCAGAGAUGUAUUGAGAAGAACUUAGUCUUAAAUUGGGAGAAGUGCCAUUUUAUGGUAAAACAAGGUAUUGUUCUCGGUCACAUCAUUUCGAGCAAAGGUAUUGAGGUUGACAAAGCCAAGGUGGAUCUCAUUUCUAAUCUUCCUCCACCUAAAACAGUCAGAGAAGUAAGAUCUUUCCUUGGACAUGCUGGUUUCUAUAGACGUUUCAUUAAAGAUUUUAGCAAAGUUUCUAGACCCUUAUGCAAUUUACUUGCUAAGGAUGUACCUUUUAUCUUUAAUGAUUCAUGUCUCAUGGCGUUUGAAAAAUUAAAGCAGUUGUUGACAUCAUCACCCAUCAUUCAGGCCCCAAACUGGAGCUUACCAUUUGAGCUCAUGUGUGAUGCAUCUGAUUAUGCAGUAGGAGCAGUAUUAGGACAAAGAGUUGAUCGAAUUCCGCAUGUUAUUUACUAUGCUAGUAUGACAUUGAAUGAUGCACAGUUGAAUUAUUCAACUACUGAAAAAGAAAUGCUAGCAGUAGUGUUUGCAUUAGAGAAAUUUCGAUCUUAUCUCAUUGGUUGUAAAAUAAUUAUAUUCACAGAUCAUGCUGCUCUUAAAUAUCUUCUCACAAAGAAAGAUGCAAAAGCUAGACUAAUUCGUUGGGUGUUACUUUUGCAGGAAUUUGACUUGGAAUUCAAAGAUAAGAAAGGGACAGAAAAUGUUGUGGCGGACCAUCUCUCUCGUCUCCAUUUUGACACAAUUACAGAGCCAUUAAUAUUGAAUGAGUCAUUCCCAGAUGAACAAUUAAUGAAUGUGGAAGUAUUACCUUGGUAUGCUGAUAUAGUUAAUUAUCUUGUUACAGGUAAACUUCCAGAGCAUUGGACCAAGCAAGACAAGGCUAAAUUCUUUGCAGAAAUAAAGAAUUUCUUUUGGGAUGACCCGUAUUUGUUCAAGUAUUGUGCAGACCAAAUUGUUAGACGAUGUGUCCCAGAAAGUGAAAUUCAGAAUAUCCUUUCAUUCUGCCAUGAACAAGCUUGUGGAGGCCAUUUCAGUGCUAAGAAAACAACGACUAAAGUUUUAAAAUGUGGUUUCUAUUGGCCAACUAUAUUUCGAGAUGCUUACACUUUUUGUUCUUCAUGUGAUAGGUGUCAACGAAUGGGGAGUAUUACACGAAGGAACAUGAUGCCACUAAAUCCAAUUUUAGUGGUUGAGAUUUUUGACGUAUGGGGUAUCGACUUCAUGGGACCCUUUCCCCCUUCUUUUGGCCAUCAAUACAUAUUGGUUGGUGUUGACUACGUCUCAAAAUGGGUAGAAGCAAUUCCAUGUAGAACCAAUGAUCACAAGGUGGUGAUAGGAUUUUUGAAAAGCAACAUUGUUUCGCGCUUUGGAUUCCCUCGAGCAAUAAUCAGUGAUGGUGGUGCCCACUUUUGUAACAAAGCAUUCAAAGCUCUUUUGACAAAGUAUUCAAUCACACACAAAGUGGUGACCCCGUAUCAUCCGCAAACCAGUGGCCAAGUUGAGAUAUCCAAUCGAGAAAUAAAGCACAUAUUAGAAAAAACGGUGAGGCCAGACAGGAAAGAUUGGUCAUUAAGACUUGAUGAUGCAUUAUGGGCAUACAGAACGGCUUUCAAGACCCCGAUUGGGAUGUCACCCUACAGGCUAGUGUAUGGAAAAGCUUGCCACCUACCUGUGGAACUCGAGCAUCGUGCGUAUUGGGCCAUCAAGAAAUUCAACUUUGACAUGCAGCAAGUCAGCUCAGAAAGAAGAUUACAACUGGCAGAACUUGAAGAAAUUCGCAAUGACGCAUACGAAAAUGCCAAGAUUUACAAGCAACAGAUGAAAAUCUUUCAUGACAAGCAAAUUAUGAGAAAAUCGUUCACUCCAGGUCAGAAAGUGCUUUUAUUCAAUUCUCGUUUGCACCUAUUCCCAGGUAAGCUACGCUCUCGAUGGUCUGGUCCCUUUAUUGUUCAUACUGUUUUUCCACAUGGGGCAAUUGAAAUUAAGGACCCAAAGAACGGUGUCACGUUUAAAGUUAAUGGUCAAAGAUUAAAGCCAUAUCUAGAGUACCAACCACAUGGAGAAGACACCGAAAUAAAUUUGAGUGACCCACCAGAUUUGAAUUGAUUUUUUCUUUUUAUUGAUUUGAUUUUUCUUUCUUUCUUUUUAUUGUUCUUUUGCUAAUUGAAAUUAUUUUUGCAUAAGUGUGUUUGUUUUACCAUUAAGUUUUUUUUUCUUAUCAUUGUUAAUCAUGAGUACCAUACUUAGACCGUUCCUCCUGAACAUUCUUAAACCACUUCAGCGUGUCAAAACUCAUCUCAAAAAGCAGAUUCAAUUUUGUAAAACACAACGCAUUUGGGCUUUACAACCACCAGAGUUAGUAGCCUAUGUUGAGGGUUUAGAACGCCAACUCAGAGACAUUGAGAGAAGUGUUUACGACAUCCAAUUGGAGCUUGAGGUAAAUUCAAUAAGAGGACGAUUUUAAUUUUCUUUGUGUGUUUUAAUUUGUUUUUCUGUUUGUGUGCUUUAGUUUGUUACCCCGGUGAAGUGGCGGAUAACGGUACUCUGUGACAAUCAAGUCGGUUACUUCAGUUUCCCAUAAUAACUGACAUUCUGAGGCAAAAGUAUGGACAGAAACGAGAUUCUAGCGAAGCUUCACAAGCGAUUCCCUUCACUUCCUCAGAAUGCCCUCCUUAUGAUCUAUAAAGCUCGGUCCGAACGCAUGCGAUUGCUCAUGAGGAAUAACAUACCUGCUGAUAUCCGUUGGUUAAUCGAGGCGAAAGUACGAUCGGCAGGUGAGUUACCUCCAAAAUUUAUUGCAUACAUGUCUGGUUGUGGUAAAGGAAAUUAUGCAAGAAAACGACGAGCUCGACGAAUUUCUGUUGCUUGUCAUAAGUGUGCCAGAAUGAGUUGCAAUAAAAACCCAUGUUCUUUAGGAAUGAUGUCUGAUAACAGGGAAGACAAGAUUCAAUUCAUUAGGGAUGGCUUGAAUAAGGAGUCAUUGGAUGAUAUCCUUUUGUCUCUUGAAACGCAUCCCAGUGGAUAUGUGCAAGGAGCGAUUCUCCAGUUAUGGCUAUUAUUCCAGAAAGAGCAUGCACGAUACAGUCUCGGGAAUCUGACUAUAAACGACCAUGUUUGCCAGUUUGUAAGAAAACUGGAUAGGAAGCCUAUCCUCGACUCAUAGAGGGCGUUCAAGCCGUUUCUGGACGUAAAACCAGAGGAAGAUGUGAGCCACAGUCGCAACUACGUGUAAAUAUCCUUUUACUUUACUGUACUUUUUCCUCCUUACUGUUUGCUUUUUUCCUUAUUACUAUUUGCUUUUUCCUUUUUACUGUUUCCUUUUUGACUCGCGAUCCACGUGCUUUACGCAUUAUUUGACACUGACAUGUUACCUCAUACACCACUAUGACCCACUAUCACCAAGACUCUUAAAUGUGAUUUCUUUUUUGUCAAGCACUCACAAAUUGUUUUUGAGAAGUAUCACAAUGGCCGCUACUCCCAAUAGACAAUUCAAGAACAUUUGUGUGCUUUCUGGAUUUACCUAUGGCAAACAUAAAGAGUUCGUGGAGGCAGCCAUAGAUCUUGGUCGAAGCAUAGCAGCGAGAAAAUUACACUUGGUGUAUGGAGGAGGUAACCGAGGGUUAUAAAAAAUGGUCUCAGAAGCAGCUUUUAUCAGAGGAAGUCAAGUGUUAGGCAUCAUCCCAAGAGUCCUAAAACCAUUGGGCAGUUCGUCUGACUCAUCAACUGGAGAAGAGUUAGUUGUCUCAGGUAUGCAAGAAAGAAUAACUGAAAUGCUUAAUCAUGCUGAUGCUUUUAUUUUCCUUCCAGGAGAUCUUGCAACACUAGAGGCACUUAUCACACUAGCAUCCUGGGCCCAUCUGCACAUCCACCAGAAACUCAUCGGUUUGUUAAAUGUCAAUAACUUUUAUGAUGGCUUUAUCGCAUUUCUUAACCAUGCAAUAAAAAACUACUUCAUUCCUUCCCAUGCGAAAAAACUUUUUAUUUGUGCUCACACUGCUAAUGAGCUACUUGAUCUGUUACAAGCUUAUAGACCGGAGCCAGACCCCUGGACCUUUGUGUUGGAGCGCCCAAAUAAUGAUGGUAACAGUAGCCGCAGUAAGAAGUACAAAUUAGAUUUAACUCUCCGCUUGUGAAUAUUUUCUUUUGUGUUGCACCACCCAGGUGAUGUCUUCUAAACUCUACUUCUUUCCUUUAAAACAUUGAGGACAAUGUUUCGUUCUGGUUGGGGGGAGGGAAUAGUCGACAAUUGUGGAAUCUUGGUUAAGUUUUUACUGAUUUUUUUUGUUGUAGAAACUAACUAUUGCUAACUUUUUGUGUUGAAGAAGGCUGAAUAUGGAGUGUAGUGACUCUAGAAACGCAUCUUCUUCACAGAGAUCAACGAUGCGUACUGUCUUCUAACAGAGGAUGGAGAGCCUCCAACUUUUCAUGAAGCUUUAAACAGUUCAGAUGUUGCUUUGUGGAAGACAGCAAUGCAGGAAGAAAUUGAAGCUCUAUACAAGAACAAGACAUGGGAACUUGUACCACUACCACACGGAAGAAAAUCCAUUGGAAACAAAUGGGUCUACAAGAUCAAACGUGAUGGUAAUGAUCAAGUGGAGCGGUAUCGUGCAAGACUGGUGGUGAAAGGAUAUGCUCAGAAAGAAGGUAUUGACUUCAACGAGAUAUUUUCUCCGGUGGUUCGACUCACAACAGUCAGAAUAGUCUUGGCAAUGUGUGCUACAUUUGACCUACAUCUAGAGCAGUUAGAUGUUAAAACUGCAUUUCUUCAUGGAGAACUUGAAGAAGAAAUUUAUAUGCUCCAACCAGAAGGUUUUGCAGAAACAGGAAAAGAGAACUUGGUUUGCAGGUUGAACAAAUCUCUAUACGGUCUCAAACAGGCACCGAUGUGUUGGUAUAAGAGAUUUGAUUCCUUCAUUAUGAGCCUUGGAUACAACAGACUCAGUUCAGACCAUUGUGCAUAUUACAAGAGGUUUAAAGAUAAUGAUUUCAUCAUUUUGCUGUUGUAUGUGGAUGACAUGUUGGUAGCAGGUCCCAACAAAGAUCGAAUCCAAGAAUUGAAGGCACAAUUGGCUAGGGAGUUUGAAAUGAAGGACUUGGGACCAGCAAACAAGAUUCUAGGGAUGCAAAUUCACCGAGACAUAAAUAACAGGAAGAUUUGGCUUUCGUAGAAGAAUUAUUUGAAGAAAAUCUUGCGGCGCUUCAACAUGCAAGAUUGUAAGUCAAUUUCUACCCCACUUCCUGUUAAUUUCAAAUUAUCCUCAAGUAUGUGUCCUAGCAAUGAAGCAGAGAGGAAGGAGAUGUCUCGAGUACCGUAUGCAUCAGCAGUGGGAAGUUUGAUAUUCGCUAUGAUAUGUACAAGACCGGACAUUGCACAAGCAGUGGGAGCAGUCAGUCGAUACAUGGUGAAUCCUGGUGGAGAGCAUUGGAUAGCUGUGAAGAUGAUUCUGAGAUACAUCAGAGGAACCUCAGAUGUUGCAUUAUGUUAUGGAGGAUCAGAGUUUACUGUCAGGGGCUAUGUGGAUUCAGAUUUUACAGGAGACCUUGAUAAAAGGAAAUCCACUACUGGUUAUGUGUUUACACUUGCGGGAGCAGCUGUAAGCUGGGUUUCGAAACUGCAGACAGUUGUGGCUUUAUCUACAACAGAAGCAUAGUACAUGGCAGCUACACAAGCUUGCAAGGAAGCUAUUUGGAUACAAAGAUUAUUGGAGGAGCUCGGGCACAAACAACAGAAAAUUCUUGUGUUUUGUGACAGUCAGAGUGCCUUGCACAUUGCAAGGAAUCCAGCCUUUCAUUCCAGGACAAAGCACAUAGGAGUUCAGUAUCAUUUCGUUCGAGAAGUAGUGGAAGAUGGAAGUGUGGAUUUACAGAAAAUCCAUACGAAGGAGAACCUAGCAGAUGUUUUGACCAAGCCGAUAAAUACUGAUAAGUUUGUCUGGAGUAGAUCAUCUUGUGGCCUAGCAGAAACGUAGGCAACAUGAUUAUGGCGAAGCAGAAAGGACGGUGUGGAGAUUGAUUGUUUUUCAAUCUAAUCUCCAAGUGGGAGAAAUGUUGAAUAUGGGGCACCACUCUUCUAGAAAUGUUGAAAAUGGGCCCUCUUCUAGAAAUGUUGAAAAUGGGCCGAAAUGCUUGAAGAGGAAAAUGGAAAAAGAAAUGUUUGAAGAAGAAAAUGAGGAACACGGUUUUGACUUUCUUGGCCAUCAUUUUGCUAUAAAUAGAAGUGCAAAUGAAGAGCUUAAGUAUUCCAUUCUGAGAGUAAUUUAGCAGUUGAGAGAGAGUUUAGAGAGCUUGAAUUUAUAAGCUCUUGUUAUAGUGAUUUUGAGAGUUUGGGUGUAUUGGAGUUUUGGGAAGUGAGCUAAAAUACUACAAUACUUGUAACUCCUUUUCACUAGUAAAAUAUUUCCUUCUGUCUUCGCCCGUGGAUGUAGGCUAAAAGCCGAACCACGUAAUUUCUGGUGUCCUCUAGUGUGCUUGUUCUUUAUUUUCUUCCAAUUUUAUUUUAUCUGCGUGUAUGCUUCACCCACCAAUUUCCUAGCAGUGGUAUCAGAGCUAUUGGUUGUAUUUUUUGGAGUCAGGAACUAUUCACGUAAUGGGUACUAUUCACGUAUAUGGCACUAUACACGUACACGAUACUAUUCACGUAUACGGUACUGUUCACGUAUACGGUACUAUUCACGUGAAACGGUGGAAGCGAUCCAAGAAUUUUGCGGUGCAAAGCAGGGAAUAGUGGUGUGAGUAAAGCAACUGUGUGGUUUUGUACAUGUCUAGGAAAGUUCUGUCACAAAGGCGAUAAGAGCUUAAGGAGUCUGGGUUUUAAGUGGGACCAUUGUGACCCCUCAAGUCUUUCCUGGGAACUUUCCUGGUGUGCAUUCUCACACAUACUCACAACUAUUCAAGGUGGUAUACUAGCUUGUGUGCAGUAUUUAUCAACAAAAUAGCGGCAAAGUAUGAAAUUGAGAAAUUUAACGGAAAUAAUUUUUCGUUGUGGAAAAUGAAGAUGAAAGCUGUAUUGAGGAAAAAUAAUUGCUUGGCAGCAAUUGGAGAAAGGCCCAUGGAGAUAACUGAUGACAAGUGGAACGAGAUAGAUGGCAACGCCAUUUCUGAUAUACACUUGGCACUUGCAGAUGGAGUAUUAUCUAGUGUGGCAGAGAAAAACACAGCGAAGGAAAUAUGGGAUACUCUUACAAAAUUGUACGAGGCCAAAUCACUACACAACAAAAUCUUCUUGAAGAGAAAACUCUAUACUCUUCGAAUGGUGGAAUCUACAAUGGUGACCGACCACAUCAACACCUUGAAGACUCUAUUUUCACAACUCACAACGUUGGGUCAUAAUAUAGAGGAAAAUGAACGUGCAGAGCUUCUACUUCAAAGUCUACCAGAUUCAUAUGAUCAACUCAUUAUCAACCUGACGAACAACAAUCCAGUGGACAGUCUAGUUUUCGACGAUGUUGCAGCCUCCAUAUUAAAUGAGGAAAGCAGGCGGAAAAAUAAGGAAAACAGACAAGCAAGUUCGCAGCAAGCGGAGGCGCUAUCAGUGACGAGAGGGAGAUCAACGGAACGUGGCCCCAGUGGGAGUCAAAAUCAUGGUAGAUCAAAAUCCAGAAGUAAGAAGAAUGUUAAAUGCUACAACUGUGGCAAGAAAGGGCACGUAAAAAUGGAGUGUUGAAGUAACCAGAAGAGAAGAGAGGGUAAAGAACCUGAGUCAUCAAAUGCUCAGGGGUGUGUAGCAAGUACCUCAGAUGAUGGCGAAAUACUCUACAGCGAGGCAACAACUGUUUCAGAAGGCAGAAAAUGACUUUCUGAUGUCUGGCUUAUAGACUCAUGAGCUACCUGGCACAUGACCUCUAGGAGAGAAUGGUUCCACACAUAUGAACCUAUCUCAGGAGGAUCUGUAUAUAUGGGUAACGAUCAUGCAUUGGAGAUCGCUGGUAUUGGUACUAUCAAAAUAAAAAUGUUUGAUGGUACAAUUCGCACAAUUGGGGAGGUACGACAUGUCAACGGCCUGAAGAAAAAUCUAUUGUCUUUGGGACAAAUAGACAAUCAUGGGUGCAAAACUCAUGUGGAGAAUGGAAUUAUGAAGAUCGUUAAAGGAGCACUUGUAUUGAUGAAGGCAGAAAAGAUCGGUGCUAAUCUAUUCAUGCUUAAAGGAGAAACACUACAGGAGGCUGAUACGUGUGUCGCAUCAAAUGGAGAAGAGUCAACGAUGAUGUGGCAUCUCAAACUUGGCCACAUGUCAGAACAAGGUUUGAAGAUUCUCUCUGAGAGAAAAUUGCUUCCGGGGCUCAAAUCGGUAAGUUUACCAUUUUGCGAGCAUUGUGUUACAAGUAAGCAGCAUAGAUUAAAAUUCAGUAGAUCUAUUGCUAGAAGUAAAUGCAUUCUAGACUUGAUUCAUUCUGAUGUUUGGGAAUCACCGGAUAUAUCCAUGGGAGGUGCAAAGUACAUGGUGACUUUCAUUGAUGAUUAUUCCAGAAGAUGUUGGGUAUAUCAAAUUAAGAAAAAGUCAGAUGUAUUUCUAGUGUUUAAAGAAUACAAAGCGCGGUUGGAACUUGAAUCUGGUAAAAAGAUCAAGUGCUUGAGGACGGAUAAUGGUGGAGAGUAUACAGAUGGCGAGUUUCUUGCUUUCUGUAAGCAAAAAGGUAUUCAGAGGCAGUUCACGGUGGCAUACACUCUUCAACAAAACGGAGUGGCGGAGCGGAUGAACAGAACUCUUACAGAAAGAAUAAGAGCUAUGUUGAGGACUGCUGGUCUACCCAAUUCAUUCUGGGAAGAAGCAGCCAAAACUGCCUGUUAUAUAGUAAAUCGAUCGCCAUCUACAGCUAUUGGGCUGAAGACAGCGAUGGAGAUGUGGACUAGAAAGCUAGCUGAUUAUUCUUACCUACAUGCAUUUGGAUGUCCUGUGUACAUAAUGUACAAUGCCCAAGAAAGAACAAAGCUGGAUCCAAAAUCUAGAAGAUGUAUCUUCUUGGGGUAUGCUGAUGGAGUAAAGGGGUAUCGUCUGUGGGACCCCACUGCCCACAAGAUCGUCAUCAGCAGAGAUGCUAUCUUUGUAAAAGAUCAACUGCAAAGGAGAGAUGAGGAUGAUGGCACUACAAAAGAAAAGUCAGAGACUGUUCCAGUAUAUGUGGAAAAUAAUCUAGAAGAUUCAGAUUCUUCUGAAGUAGCACCAGAGCACGAGGAACAAGAACCAGUCGACUCCGAGACUCCAGAAGUUUGUCGGUCAACUCGUGAGAGACGACCGCCAACGUGGCACUCAGAGUAUGUCACAGAGAUCAACGUUGCGUACUGUCUUCUAACAGAGGAUGGAGAGCCUCCAACUUUUCAUGAAGCUUUAAACAGUUCAGAUGUUGCUUUGUGGAAGACAACAAUGCAGGAAGAAAUUGAAGCUCUAUACAAGAACAAGACAUGGGAACUUGUACCACUACCACACGGAAGAAAAUCCAUUGGAAACAAAUGGGUCUACAAGAUCAAACGUGAUGGUAAUGAUCAAGUGGAGCGGUAUCGUGCAAGACUGGUGGUGAAAGGAUAUGCUCAGAAAGAAGGUAUUGACUUCAACGAGAUAUUUUCUCCGGUGGUUCGACUCACAACAGUCAGAAUAAUCUUGGCAAUGUGUGCUACAUUUGACCUACAUCUAGAGCAGUUAGAUGUUAAAACUGCAUUUCUUCAUGGAGAACUUGAAGAAGAAAUUUAUAUGCUCCAACCAGAAGGUUUUGCAGAAACAGGAAAAGAGAACUUGGUUUGCAGGUUGAACAAAUCUCUAUACGGUCUCAAACAGGCACCGAUGUGUUGGUAUAAGAGAUUUGAUUCCUUCAUUAUGAGCCUUGGAUACAACAGACUCAGUUCAGACCAUUGUGCAUAUUACAAGAGGUUUAAAGAUAAUGAUUUCAUCAUUUUGCUGUUGUAUGUGGAUGACAUGUUGGUAGCAGGUCCCAACAAAGAUCGAAUCCAAGAAUUGAAGGCACAAUUGGCUAGGGAGUUUGAAAUGAAGGACUUGGGACCAGCAAACAAGAUUCUAGGGAUGCAAAUUCACCGAGACAUAAAUAACAGGAAGAUUUGGCUUUCGUAGAAGAAUUAUUUGAAGAAAAUCUUGCGGCGCUUCAACAUGCAAGAUUGUAAGUCAAUUUCUACCCCACUUCCUGUUAAUUUCAAAUUAUCCUCAAGUAUGUGUCCUAGCAAUGAAGCAGAGAGGAAGGAGAUGUCUCGAGUACCGUAUGCAUCAGCAGUGGGAAGUUUGAUAUUCGCUAUGAUAUGUACAAGACCGGACAUUGCACAAGCAGUGGGAGCAGUCAGUCGAUACAUGGUGAAUCCUGGUGGAGAGCAUUGGAUAGCUGUGAAGAUGAUUCUGAGAUACAUCAGAGGAACCUCAGAUGUUGCAUUAUGUUAUGGAGGAUCAGAGUUUACUGUCAGGGACUAUGUGGAUUCAGAUUUUACAGGAGACCUUGAUAAAAGGAAAUCCACUACUGGUUAUGUGUUUACACUUGCGGGAGCAGCUGUAAGCUGGGUUUCGAAACUGCAGACAGUUGUGGCUUUAUCUACAACAGAAGCAUAGUACAUGGCAGCUACACAAGCUUGCAAGGAAGCUAUUUGGAUACAAAGAUUAUUGGAGGAGCUCGGGCACAAACAACAGAAAAUUCUUGUGUUUUGUGACAGUCAGAGUGCCUUGCACAUUGCAAGGAAUCCAGCCUUUCAUUCCAGGACAAAGCACAUAGGAGUUCAGUAUCAUUUCGUUCGAGAAGUAGUGGAAGAUGGAAGUGUGGAUUUACAGAAAAUCCAUACGAAGGAGAAUCUAGCAGAUGUUUUGACCAAGCCGAUAAAUACUGAUAAGUUUGUCUGGAGUAGAUCAUCUUGUGGCCUAGCAGAAACGUAGGCAACAUGAUUAUGGCGAAGCAGAAAGGACGGUGUGGAGAUUGAUUGUUUUUCAAUCUAAUCUCCAAGUGGGAGAAAUGUUGAAUAUGGGGCACCACUCUUCUAGAAAUGUUGAAAAUGGGCCCUCUUCUAGAAAUGUUGAAAAUGGGCCGAAAUGCUUGAAGAGGAAAAUGGAAAAAGAAAUGUUUGAAGAAGAAAAUGAGGAACACGGUUUUGACUUUCUUAGCCAUCAUUUUGCUAUAAAUAGAAGUGCAAAUGAAGAGCUUAAGUAUUCCAUUCUGAGAGUAAUUUAGCAGUUGAGAGAGAGUUUAGAGAGCUUGAAUUUAUAAGCUCUUGUUAUAGUGAUUUUGAGAGUUUGGGUGUAUUGGAGUUUUGGGAAGUGAGCUAAAAUACUACAAUACUUGUAACUCCUUUUCACUAGUAAAAUAUUUCCUUCUGUCUUCGCCCGUGGAUGUAGGCUAAAAGCCGAACCACGUAAUUUCUGGUGUCCUCUAGUGUGCUUGUUCUUUAUUUUCUUCCAAUUUUAUUUUAUCUGCGUGUCUGCUUCACCCACCAAUUUCCUAGCAUUAACUAAAUAUUUUUUAACCAUAUAUGUAUAGUUGGAUUAAAUAGUGGAGAUUACAACAAAACAUAUGCGAAUUAGUUGUGAUGUUGAGUUCAGAAGAUUGAAGUUAAAAAAAUUAAAGGUUUCUUGAUCAAGGGAAAUUUCAAAAGAGUGAAGCGUCUUCUAGAUCAAGACGAAAAUAAGGAAAGGGUAAGGGUGUAUUUUCAAAGUGAUUCUAUUGAAAGAUCUUUGAAGAUUACUUUCGUUAAGAGCAGGAUCCCACACUCUUGAGCCUUUGUCGUCCCAGUCAACUAUAAAGACACAUUAUUAUUGAGUAUGAACAUUGCGACUUAUAGAUCACCAAAUUUUCAAACUUAUGAUCUUCGUUGAAUCUGCAAUCCCUUUUGAAAAAAAAAAAAAAAAAAAAGGAAAACUGCAAAUAAUGAAACAAAAUUCUGUUCCUUGAUAGAGUUACGCGGCUUCAACUUGCAAGUGCUGUCGGCAUUUUCAAACUUGUAAGACCCUUCAACUUGCUUUCCAAGAUAGCUAUAAUCAAUAAUGACAACCGAAGACGGCUACGUUUGCGGUACAAAAGUUGCACCAUAUUAGACGUUCUUUUUAGGGAUGGCAAUGGGGCGGGGUGGGGGUGGGGAUGCCUACCCCAUUCCCCACCCCAUUAAAAUUUUUUGCCUCCAUUCCCCACCCCAUUCCCCAAUAAAUUUAGUGGGUUGGGGAUGGGGAAUCCCCACGUGGGGAAUGAUUCCCCCAUCCCCACCCCAUUCCCCAUUUACAUAUUUUAUAGUAAAUAUAAAAAUAUGAUUUCAGUAAAUUAAAAAUUAGAGACUUAAGAUAAAAUCAUCACAAUAUUAUAAAGUAUUUAAUUUUAAAAAAAAAUCUCUAAAAAUUUGAAACAAUAUCUUAAAAUGAUAUUAAAAGUGAAAAAUAUUUAAAGAAAGCAGCACCUUAAAAGAGAAAAGAAAAUAUAUUAAUGUUUUAAAGUUGAAAAAUAUUGUAGAAUUUUCUUUUAUUCAUAUUCUAUUUAUAUUACAUAAAAAUUAAAAAAAAAUUAUUAAUUGACAUUAUAGUUGAUAAAAUACAAAUUAUUAAAUAAGAAUUAAAAACAUAUUUAUAUAUAAUGGGGAUUGGGGUGGGGGUGGGGUGGGGAGUGCAAUACCAAACCCCACCCCGUUAACAAUUUGGGGAUUACUUUUCUCCCACUCCCCACCCCAUUCCCCAAAAAUUAUUAAAAAAUUUCCCCAUUUGGGGUGGGGCUCCAUGGGGCCCCAACCCGUGGAGGAUUUUGCCAUCCCUAGUUCUUUUUUGUUCUUAUCCGAAGUAACCGUUGGAUUCAAAGGAAAGUGAUCAGACAUUCAAUAGCUUCACACGUGGACAUUAUAGGAUACCGGUCAAAUCGGUUAGUGCUCCUCCACAUCAAACUCACAAGCAUGGCUAUCAUCGUAUCAGCUUGGAAACUUGUUACAAGUGACGAAGAGCAACAGGGUCCGCUCCUCUAGAGUCGGUUAGUGCUCAAUAAUGUUACAGGUUUUAUAAUCUAUGUAACUGGUACGAUCGCUGUCUCAAGUGGUAAACUUUUGAGGCACAAAUUUAGAACGAAAAGUUUCCAAUAAAAUAAGUUAUUUAAUUAAUUAAAUAAGAAUAAAAUGAAUUUGUAAAAAAAUUUUAAAUUUAAUUUUGAAUUAUUUUGACCAAAAUUUAAGUUUUUUUUUUUAAUUUGUUUAAGAAAAUGUGUUGUAAUUGUCUUGUUUUAAUUGGAAAAUCAAUGAAAAAAUUAUGUAAAAAAAAAAAAAAGCAAAACGCUUUGUUUUGGAUGGAGGCCAUAGAUUCCAAUAUUUCCUUAACGAAAACUACAAAAAAAUUAUCAAAGGCAUCAAUUUCUACACUCUCACCGAGCAAUACUCUUAUGCUGUGUUUACUUGCUGGAGUGGGAGUGAGGAGUGUGGAUUCCUCCCACUCCAGCGUUUACUUACUCAAAAUGGGGAGGGAUUAGGAAUCUCACUCCGUGGGCCCCAUCCAUUUUUGAAGUGGGGAGUGGGAGUGGGACUCCGAUUGGGGGAGGUGGGAGUGGGAAUCCACCCCCACCUCUCCCAUUUCUACCCUUUUUUUUAAUUUUAUGUUUUAUAAUUAAUAAAAUAAAAUAAAUAAUAUUAUAUUUAUUUGAAUAAUAUUAUUAUAUUUAUUUGAAUAAUAAUAUUAUAUUUAACUAAAUAAUAAUUUACAUUGAUUCUAAGUUAAAAUUAUUUUAAAAUAAUAUUAUUAUAUUAAUAGAGAAUUAAUAAAUAUAAUAUUAUUAUAUUUAUUUUAAAAAUAAUAGUACUAUAUUUAUUUAAUAUUAAUAAUAAUAAAUAGUUUAUUCUAAGAAAAUAUUAAUUUUGUACUAAAUAAUAUUAUUUUAUUAUUUUAUAUAAUAAUAAAUUUAAUAUAAUUAUAUUAAAUAAAAUAAAAUAACAUUUCAUUUUAUAUUAAAAUUAAAAUUAAUAAUUUAUUGUUCAUAAUUAAGAAUAUUAAUAAUUAUAAUAAAUUUACAAAUAUAAUAAAAUAAAUAUUAUUCAUUAAAUAUAUUUUUUAUUAGUUUUGUAAUUAAAAACUAUAAUUCUUUAAAUAAGGAUAAAAUUGUAAUUUGAAACUAUUUACUCCCAAUCCAAGACAAAGUAAACACAUAAAUUGAAUUCUGAUCUCCAUUCCAUACUUCUAUUCAAGUGUAAGUAAACAACCUACUCUCACUCCCACUCCACACUCUCAAUCCUAGGAUUCCCACUCCUCAGGAUUCCCAAUCCAAUCCAAAAAAUAAACGCUACCUUAACCCAGAAGGAAGUGUAUAAACCAACCCCAAUCAGUCCAUCAAUGUCGUCAACCUCAUACAGCAUAAAAAAAAUAUGUGUCCAUUAAACCGCCAUUUUUUUUUUUUGGUUAAACCACGAGGUAUCCUGGUAGGGCCCCAACUGUGGGAGGCACCUUUAAGCCCGUACCACAACCCAGACUAUAGCUCCCCGCUCGCACGUUGUGGCUAGUGCUCCCAACAAAUGCGACUUCUCUGCGACUCGAACUGGGGAGCAAACCCAGUCAAACCACUUAAGGGGGCUCCAGUUGCCAGAGGAGCCAACACUUUGUUGGUAUUAAACCGCCAUUUAAACUGACUUUAUUGAGUCAUUAGACUAUUGGUGUCAUCUUCCCAUCUCGUUGUAGCAUUUUACCGUUCAAAUCUAGUUAUCAAUUGUGGAAAAUGGGGACCAAUCUGCAAGUCUUUAAAAUAGAAAGAAACUUUAAUUGGGCACUAUGUUCACGGUAGUGGACACAGCAGCAGCUAUUUGUGCUUUAAAAAUUAUUUUACACUCUAAUUUUAAUAAAAAUAUAUAUUACAAAAUUACUUAUCAUAUAAGUUACUGGAUAAUAUAUUAUAAGUCAACAUUAUAUAAUUACUUUGAACACUUAUAUAGCCCAAUCCUAAUUCAAUUUAUUAUUCUCAUAACUUAAAUAUAAGUCAACAAUAUAAGGGGGUUGUGACAUGGGUUUAAACAUGAUUUAACAAGUGCCACCUGUGAAUUGUCAGAGAUUGUAUUUUCAUACACAUGUCAAAUUUUCAAGUCCAACAAAUUGUUAUCUUUCUAAAGAGGCUAAUAUUAUUAUUAUCUAUGCAUAGCAUGCUAUAAACAAUUCAUAUUCUGUACACAACAUAUGGACAGAGGAACAAAUCCCUGAGCUAAAAUCAUCAUAUUCUAAAAUAUUCUAUUAAAUCAACACCACAAAACGCGAACGCUAAACAGAAUUGGAGCAAUUUACCAAAGCUAUUUGUCACGCAAAGCACUAGUACCUCAGAACCCAAUUUGCAAAAAAGCACCAAAAAUGAAAAAUAACAAAUGCCCAGAUGAAAAAUCAGGAAAAAAAAAAAUGCUCAAAUCCAAAUUACAACCCCAUAAGCUGAGUUGUUCUCUUCGAACUGAAUUAAAAAAAAAUUAAAUAGGGAGAUUGACCUCAAACUUUGGAAACAGAAGCGACAGCGAUCUGUUUCUUGUCUGGAGUGUCCAUUUCUAUAAUCUACUUUGUCCGCUUUCAGUCGCUCUGCCACAGAGCUUCUUCCCUCUGAAGCUGAAGCUCACACACACUUGCAAAACGAAAGCAUUUUUUAUUGAUUGAGAGGCGGGAAGGCGGGAAAAUGAGAGAAAUUUGCAUUUGUUUUCUCUUGGUUUGGUCAUACCUGUGCGGGCCCCAGCUUGACAAGCGGUAUUAUUAUUAUUUGUAUAAUUUACAUGACGCGUGUCACGCAAUGACGAUAAAAAAUAUAUAUAUAUAUUGUUAAUUUUUCACUUAACAUUGAAAUAUCAUAUAAUUUUUCCAAUUUUAUGGUUAUUUUCUCGCCCUUAUGCCACAUUCUUUUGAUCAAAUAAUACAGUAAAACUUUUCUAUAAUCAUAAUAUUAAAGCCAAAUUAGCUUUAUUUAUGUAAAGAGGCUAUAGCUUAAUAAAGGUAAAAUUAUAAAAAUUAUUAUUUUGACUCAGUUAUCUUUAGUGUAAGUGAUAUAAAGUAUAAAUAUAUGAUAAUUAAUUAAUGAACUAUGUCAAAUACAAUAUGCUGACAAUGAUAAAAAAGAUAGACAUAAUUUCAAGAAACUAAUACAUAUAUUUAUGUAGUGCUGGGAUUAUACAAAAUCAUCUUAAAAGUGUAAAGUAUUAUUCUGAUUAAUUUAAAAUAAUUAUUAUUGGAUUCAAAUCAUGUCCUAGGCAUUUUUUCUUCUAGUUGGAGCUUCCAUUUGUUCUAGAGAUUCAAAGGCAGCAAGCUGCUUCCCCAGUGCUACUAAUUCUUCCCCGGCAUUGCAUGUGUAGCCUGAGGCUUGUCUACCAGACAAAGUUGCUCCUUCCAUACUAUCUAUGUAAUCCUGUGAGAGUGAAACCAUUUAGAAGACAUAUCUCUUUUUUUCCAAUAUUUGGAAUGAAACAAUUAUAUACAGUUACCUGUUUUGUAUAUGAGCUGGCGAGGAAGAAGUUCUUCACUGGUAUCUUUUGAUCAGGUCUGAAGGGGUCUUUACCAGGUCCCUCACCUCACAAAGAUUGCCGGAUUUUGACGACAGAUAACCAAAUAACUUCUAAACCUUGGGAUGAUGGAAAUAGAGCUAAAACCUAAUAAAAGGAACCGUGAAUGGAUAGUAUGGAUUCAUGUAUAUUAUCCAGAAAGUUGCAUGACCUUUUGUGGUACUCAGGUCACUAAAAAACGUGAGAUAAACAUCUAGGAUAAGAAAAGCAAAAAAGCAUAACCUAAUACGUAUUAUAUGAAUUGAAGGUGUCACUGAACACUACUAACCUGCUUUGCCACUCUCCUUAUGAUUUCAUCAUUUGAUAAGGGCAUAUAAGGAUCUCCAGGCGUCAAAACGCAUCUGAAAGAUAAUAUGGUUAUAGGAAGCAAGAUGGAAUACAAAGACACUUGGCAAAAGGAAGUCAAUCAGAUUCCAUGCACAAAAAAUAACUAAUAAUGACGAGGAUAAGAAAUGUUUCUUACUGGAGAAAUGAACCUUGCCCUUCUCUGUAGUAGUAUUCUGGUGAAGUGAGUGCUAGAUCUGCAAAGCAAGGGAAAUCUGCAUCUGGAGUAUAUAAAAGGUUAUCUAGCCCCACAGCUUGCUUCUAUUGCCUACAUGUUCAAUACAAGGAUCCGUUAAAAAAUGGAAAUUUCUUCAAUGCAUUAGUAAAGGGGAGUGAAGUGAAAGCUGAUUUCUUAGGCCUUCACAGAGCAUCUUGUGUUUGACAGCAAGCACUAAAGAAUAAACUCAAAGUCAGUGCUUCUAACAGAUGAUAUAAACAACAAAUUUACAAAUAUCAGGUCAUUGCAUUAGCUCCAUGCCUCCAUCAGAGCGAACAUUAAUAGAUGCGUAAAAAAAAAAUAAGAGCCAUAUGUGAAACAAUUUACCUUAGACAUGGCAAGUCCUUUGACAAAUGUUUCCCCGUUAGCAAAUUUAUCAUAAUGCAUCUCUCUGCAUCCCCACCUAAGAUGGAACCUGUUCUCACAAGAACAGACUCCAAGGUUGGGAAAAUCAAUUGAUCAUCGGAGAAAACAAACAGGAUUAACAAAUCACUACAAUGGUGUGAACCCGUAAAUACAAAUGUACCUGCCCCCUUUAUUUGCGAUAUAUUUUCUUAUUGGCCCAAUCAAAUAAACAUCCGGAGAACCCUUGAGCAUCUGUAAUAGGGAAGCCUCGGUCUUAGUCGCAAACAGUGCAAAUAUAGUAUGCAUACAACGAGCAAUGAUGUUAUCACAAUCAAUAAACCCAAGGGCAAACGCAACAGAAUCUUACAUUCUUUGGAUACUCAUCCAUGUACCACCCUUGGACAAAAACCAAUCAGAGAAGCUUAUCUGUAAGAAGAAAUGAAGUUUUAGGUAAAAUAAAAAUUUGUAGGAACAGGGAUUGAAAUUCAACAAACAAGAGCAAUAGCAUUUCUUGAUUUAUCAUAAGUCUGCACUUGAAAUUCAAGAAGUGCCUUUACAACAGGACUCAGCGCAAGAGCAAUAGCAUUUCUUGAUUUAUCAUAAGUCUGCACUUGAGCAAUAUACGAGGCAAAGUACAUCAAAAGAGAAUCCAAAAGAGGCAAGAAGCUUCAACAUGAAAAAAGGAGUACUGCCUCGUCAUACUGCUUUGCAAUCACAGUGCAAAAGAUAACAUCAACAAAAUCAAAAUCGAGCAUAAAUCCGUAUGCACUACCUUAAGCUGAUUUGUAGACAAAAAUGCAUGAAUCCCAUGUAAUGGAGCUCUAAUCGGAAACCGGAAAUCAAGUUCUGGAGUUGAAAAUCAAAAUCAUGAAUCAAAUCAGAGUUGUUAUUGAAUUAGACAAUCCAUAAACCAAUAGAAGGUGAUGUCAAACCAUCAAGCAUAACUAUUAGUUGUUUUAAGUGAUCAAGAAAUAACUAUACCACCAAUUUCACCACCCUUAUUUACAAAUUUAUGAGUAUGAUCCUUCAUGAGUAAAUUUUCGUCCGCACCGACCUGUCGACAUCCAUGAAAAACUAUCAGAUCAUAAACACAGGUUCCAGUUAAAGAGGAUCUAUGAUUCUGAUCCAUCAUGUUAUUUGAACAACAUAUUCGGAUUUUCUUACAACCCUAAGCUUUUAUCAGUUAUCAUCGCUACAAAUGAUAUGGUCAAGAGGAAUGAUAGUUCUUGUUUCAAGAAUCUCAAAUCGUAAUUCUUUUGCAUGGCUUCUGUGCUUUUAUAAUCAUUCAAACACGCAUAUCCACAACUAAGCAAGCUUUACCUUUUUUGUCAAUCGGAACAGAUUAUUGUAGCAUCCAAAGAAAACGUGCAGGCUGAUUUCAAUAUGGUUUCCACGUUUACAGACAAAUGAAGCCACUUUACCACCAAUAAAAGACCUCAACUCAUAUAUAUCCACCUGGAAGAAAGGAAAAGUUUAAAAAAAAGGAAUAAAAAUUCUUCUAAUUUCUUUCACCAUCAACAAAAUCAGAAAAACACAUACUAAUUCAAAAUGAAAUAAAGUUUGUGAAUUGAAAUAAUGCCAACUCCUAAGAAAAAUUAUGACUGCUGAUAUUUUUUCCGAAAUGCUGAUAAAAGCUUCUGCUAUUUACUUCGAAAAAAUUGAGGUUAGAAGCCUAUUUACUUGAAAUUUUGAGUUUAGGCAAGAGGAUGAAUGGUAAAAGUGAAACAUUUUAGGGAAAAAUGUACGUCAGAGGCCAAUGAAAGCAUUCAGAAGAUUGAAAUCUAAAUGAGCAAAACCCCGUGGCCUUGAUCCAACAAAUCCACUGCUGUUGACAUGCCUGCAAGCCCAGCUCCAAUAAUAGCCACUCUCAGCUUUGGUCCUCUAUAAUGUUCCGGUUCUGGUAGAAACAAACCCUUGGGAGCUGCCAAGUAUACCAUCCAAUUAUCCACAGCGAUAAUGGAAAUAUAUAUGUGUUUAAAGGUACUAAAUUCCUAAACAUGAAAUGUAUCCAAAGAGAGACACAAAGCAGAAUUGUGAAAGCAUUUCAAUUCCCAAUAAAUUUUAAGAAUACAAAAUACUCGGUCUGUUCCUCAAUUCCUUUAAUAAAAUUUCCACUAGAGGCUACGGAAGCCACUCAAUAACACUCCAAAGCCAGAUUUUAAACGUUAUCUUUAUCUUUAACUCCAAUCCAUAAACAAUUCUGCCACAAAUUCAAUCCAAAAUUGUUCAAGUGCACCGCCAAUUCUCCGUCAAUUCCCUCAAAAAUUCAUAAUUGGCAAACACUACAAACCCAAAAGAGCUUCCAGCAAUAAACGCAUAAAAAUCCACCAAGCAACAGAAAACAAAAUACCCAGAAACCAGAAAAGCCAAAAGAUCAAUGCUUGGCAAACAAGCAAAUCAAAUAAAACAAAAAGAAGAGAAAUUUACCAUUAACGCUCAUAUCAGAAACAUUAGCGUCCAAAGAAGCCCGUACACGGAAUCUUGGACCCUUCACUUGAACCCGAGACCAUGUAACGCCAGUAACUGAAGUUGCAGGAAACAGAACUGAAGAACCCAUAUUGCAAAUCCUGAGCUGAAAUCAAAGAAAUUCAAUUGGAACUCAAUUCAGCUCAACCGAGCGGCGCUCUCUUUUGCUUCAAUAACAAAGUAUUUUUCUUUCAUAUCAACAAAGAUUUGUCAACAUCAACAAAAUUUAACUAAGAAACUAAAAUAAUGAGGUAUCUUUGAGUUUAAGAAUCUAACAAGAUGCUAAGGAAGAGAGUUUUGUCAGGGAACUGUUUCGGAGAGGUUGGCCAAGUGGUUCUUUGUUUUUUUCUUCUUUUUUGGCCCUUUUCAUUAAUACACAACAGUAGUACUCGUGAAGAGCACAAAAUGUUGGUGACUUUGUCACUAACGAUACCAAAGUGGAGUGACCAGAGCAACCAACUAAAUUUUAAAGAGAGGGAGUGAUAAGUAAUAUUUUCUUUGGGUGAUUAAUUAAUUUAUUAUCAAAUAAUUUUAUUUAUUUAAUUAAACGACAUCCUUAUCUUUGUACAAGGCUGAUGAAAGACGACGAUGUUGUGUUGUCACAUAUUUUUGGGCCGACCGUUUCUUGUUUCGGCUUAAAUGAGGCUUUUGUAAUUUUGUGCUGUUUUUUAACUGAGUAUUUUGUGCUAAAUUACGCCAAAGAAAAAGUGUAAUUGUUAAAAGAUCUGCUGACACUCAUAACCUCUUAAGCGGAAUUUAUAAUGUGACAGUAUUGAUAUCUAAGUUCAUAAUAUCUAUGGGAGUGAUAAAACGAAUAAAUGAAUCGAAUCGUAAAUGAAUUUAGUUAAAAUUUAAUGGAUUUGAAUUCGAUGUGUUAUCAAGCGAAUCAUAAUUUUAAGAUUCAAACUCAAUUCAUUUAUUUAAUGGAUAUCUAUUUAAUUCGUUUAUUGUAAAAACUUAAACAAAUUGAGUUGAAUUUGGAUUCGUUUACAAUUUGUUUAAUUCAUUUAUGCAAAAUUAAUAAUAAAUCAAUCAAAUGUGGAUUUGUUUAAAAAAUAAUAAUAAUUAAUAAAAAAAAUAAAGUAAAAUAAAAUAUAAAAAAUCAUAAAAUUAACAACCUACAAAAUACAAACAAAUUAGUGACCCCAAACUCGGAUUCGAUUCAUUUAUUUAAUGAAUUGAAUUGAAUUCACUUAUUUGUUAAUGAAUUAUUUUUUUAAAAUUCAGACCUAUUUAAUUUGAAUCUAAUAAACAAAUCCUAACCUAAAUUGCCAUCUCUAAAUAUGAUGGACCUACUUAAAAUAUAUGAAUACCAAAAUGUGUGGGCUAAAAAGUGGUUUACCAUGCAGCAAUAAGAAUUUUAAGCUCUCUUUUCUUAUGUCACCCAAGGCAUUGGCUGGAUGGCCAAACAGCAGAGUUCAAGUCUACAAUAGAGAAUCGAAAUUUUCCUUUGUAAAUGUUCGUAAGUAUUUAGCAUAGAUUUUUAAGUUAUUCUUGAUAGAUCCCCUACCACAUACGCUAUAAUAUUUCUCUUCUUUUAAUUUAAAAGUAAAUCAUGCAUAAUAACGGGUUUGUAAAGAAAUGAAAUUUCUGGUAAUUAACUGUCAAAAAAAAAGGAUGGAUUAAGCGAAAGAAGUUAAUAUAGAGUUAAGUCGAGUACUUGACAAUAGGGGUGUUCGCGGAUCGGAUUUUACAGAUUAGACAUCAAUCUAUAUCUGAUCCAUAAUUUUACGGAUUAUAAUUUUUCAAUCCAAUCCAAUCCACAGAUUGAUAUAAUUCAAUUCAAAUCCAAUCCAUACAUCUGCAGAUCGGAUGCGAAUUUGACUCAAUCCAUAUCCAAUCCAUAAGUCUGCGGAUCGGAUGCGGAUUUGACUCAAUCCAUAUCCAAUCCACCAUUUUGCGCAUUAGUUUUCGAAUUAAAAAUUUUUAGUUCUCUCCAACUAAUGAAAUAAAAAAAAAAUCUAAUAUAAAAAUAAUUUUGCUACCAAUUAAAUUUAAAAUUGAAUAAAAUUUAAAUAAAUUAAUUGUUUAAAUAAAGCUAAAAAAAUACAUUUAAAAUUUUAAAAUAUAACACAUCGAGACUAAUUAUUCAAAUAAAGCUACAAUAAUACGUUCAAAGUUUCAAAAUAUAAUACACCAAGCUUAAUUGUUCAAAUAAAGUUACAAUAAUACGUUAAUAUAACACCGAAAUUAAUUAUUGAAAUAAAGCCACAAUUAAUUGAAAUGACGAAGCUUCGGAAACCAAACACAGUCUAAUCCUUUACCAGGGCUGUUGCGCUUGUCGAAAAGUGGUGAUUACGGAGCCGUCCACGAUGGGAACUAGGAGAAGUCGUCGAGUGGCAAUCUUGAAGGUUGUGAUAAUGAAAUUGUUCAGCUGGAACCAGUGAAUGUGAAGUGGCUCGGUGGACUUGGGAAAGAAGAUGGCUUGCUCUCGCUGUAAUCGCGCGGCCGAUGUCCUUCAAAUCCGUGUCGAGAGUGUAUCCAACCAGUAUUGAAUGUUGCUAGUGUGUGUCAUGGCGGGGAAGCUUAGGGUUUUUUGUUUGCAAAUUAUUUGUGACUUAGCGUCAUGUUACUUUACUUUUGGGUGACUUUGCAAAUUGUUGGUGAUUUGGCGUUAUGUUACUUUGCUUUUGCUAAUGUGUGUGACUUUGCUUUUAUUUUGUUUUACAAUGUCUACAAGUUAUAUUUGUAUAUUUGAUUAUUUAAUUAUUUUUUAUUUUAUAUUAUUAUUGGGUAAUGGCUAAGAUAUGUUAUAGUGUUUAUGUAACUAUGUAAUGUCACAUUUAUAAUUUUUUUAAUUAAAUUUAUAAUAAUUUUUUAAUUAUAUAUAAAUAUAUAUAAUUAAAAAAUUAUUAUAAAUAUAUAUAAUAUUAUUAGAAACUAUUAACAACGGCACAAAAUGCCUGUGAUAAUGAAACAAUGUGCCAUCCUUAAACUAAUAUUAUUAGAAACUAUAAGUGAAAGUUUUCAGAAAACACGCACGUGAUAAGUUUUCUCCUUUGUUUUGAUUUACGCGAGAGAUAGUUGUAAAGCGUAAAAUUUUAAAAUCCGUAACAAAACAAAAACUUACAUGGGUUGGGCGCACCAUGUGCAUACCAAAUUAGAAUAAUUGACGAAUCGUAAUAAAAAAUUUAUAUAUAAGAAUUGAAUGAGAUCCAUGGUUCACAAUUGCAAAUUAAAGGUUGGUUUUAUAAUAAAAAUCUUUUUGUGCAUACCAAAUUAGAAAAGAUUAUAAGUAAAUUAAGAUUUUCAAAAUUUGACUAGUAUUAUAUUACGUUCAUCAAUAAAAUAUAAAUUUGUUAUAUAUAUAUUUUAUUCUGUAACCAAUGCUUUCAAAAACUUUAUACUUAUAUGUUUGAACAACUUUUUUCGUUUUCUAUUUAUAUACGAUAUCAUUUAUGUUUACAUAAAUUUUCAUAUGUACCCAAAUUAAGCAUUAAAUACACACACUUUGGUAAGACACAUUAAUUUCUAGUAUCAGACAAUGAUAUUAUAUUGAAUGUAAUGCUUCAAUGAAUUUUAUUACUAUAUACUAAAAUACUCAACGAUCUCCAUUAAAAAAAGAAAAGAAAUUGCAUGAUUAGAAUGAUUAAAGAUCAUUUGAUGAGGAGUUUCAUCAUUAACUGUGUCGAAACACAGCAGCAAUCCACAAUACACUUAACAGGAGAGGGGCACACAAGCAUGCAUGAAUCUUCCACCAUUAAACCUGAAAUCAUAAAAUAAAAGAAACAAGAUGAGUGUUGUUUUACGGUCUGAAAGCCGAUUCCAAUUAAUAAUAAUAAUAGUAAUAGUAAUAAACCUUUGUUAAUAAUUACUACUAGUUGUCUCUGCCUUUUGCAUCUUCCUCCUUUGUAUCAUCGUCCUCUUCCAAUCACACGGCUAGACCAGUAUGUCUCGAGAAUCUUUACUGCCUUCUCAGAGAUCCCGUUGACGUCACGACUUCGUAGAUUUUCAAUCUUUUCUAAUCCCUCAGCCUCCUCAACCAACUGGGCAUAUUGAUUAAAAUCUCCAACGGCGGUACCCGUAUUCAUUUCAGCUACCCCGACCUUCAAAAUGUUCUCUAAUCCUUCUAAGCAAACAGUGACGAUCUUUGGAUCAGCACAUUGAAGGAGACCACACAAUGGUUUUAUACACCCCGUUCUCACGAGGUACUUGAUUUGAUCAUGAGUGCCACGCGAGCUGGCAUUCGAAAUUGCCCAAGCAGCCUCCUUCUUUGUAUCAAAUUCAGCAUUUUGAAGUAGAUUGACAAUGGGACCAAUUAAGCCGGAAUCAAUUACCGCCUGAAUCUGCUCCCUGUUUCCAGCUGUAAUAUUUGAAAUAAUCCAGCUAAUCUUCUUCUUGAUGAUCUCUUCAUGAUUAUGGACUAAAAUGUCCAAAAAGUAUGGCAGUGCACCACAGUUAAUUAUAUACUGAGUCUGGAAAUCAUCUCCCGUCACAAUAUUUCCAACAGUCCCCAGGGCAGGGGCAAGCACUGAGGAUGAUGAGUGACCAAGGAGCUCAACAAGUCGUGGACAGACACCUGCCUCGAUCACAGCUUGAAUUUUGUCAUUCGUACCAUCAGCAAGAUACGCGAGUGUCCAACAGGCAUAUGUCAAGACCUCUUCAUCGUUUGAACGAAUAAGCUGUGCAAGCGCCGGGAGAGCUGGCCUUACCUGAUCAAAUGGUGGCUGUGGCAUGCCCCUGCAUAAAUUAGACAAUGUCCAUGUGGCAGUUCUCAGCAUUGAAAGCUUAGUGUGGUCCUUUAAUUGCUCCAGCACUGGAAUCAAAGCUUCUUCGCGAAGCACAAGAUUACGGCAUCCAAGUGAGUCACCACCAAUAUUUCCCAUUGCCCAAACAGCCUGCUCGCGGACAUCCUCACUUGGAGAAGCAAGUAGUUUCACAAAUAUUGGAACAGCACCGUCGUCAAUCACCACCUUAGUGUUCUCUGAAGUUCCAGAAGCAAUGUUUGUAAGAGCCCAAGCAGCCUGAAAAUGAAGUUGCGGAUAGUCUACCCUCAUAAGAAACUCAACAAAGCGCGGGACAACGCCAGAUUGUAUGACUUCAUCAAUUUGUGGACUCCUCUCAAUCGAAAGUAGAUUUCGGAACCAAGUAGUUGCUUCCAGCUGCAAGCCGCUGUCAUCUGACCAAACCCCAGCAACCAUCCUGUGAAAACUCGCGUACUUGUUUUAGGAGCAGGAGCAGGAGGAGGAAAUUAAGUUAGGGAUUUGGAGUGAGAGUGAAGGUGGAGAAAAAGCAAGAGAGGGAAAAAGUUGAUUGUUGAGAAAUAUAUACCUUUCGUAUGGUUGUGUUAAGGUCGUCCUUCCAAUCCCAACAUGCUUCACCCCGCCGCUCCACUUUGUGUAAUUUGGGUGUACUUAAUUUUCCUUCAGAGAAAAUCUUCAUAUCGGGGCAAUCAUCCACCACUAAUCUUUCCAAAGAUGGGAAAUUGAAAGCACAAUUGCCAGAGCAGAAGCUUGUCAGACUUUCUAAGAGUAAAAGCUUCAACUCCUUCAAUUCUCUGAAAGUAAUAACCUCAUCUUGUGCUACAACAUCAUCCCCCAGUACUAUUUCUUUUAUCUUAUCGCAUGAUGCUAUCUCCAUAUAUCUAAGUCUCACCAGAGUCUUUGCAACUGAGGAUGUUAUUACGAUUUUCAAGUUGUUGCAACGCGAUACCACCAGAUUUGUAAGAUUCUGAAAGGAUGUCGACGAUGGCACUAGAUUGACCAAACGGUCACACCCCUUUACACGUAGAAUAACCAAGUUGUUCGUAACAGAGGACUCCUCUAUCAAAAUGUGCUCCAGUUGAUAUUUUGCUUCUAUUAUUUCUACCCUCAUCCCAUUUUCAACCUUCUCUUCCGGCAACCAAGCAUCAAGUCCUCCUAUUUGGAGGAGUUUCAUUGUGUGAAGUCUCUGGAGGAAGUCACCAAGCGAUAAAAUAGUCCGCUCAUCAUCCAACUCCACAAAAAUAUAUUUUAGUUUGCAAAGCAAGUCUUCAGAAAAUAGAUAUUUAUUUGUUACUACGUGCUUUGCAUCAACUUUCAACUCUUCCAAAUUAGGGAAUACCUGGGAGAUUGAUCAGAGCCCAAAAAAAAAAAAAUACAAGAUGAAUCAAUUGAUGAGAAUUAUAAGUUACCACUAAUUUAUAAAAUAUAUUUUAUAAAUUAGAAUAAUUAUGAAUGAAUACUAUACACUAAUCUAGAAUAAUUAUGAAUGAAUACUAUACACUAAUCUGUAAGAGAGUUACGUUGCUAACAAUUUGACUUUUAGUAAGAAACCAAGCGAUAAAGGCAAAGGCAAUAUAACUCUAAACUCUAUGAUAUAAACUCUCACAGAAUAAGAAUUGAAAAAUUGAUUAUAAAAUUCUUGUACGUACCCUUUCCGUGAAGAUACUAGUAGUUCUUUUGUAUCUCGCCAUGAAUUCAGGACAUGCAGAUAUCCAUAAUUCUUUCAAGGAUGGAAAUUCAAGAAUAUCAAGAUCUCCAGUGCAGAAGCUUGUGAUCUUUUCAAGAUCAGACAUCUCCAGAUAUUGCAACAGAGGAAACAUUACAAUAUUAUUCUUCCUUUCUUCUUGGUUGUCCACGACUAUUAACUCUUCCAGGACAGGACAUUUACUUAUCUCAAUGCUUUGGAGUCGAACAAAGCUACUAACAGUAGAAGAUGAAAAUAGACAUCUUAAAUUCAUACAUCCGUGUAGGAUCAAGCGUGUUAAAUUCUGAUUACCACAAGACAUGACUGUAACUGGGCUCAGCCGAAUCCUCCCAACAUUUAUUGAAUCCAACGUCAACUUCUCUAACUCUGGUAACCGAACCUGCUCGAACAAAAAAUUAACUUGUUAAUUGCAAGUAAACGAUCAUUGAUUAUAAAAUUCUUGUACGUACCCUUUCCGUGAAGAUACUAGUAGUUCUUUUGUAUCUCGCCAUGAAUUCAGGACAUGCAUAUAUCCAUAAUUCUUUCAAGGAUGGAAAUUCAAGAAUAUCAAGAUCUCCAGUGCAGAAGCUUGUGAUCUUUUCAAGAUCAGACAUCCCCAGAUAUUGCAACUGAGGAAACAUUACAAUAUUUUUCUUCCUUUCUUCUUGGUUGUCCAAGACUAUUAACUCUUCCAGGACAGGACAUUUACUUAUCUCAAUGCUUUGGAGUCGAACAAAGCUACUAACAGUAGAAGAUGAAAAUAGACAUCUUAAAUUCAUACAUCCGUGCAGGUCCAAGUGUGUUAAAUUCUGAAUACCACAAGACAUGACUGUAACUUGGCUCGGCCAAAUCCUCUCAACAUUUAUUGACACCAACUCCAACUUCUCUAACUCUGGUAAUGCAACCUGCACGAUCAAAAAAUUAACUUGUUAAUUACAAGCAACAAUGAUUUCUGUUGAUGGACAAAUCAAUAAAAUUACUCUUUCUCUGGUUAUAGUUCUUUUCAGUUUUUCAUACAAACAACCGUUAAUCAAGUUUUCCAAAUUAUUCCUUACUAAAUGUAUAGAUUUAGACGGCGGCUAAUAUAAUUCAUAUUGCAAAUAUUUUUUGAUUGUAACGAAUUUUGUAAUAUUAAAUUUUGGUUGAUUAACAAUAGGACCUACUGUCCAGCGCGAGCAGUUCUCGGGAUUUAACUACUGGCACCUCGAUUAUAUAAAAAUUUGGAAUAUUUUCAAAGGAAAUCACAUAAUUCCCCCUUGCAAAUAGUAAUUUCAUUAAUUGCCGCGGGUUCACAUAUAAUUCUAAGAAAUUAGGCGAGAAGAGUCUCAUCAACAAUCAAUCAGCAGAUAUCACGUUUGGCAGAUCAUCAUGAUUUCCUCAGAUGCUAGAGAAUCAAAGUGAUUUCCGCUCAUGCAGGAGUGGACACAUUAUCUUAGAGCAUACCUCACUGAGAUCUUUUAAAAAAUUUAUAUUAUAAAGUGAACAACAUAUUUAGUAUAGAUUUAGACGGCGGCUAAUAUAAGUUAUAUGUAUUCUAAUGACGUAUAUUAAAGAAAAUGACUAACCAUAAUUUCAAUCAACUUAUUAGUCUAUAUAUAUAUAUAUAAUAUAUAUUCAGCGAUUACAACAUAUUUAGUAUUCCAUAACAUGAUGUUUAUAAUAAUAAUUAUUAUUAAUUCACUUAUUGUGUCAGAGUACCUUUUCUUUCUCUAAGAAUGUAUUUGUUACACCCCACUAUACUUCGGAUGAAAAAUUUAGAAUAAUUGUGAAAUAUAAUUAUUAAUCACUCUUUGCCAUAUUUGUUACCAAACAGGAAUAUAACAAAGAAAAAAAACAAAAAUUAUAGAGAAUUAAUAAGACGAUUGACUUAUUAAUAACUGACCUUCUCAGGGAAAAGCGUAUUAGAAAUUUGGACAUUGUCCUCCAAAAUGAUUUCAUGUGACUGCAAAUCAUUAGCUGAUUCCUCUUGUCUCUGUUGACAUUGCAGGUGUCUUGAUUUAAGAGUGUAAACUUAAUUGUGAACACAAUCUUAAUUAAUGCACUUGUCUCUGUUUUACAUUGCAGAUGUCUUGAUUUUAGAGCGUAAACUUAAUUGUGAGCACAAUCUUAAUGCAUAGAUAUAAAAUCUUUAAAAAUGAGUACAAUCAACUUAGCACUAAAUCCAAAUUUGAUAUUUUGGAUUCCAUGAUUAAGAUUUUUUAAAUAAAAAUUUAAUAGAGUUAAUUUAAAAAUAAAAAUUAAAUGUGAAAAAUAAACUUGCAAUUAUGGAUUUAAUUUUGAUAAAUAAUGAGGUUCCGCCUAUGUUGCAACAGUUGCAACAUACCACUUCUUUUGUCAUUUUGUAAUUUAGCCAUUGGAUCCAAGACAAGAAUGGUAAAAGCAAAUCUAACGGCAGAGUGUAUUUAUUUAGGUUAUUUUCAUUGUAAUCCCUCUUGUUUUCUGAAAUGUCAGGAAAAAACAUAAUUAUUAUUUUUUUAUUUAUUGGCUUAGUUGUUAAAUGAUAUGAAUAAGAAGUAGGAAAUUUAAGAGGACUUUUAUUAUUGAUAUUAUGUAAUUACAAUGCAUGAUUCAAUACUAGUUUAUAAGAGUCACAACUUGUUAAAUAUAAAAUAAAGUUUAUGUUUGCAUCCUAACUUCAAAAAGAUAAAUACGUUUAUUUAUUCCACAAAUUAAUAAAUAUUUCAUAUUUUUUUAAUUAUUACUAUCAUUUCUAGAUCUACUCUCAUUAUGUAAAUUUAUUAAAAAUUAUAUUUAAUUAUUAUUUUAUAUUAAUUAUUAAUAUAUAAAUAUAAUAUGAUAUAAUAAAAUAAUAUUAUAAUAUAAUUUAUUUUUAAUAUUUUAAUUAUUAUAGUAAAAAUAAAAAUAUAAUAAAAAUAUAUUUUUAAUAUUUCAAUUAAGAAAAAUUUUAGCACAUUGUAGUGAAUUAUAUAAUUGACCACAAUCUAACUUUUAAAACUUCCAAACAUAGGUAAGUAAUAAAUUAAUGUGAACAAUAUUAUAACAAUAUACAAUACUGUGUUCUAAACACAUUCUAAUGGUGCGUUUAUUAAAUAAGAAUCGAAAUGAGCUAGAAUCAUAAUAAGGAAUCGGAAUGAACAACAUUCCCAUUGAUGUGUUUACUUUUUUUUAUAAUUGGAAUAAACUAUUAUAAGUUAUUAAAAUGCCCUUUGAUAAUUGUGUCCCUAAUAUUAUUUGUAUCUAUUAUAAUUAAAACAAUAAUAAUAAUAAUAAAACUAAAAAUAAUAAUUAUGAAAAUAAUGUUAAUUAAAACAAAAAAUUAAUAAAAUUUAACAACAAUAAUAAUAACAACAACAACAAAAUUAACUGAAAUAAUAAUAUUAAUAAUGAUAAUAAUAAUUAUUAUUAAUAAGUUUUAAUAAUAAUAUUAUUAAUAAAAAUAAUAACAACAUUAAUUAAUAAUAAUGAAAAUAAAAAAGUUAAUAUAUUUUAAUAAUAACAUUAAUUUUAAUCAUAACAAGAUAAAUAUUAAUAAUAAUGAAUUAAUUACAGUAUAAUAGCAAUUAAAAUAAUAAAAGUAAUAAAUUUUAAUAAUAAUAAUAAUGACAAUAAUAAUCAUAAAUAAUAAUAAUUAAAAUAAUAAAAUUUAAUAGCAAUAUAACUCUUAAGCUUUAUGAUUUAAACUUUCACAGUACAUACAUAAGAAUUGAAAAAAUGAUUAUAAAAUUCUUGUACGUACCCUUUCCGUCAAGAUAUUAGUAGUUCUUUUGUAUCUCGCCAUGAAUUCAGGACAUGCAGAUAUCCAUAAUUCUUUCAAGGAUGGAAAUUCAAGAAUAUCAAGAUCUCCAGUGCAGAAGCUUGUGAUCUUUUCAAGAUCAGACAUCUCCAGAUAUUGCAACUGAGGAAACAUUACAAUAUUAUUCUUCCUUUCUUCUUGGUUGUCCACGACUAUUAACUCUUCCAGGACAGGACAUUUACUUAUCUCAAUGCUUUGGAGUCGAACAAAGCUACUAACAGUAGAAGAUGAAAAUAGACAUCUUAAAUUCAUACAUCCGUGCAGGAUCAAGCGUGUUAAAUUCUGAUUACCACAAGACAUGACUGUAACUUGGCUCGGCCAAAUCCUCUCAACAUUUAUUGACACCAACUCCAACUUCUCUAACUCUGGUAAUGCAACCUGCACGAUCAAAAAAUUAACUUGUUAAUUACAAGCAACAAUGAUUUCUGUUGAUGGACAAAUCAAUAAAAUUACUCUUUCUCUGGUUAUAGUUCUUUUCAGUUUUUCAUACAAACAACCGUUAAUCAAGUUUUCCAAAUUAUUCCUUACUAAAUGUAUAGAUUUAGACGGCGGCUAAUAUAAUUCAUAUUGCAAAUAUUUUUUGAUUGUAACGAAUUUUGUAAUAUUAAAUUUUGGUUGAUUAACAAUAGGACCUAGUGUCCAGCGCGAGCAGUUCUCGGGAUUUAACUACUGGCACCUCGAUUAUAUAAAAAUUUGGAAUAUUUUCAAAGGAAAUCACAUAAUUGCCCCUUGCAAAUAGUAAUUAUCAUUAAUUGCCGCGGGUUCACAUAUAAUUCUAAGAAAUUAGGCGAGAAGAGUCUCAUCAACAAUCAAUCAGCAGAUAUCACGUUUGGCAGAUCAUCAUGAUUUCCUCAGAUGCUAGAGAAUCAACGUGAUUUCCGCUCAUGCAGGAGUGGACACAUUAUCUUAGAGCAUCCCUCACUGAGAUCUUUUAAAAAAUUUAUAUUAUAAAGUGAACAACAUAUUUAGUAUAGAUUUAGACGGCGGCUAAUAUAAUUUAUAUGUGUUCUAAUGAUGUAUAUUAAAGAAAAUGACUAACCAUAAUUUCAAUCAACUUAUUAGUCUAUAUAUAUAUAUAUAUAAUAUAUAUUCAGCGAUUACAACAUAUUUAGUAUUCCAUAACAUGAUGUUUAUAAUAAUAAUUAUUAUUAAUUCACUUAUUGUGUCAGAGUACCUUUUCUUUCUCUAAGAAUGUAUUUGUUACACCCCACUAUACUUCGGAUGAAAAAUUUAGAAUAAUUGUGAAAUAUAAUUAUUAAUCACUCUUUGCCAUAUUUGUUACCAAACAGGAAUAUAACAAAGAAAAAAAACAAAAAUUAUAGAGAAUUAAUAAGACGAUUGACUUAUUAAUAACUGACCUUCUCAGGGAAAAGCGUAUUAGAAAUUUGGACAUUGUCCUCCAAAAUGAUUUCAUGUGACUGCAAAUCAUUAGCUGAUUCCUCUUGUCUCUGUUGACAUUGCAGGUGUCUUGAUUUAAGAGUGUAAACUUAAUUGUGAACACAAUCUUAAUUAAUGCAUAGAUACAAGAUGUUUAAAAAUUAGUAUAAUAAACUUAGCACUAAAUCCAAAUUUGAUAUUUCGGAUUCCAUGAUUAAGAUUUUUUAAAUAAAAAUUUAAUAGAGUUAAUUUAAAAAUAAAAAUUAAAUAUGAAAAAUAAACUUGCAAUUAUGGAUUUAAUUUUGAUAAAUAAUGAAUGUUCUCUUUAUAUAUUUUUUUAAAAGGUAAAAGAGCGUACAAAACCCAAAUUCAUUUUUUUAGUCCCUUACUCUCCCAUGAUUCAAACUUCACUUUUUUUUUCUUUUUCUUUUUUUUCUUUUUUUGUUGAGAGAAAAGAGAAGAAGGAUAUUACAAAGCAUGAAGCUCGUGCAAUAUAAGGGCAAUUAUGGUUUUUUCUUUAAAUUAAAAUGGUAAGAUUCUGAAGCUAAAAGAUUAAAAUAUUAAUUAAAUUGCAAACAUUAAAGAUUUUUUUUCCAAAAUUGGUUGCUUUGAAAAUGAGAAUAAUAUAAUAUUUGAAGACUUUUUCAAAAUUAAUUACUGUGAUGCACUAGAAAUUUAUAGCUUUAGUCUAAUGUAUAAAUUGACAAAACGAUAUUAGAAUCCCAGGUGAAAAGAACCCUCUCAUACCAUUUUCUUAAAUUAGGAAUGAUCAUACCUCUGACUCUGCCGGACUGAGGGCGAGGCGUGAACCCCUCAUACGGAGACGCUUGAGAUGGGAAGAGCCUACUUUGACUAACUCGUUACGAAAAUAAUCGACAUCUUGCUCUUGCAAUCUACGUAAUUCAAGGUCUUCAAUUCUCUGCAGUUGCACGAUCAGCGAAUCCUUCAAGCGAAUCUUGUCAUUUAGCUCGAGUCUGAAUUCACGACACCAAAUGCCAGUGCUCUCCCAAUAUUCCCAACCCUCAUCCUCAUCCUCAUCCUCAUCAUCUCCAAUGCGGAUGAUAUGUAUGCUGUACCUUUCCAGCUUCUCCAAGAGCAGGCCUCUGGGCAGAGUGCCGACGUCAUAGACGUGUAAUUCCAAAGAGGUCAAGUUGGGUAAAUGCUUCAACUCCUCAAGGCUUGCAUUCUUAACCCCUUCCACCUCCACCUCCCAAUCGGCAAAGUCAAAGAGUUCACUAGCUAUAUAUAGUUCUUCUAAAUGGGAUAAUUUUGACAGUAUAUUUGGUGGAAUAACUUUUAGUGCAAAACAAUCUCUCAAAUCAAGCAACUUUAGCCAAGUCAAUUCACCUACUUCUACCGGCAACUUCUUAAUAUAAGAACCUCUUAAGCAAAGGAUUUCUAGUUUCUUCAAGUCUCCUACAACACUUAUAUCAGGCAAACUGCAGCGACACAAACUCAGUGUUCGAAGGUUUGACAGGAGACCAAGUGAUGGAGGCAGUGACCGUAUGUAAGUCAAGUUUACAACUCUGACCUCGAUCAUGCUCUUGAAAAGGUUGUCUGGAAUUGUUACUGGUGAGGUUUCGCAAGGAUCAUCACUAAUAAAAAGAAGUUCGAGCUGAGGACAUUCCAGUACUUUAGGAAGCAAAUUAGGCUUGAUAUCAUGUAUGACGAUUGAAGUGCAAUGCUUUAUUGCACUUCCGUCUGACCAUUCCCUGCAACCAUCAACCUGCUCAUUUGUAGCAGUAAACACAUUUCGUUCAGUAGAUGCAAUUGAUAUGGCGACAUCGCGAACUACAUCAUGCAUAGAAAACAACUCUUUCUUCUGGCUUAUAUGGUCAAGCAACAUACAAGAAGCUUUGAGUGUGCGCACCAAUGUAUGUACUCGAUUUCGUGCUGCUUCCAUCUUAUUCACACCUUGAAAUAAACUCAAUCCCAUACCACACAUUAACAGUUCGUCAAUAGAUGCUAUGGCUGUAUAUCCUAUUAGCAAAAAGAUGUUCUUCAGCUCCUCCCCUACCAAUUUGUCGUAACUCAACUUUAUGGCUUUAUAUGCAUCUGGCUGUACAUGCUUAAAAUUCGAUGAAGAGGGCCUUCCUAGUUUUUCCAAUGCAUCCUUCCAUUCCUGUAUGUUCUUGUUCCUUAAUGCCCUUGCAACCGUCACAAUGGAAACUGGCAGACCUGCACAUCCCUUUGCCACAUCCCUUGCUACCGAUUGGAAUUCACUACCUUCAAUAUAAUCACCUGCCAUCUUCUUGAAUAGAUUCCAAGCUUCUUCUUUGUUUAAAACACCAAUUGAGAAAUUUGUUCGACAAUCCAUCUUCUCAGACAAUACAUUUAGACUUCUGGCCGUCAACAAUACUUUACAACCAUCUCCAAGAGGAAUUCGGACACUCCCCAAAUUAAGAUUUUCCCAAAUGUUGUCUAAAACUAUCAGGAUCUUCUUCACUUUUUUUAUACCUUCAUAUAAGCUGCCUGCCCUUCCUUCAUCACUUUCCUCAUGCAACUUCAGGCCUAAUUUAUCUGCGAUUACUCCUUGAAUCUUUCGUAUGUCUUGAUUCUGAGACACCUCAACAAAAACCACCUGAUCAAAGAGUUUGUCACUCUUGACUUUCCUAGCAACUUCUUCGGCCAGCAUCGUCUUUCCGAUGCCACCCAUUCCAUAAAUCCCAAGCAUGUUGACAUCGCGAUCUUCUAGUGCACUGAGUAUACUCCUCAAAGUGGACAUUCUUGAUUCAAAGGGCUCGUAGUCUUUGUUAGGGAUAAGCCGAAUAUCCUCUGGAGCAGUACGGUAGGAAAUUCUAUCAAAUCUUCUAGCGUCCAGGACUUUGACAACAGCCUCCUUCUGCCUCUCUGCUUCCUUGCUAAGUCGACGGCGGGUCUUCAAAUUAGGUAUUAACCCCUUGAAACAACGCUUAUUUUCAAUGGCUUCAUCGUCUGUAAAUUUAUCUGCCUUAACAAUGACAUCAUUUGCCCCUUCGAGCCAAUUCUCAACGUUCUCUUCAAUCGCUUCCCCUUUUGUUUUAGCCUCAGCAACCCGGUGCUCUAUACUAACCUUCUCAGACUUCAGAUUGUCAACUUCAGUCUUGAGAUUGUCUAAGAUGCUCGUGUACUUACUCUCACGCAAAUAGCUAAUUUGGCGAUAUGCGGGAGGAGCCAAGCACUUCACAACUUCUACAACAAUAGUAAGAAUGAUUUCAGCCAUCUUCAAUCCUUUGUCCUUGUCUCUCUAUCUCUCUUUUUUCUGAAUUUGUGAAAAACAAUUGAUCCAGUUAGGAAGCACACUGAGUGAUUGAACACAAGUGACCACAACAAGAUGGAACAAAAUUAAAAGGAAAAAAAUAGAAAGAGUGGAUGGAGAAUAAAACAGAGACAGCGGCACAGCUGGACACAACUAGAUAGAGAACAGAGGAAAACCAAAUAACAAGACUUAAGAUUACAACAAACAGAGGCCAAGUAUUGUUGAGAUCAGAAGAUGGAAAAUUCAAAAGAGUUGAUGACAGAUGCUGAAUAACAGAACAACAAUGAACGCAAUAAACAGAAGCAAAGUGUGGUUGUGAUCGACAGACGGAAGUAAGGAAAAGCGGUUGUCGAUUGAAAAUGAAUGAAUGCAAGGAAAGACUGAUAUUGAAAAUUGACGUCAAUAGCGAAGGAAUAAUUGAACUUUCGCUUAAUUAUUGUUUGUGGCCUUGUUUUACUUUUUAUUUGUGGGUCAUGUCUUUUGGAACUAAUCAUCUUAGCUUAUGCUUUACAGCUUUAAGGCCAGUAACCGGUGUCCGUUGGAUAAGCAUAUAGAAAUCCAACGGUGGAUAUAUAUCCUUGGGAAUAAAAUUCAAGAGCAAAGGGAGUGCUGGGCUGCAGUUUCUUAAGGAGAUUUAUAUAUCCUCCUCAAAAAUAAAUGUUUUAAGGUAGAUAUUUAGACUAUUUCAUCAUAAAAUGAAUGUAAUUAAUUUUCAAUAAAUAUCUUAUAUAAAUAUUUAUUUAUUUUUUUAAUUACUAAUGACCUUUGAAUAUACAUAUAUACAUAUCACUAAUUCAAAAAUAAAUUGUGAUUAUUUGUUAAUAUAUGCGAUUACUUGUGAUGGUAAACAAAGUAGAUAUGGUAUAUUUUGAAGUUAAAUUAAAAAAAAAAAAAACAGAGCUUUUACCAUUACUUGCCUUAUCAUCUUUUAAAUUAGAAUUAUUAUUCUUUUAUUUUUCAAGUUGCCAACUCAUCCGCAUUCUCUUGUAUUGAAUUUGAAGAUCAAUGAUUAUAAAUUUGUGUGAAAAUUUUAAGUCAAAACUUUAAAUUAAAAUAAUCUUUAAGUUAUUGGGAAAUAAUACCUUAGUAUAACAAAUAUUAUAUCCUAUACUUUAUUGCUACAAAAUUACGAAACCUUAUAUUAUAUUAUGUUUCCAUAUUUCUCCUUUAUAGUGAAGACUCGUACUUCUUCUCUAAUAAAUGCUAAAGUAUUGGCUUAAAUUUUUUAACCGGCACAGUAGACCCUUAAGCUAUAUAUACUAUAAUGUCCCUCUUCUCUCACAGAUUAAACCAAUCUGAUCUCAGAGUGAGUUGAUACCAUGACUUUGCAUCAUUCGUGAUCAAAGGAGCAUCAUUACUAACUAAUAUAGGCUCGAUCAAUAGGCAUGAUAAUAAUUUUUUUUUAUCUACAAACACUAUUUUUCAAAAUAUUUUAUCUUAAGACUAACUAAAUAUUUUUUAACUAUGUAGAUAUAGGUUGUUUGAUCUCUUUUAAAUAGUGGAGAUUACAAACAAACGGAUGCGAAUUAGUAGUGAUGUUGAGUUCAGAAGAUUGAAGUUAAGAAAAUUAAGGGUUUCUUGAUCUAGGGAAAUUUCAAAAGAGUGAAGCGUCCUCAAAAUCGGAAGACGAAAAAUAAGGAAAGGGUAAGGGUGUAUUUUCAAAGUAAUUCUAUUAGUAGAUCUUUGAAGUAGGGGUGGGCAAAUCAGGUUAGUUCGGUUUAAAACGGAUUGAAACAAUUUAAUCCAAAAAUUCUACCAACAACCACUUAAAAUCCAAAAAUCUUAAUUCCAAACAUCCUUAAUAACAAAUAUCAACUACAAACCAUCAUUAACAAUAUUUCAACAAUAACAAUAACAAUAAUAACAACAACAACAACAAUAAUAAUAACAACUAUGAAUUAGCAAUUCAGCAUAUUGCCAUAUUCUAAAUUUAAAAAAAAAACACAAAUUAAUUAAUUAACAAUCUCCAAUUUAAUUUAUAAUAACAGCAAAAAUCCUCCCCAAUUUAAUUAAUAUCAGUCUCCAAUUAUUCAAUUAUCAGUCAAUAGCAACAAACCCACUCCAAUAUAAUUAUAACAAUCUCCAAUUGUUCAAUUAUCAGUCAACAACAACAAAUCCUCUCCAAUUUGUCACGAACAGCCUCUAAUUGUUUAAUUUUCAGUCAACAACAACAAACUCACUCCAAAUAAUUGAACAAUUGUUAAUUAAUUAAUUAAAAAUAUCCAAUUUAAUUAAUAACAACACCCAAGAGCAAGUCAGCAAUAAACCCACUCCAAAAUCCAAAUAUCAGUAUAAACUAAGUGUCAAACCUUGAUCGGUGGGAAGCUACAACGUCGGCAAAGCGUGACCAUGUGGGGCUGAGUGAGACCGUCGACCGAGGGUGUGUGAAGGGAGAAGAGGGAGCAGGGAGGUAACGUGGUGUGUGUGAGUUUAUAUAUAUAUAUUAAAAGCUAAAACUUAAAAAAAAAAAUUUAACUCAAUCCAAACGCACACCUAGAUUACUUCCGUUAAGAGCUGAAUCCCACACUCUUGAGCCUUUGUCGUUCCAGUCAACUAUAAAAACAAAUCAUUAUUGAGUGUGAACAGACUUAUUGAUCACCAAAUUUUCAAACUUGUCAUCCUUAUUGAAUCUGCGUUCCCUUUUAAUAAAAUUUAAAAAAGUACAAAUAAUGAAACAAAGUUAUGUUCCUUCAACAGUUGAUAGAGUUACGCGGCUUCAACUUGCAAGUCCAGUCGGCAUUUUCAAACUUGUAAUACCCUUACAACUUGCUUUCCAAGAUAGCUAUAAUUAAUAAUGACAAUAGUCUCCCCUAUAGCGACUAGUGAGCAACUUGUUUCGUGAAAUUAACGGCAUCUUCUCUCGCAUUUUAAAAAAAAAUUGAAUUAUAUAACCCACCAAAACUAUAAAAGAAUUGUUAGUUUUUCUUCAUUAAAAUUAAUAUAUUGCUCCUCAUAUUGAAAAAUCAAAAUUCAGAAUAAGAAUGAUUGAUACUUUUUAUUUACUAAAAUGAAAAUAAAAUAUAUGAAGCCUACAUAUUUUUUAAAUUAAAAAAUAAGAACUUUAUUUUCUACGGGGAGUGUUGGGAAUCAAGUUCUCAUUAUUUAAACUCUCAAUUGUACUUCAUCGAAAUUUCAUAAUUUCACUUUUGUUCUCAAUUAAAAUAUUAUUGUAGUUAUUAUUCUUAUUUUUAUAGUUGUUGUUGAUGAUGAUGGUGAUAAUGAUGAUGAUGAUGAUACAAGAUAAUAAAAUUAAUGAUAAUUAAACCAAUUUGAAUUCAGAGUGAGUGAGUACCAUUACUUCGCAUCAUUUGAUAUCAAAGGAGCAUCAUUACUAACUAAUAUAGGCUCGAUCGAAUUCAUUAUGCGAAGUAUAUUAUCGGCUGUAGGUAUGGAAAUAAAUUUUGUAUCCACAAACACUAUUUUUCAAAAUAUUUUAAGACUUGACUUAGCAUUUUUUAACCAUAUAUGUAUAGGUUGUUUGACCUAUUUUAAAUAGUGGAGAUUACAACAAAUGAACAGAUGUGGAUUUGUAGAGUUGUUGAGUUCAGAAGAUUGAAGUUAACAAAGGGUUUCUUUAUCUAGAGAAAAUUCGAAAGAGCGAAGUGUCUUCGAGAUCAAAAGACGAAAUAAGGAAAGGGUAAGGUUAUACUUUCAAAAUGAAUCUGUUGAGAGAACUUUAAAGAUUACUUCCGUUAAGAGCUGGAUCCCACACUUGAGUCUUCGUCGUCUCAGUCAGUCAACUAUAAGGACAAAUUAAUUUUGAGUGUGAAAGGACACAAUUGAUCACCAAAUUUUCAAACUAGUGAUCCUUAUUGAAUCUACAUUCCCAUUUGAAAAACAAUAAAAGAUUAACAUUAAUUUAACUUCAUCUAAAUUCCCAUUUGAAUCUGCAUUCCCAUUCCCUUGUUCUCUGGGAAUGCACAUAAUCAAACAAAAUCCUAUCCGCAUUUUCAAACUCGUGACCCUUCAAGCUUUCUAUGACAACUAUAAUGAAUAAUUACAACAAUGCUACCUAAUAGUGAGAACUUGUUUGAUGAAAUUAACAGCUUCUUUUCUCUCAUGUAUUUUAAAAAAAAUUAAAUUAUCAAAGUUUUUAUUUCAAAAUUAGUGCUAUAGUUCAUUAAUUUUUCAAAUUUUCCUUUUUCUUUCCACACAACAGAUUGAUUUGCCCUCCAAAAAAUGUAUUAUAUUGUUUAAUAUUGUAACUUCAAGAAACUUAUAAUAAAUUUUUAAAGAGAUAAAUAGAGAAUAUCAGUCUCCCAUCUACUCAAAAUUAAUAUAUAUCAUUAACUCUUGAUUAUUUUUAUAAAAACUAAUAACUUUUUUUGCAGCAUAAUUUUACAGUAUCAUCCUUGUUAGUAAGUAUAUUUUUAUUCAUAUUUAUUAUAAAUUAAUUAAAUCAUAUCAAUGAAAAUUGAAAUAAAAAUUGAAGUACUACAAAUUAAAAAAAUAUGUUUUGGUGUGAAUAAAAAAUUGAAAAUAAAAAUAUUUUUCUUAUAUUUUUUGUUAUUUUUAAAUUUUUCUUAUAAUAAAUGUAUAUUUUAUGUGCUCAACUUUUUCUUUAAAUUUUUGUUAUUAGGAGGAUUUUUAGAUAUAAUGAAAAUUGUAAAGUAGUAAGUAAUAUAUAAUAAUUUUAAUAGAGAAAAGUAAAAAAUCUCUUAUUUUAAAAUACAAGGAGAAAAAUAAUUAAUUUCAAGACAUUUUAGAAGAUAUUUCAAUAUGCGGUGGACCACAAACUCGAGUCUUUGUCAUCUCAGUCAAACUAAAAGGACAGAAUAUUGAGGGCAUGGCUAACGUGCAGAAGCUACAAGUAACAGCUUCGAACUUUCCCAUUUCCAUCACCUUGCAUUGGGAGUUUGGGACCUCUUUCUCUCUCCUCUAGCAGCCGUGGAAGUUCCCCAUUGGCUACUGUUACUUACAGAAGCUGUAACAUAGACUUCUCCGAAUAUUGACCGCGAAGGGCUCAAGUGAUUGUUCAUUUCACAGCAAUUGCCUUUUUUCUUUUUUUCUAAUUAUUGGGAAAUAAGAACUUAGUAUAACAAAUAUUAUAUCCUAUACUUUAUUGCUAAAAAAUUACAAAACCUUAUAUUAUAUUAUGUUUCCAUAUUUCUCCUUUAUAGUGAAGACUCAUACUUCUUCUCUAGUAAACGCUAAAGCAUUGGCUUAAACUUUUUAACCAGCACAGUAGACCCUUAAGCUAUAUAUACUAUAAUGUCUCUCUUCCCUCACAGAUUAAACCAAUCUAUCUCAUAGUAAGUUUGCAUCAAAGGAGUAUCAUUACUAACUAAUAUAGGCUCGAUCAAUAGAGAUGACAAUAAUUUUUUUAUCUACGAACAUUAUUUUUUCAAAAUAUUAUAUCUUUAGACAUAACUAAAUAUUUUUUAACCAUAUAUGUAUAGUUUGAUUAAAUAGUGGACAUUACAACAAAACAUAUGCGAAUUAGUUGUGAUGUUGAUUUCAGAAGAUUGAAGUUAAAAAAAUAAAGGGUUUCUUGAUCUAGGGAAAUUUCAAAAGAGUGAAGCGUCUUUUAGAUCAUGACGAAAAAAAAGAAAGGGUAAGGGUGUAUUUUCAAAGUGAUUCUAUUGAAAGAUCUUUAAAGAUUACUUUCGUUAAGAGCUGUAUUCCACACUCUUGAGCCUUUGUCGUCUCAGUCAACUAUAAAGAUACAUUAUUAUUGAGUGUGAACAUUCCGACUUAUAGAUCACCAAAUUUUCAAACUUGUGAUCUUCGUUGAAUCUGCAAUCCCUUUUGAAAAAAAAAAAAAAAAAAGGGGAAAACUGCAAAUAAUGAAACAAAAUUCUGUUCCUUGAUAGAGUUACGCGGCUUCAACUUGCAAGUGCUGUCGGCAUUUUCAAACUUGUAUGACCCUUCAACUUGCUUUCCAAGAUGGCUAUAAUUAAUAAUGACAACCGAAGACGGCUACGUUUGCGGUACAAAAGUUGCACCAUAUUAGACGUUCUUUUUUGUUCUUAUCCGAAGUAACCGUUGGAUUCAAAGGAAAGUGAUCAGACAUUCAAUAGCUUCACACGUGGACAUUAUAGGAUACCGGUCAAAUCGGUUAGUGCUCCUCCUCAAUCAAACUCACAAGCAUGGCUAUCAUCGUAUCAGCUUGGAAACUUGUUACAAGUGACUAAGAGCAACAGGGUCCGCUCCUCUAGAGUCGGUUAGUGCUCAAUAAUGUUACAGGUUUUAUAAUCUAUGUAACUGGUACGAUCGCUGUCUCAAGUGGUAAACUUUUGAGGCACAAAUUUAGAACGAAAAGUUCCCAAUAAAAUAAGUUAUUUAAUUAAUUAAAUAAGAAUAAAAUGAAUUUGUGAAAAAAAAUUUAAAUUUAAUUUUGAAUUAUUUUGACCAAAAUUUAAGUUUUUUUUUUUAAUUUGUUUAAGAAAAUGCGUUGUAAUUGUCUUGUUUUAAUUGGAAAAUCAAUGAAAAAAUUAUGUAAAAAAAAAAAGCAAAACGCUUUGUUUUGGAUGGAGGCCAUAGAUUCCAAUAUUUCCUUCACGAAAACUACAAAAAAAUUAUCAAAGGCAUCAAUUUCUACACUCUCACCGAGCAAUACUCUUAACCCAGAAGAAAGUGUAUAAACCAACCCCAAUCAGUCCAUCAAUGUCGUCAACCUCAUACAGCAUAAAAAAAAUAUGUGUCCAUUAAACCGUCUUUAUUGAGCCAUUAGACUAUUCGUAUCAUCUUCCCGUCUCGUUGUAGUAUUUUGCCGUUCAAAACUAGUUAUCAAUUGGGGAAAAUGGGGACCAAUCUGCAAGUCUUUAAAAUAGAAAGAAACUUUAAUUGGGCACUAUGUUCACGGUGGCAGACCCAGCAGCAGCUAUUUGUGCUUUAAAAAUAAUUUUACACAUUCUAAUUUUAAUAAAAAUAUAUAUUACAAAAUUACUUAUCAUAUAAGUUACUGGACAAUAUAUUAUAAGUCAACAUUAUAUAAUUACUUUGAACACUUAUAUAGCCCAAUCCUAAUUCAAUUUAUUAUUCUCAUAACUUAAAUAUAAAAAUUUUUAUUUCCAACUUCUUAAUUAAUAUGUAGAUGAAUAAUAAGGAAAUUAACUUUGAGAAAAAAUUAAAUACAAAAUAUGUGUAAUACUUUCAAAAAAAAUAAACAAAAGUAUUGCACAAGAUAAUUUUUUUUGGGGGGGGGGGGGCUUUGGCCAUUCUUCUUCUUCUCCUUCUCUCUCUCUUUUUUUUUUUUUGUAGUAUUUAUGGAACAUUUUCUAUUGUUAUGUUCUCAUUGCAAGUUAUUUUGGGUGUAAAAUUCAACAUUGAAAAUAAAUUAAAUAAAAAAAUUAGUAACUAAAAUUAUGUUAAAUUAUUUUUUAACUUAAUUUUUAAUUAUAUUAUUAGUAUAUGUUAGAUCUCUUAAAAAUCGAGUGUUGAAUAAUUUUAUUAGUUUUUUAAACAAAUAAAGUUAAAUAACUUAAAAAAUUUAAGUAAGGAUAUUUUUAAAUUUUUAAACAGUAUACAAAGUAAAGUUUAUUUUCUUGUCAGUGGCAAAUGAUCACGACAAGAAAUCUAAAGUAGAAACAGCAGAGCUCAACAAAUCACUAAGAGAAAAUAAGACCAAUAACCAAGCAGAUAAAAGAAAAGCAAAAUAACCCAUCUCAAAUCACCACAUGCACAAUUUAAGGGGUUUGUGACAUGGGUUUAAGCAUGAUUUAACAAGUGCCACCUGUGAAUUGUCAGAGAUUGUAUUUUCAUACACAUGUCUAGGGGUGGGCAUAUUUUAACCGAACCGAUCCAAACCGAUCCAAACCGACCAUUUGGUCGGUUUGGAUCGGUUUCAUUAGUAAAAAAACUGGUUUCGGUUUAUUGGAUUGCAAACCGACAUCACUCGGUUUGGAUUUCGGUUUGGAAUGAUUCCAAACCGAUUCAAACCGAUCCAAUCCAAAAAUAUUAUAUAAUUACAUUAUAUUUUAAGUUAAGCAAUCUAACUAAUUAUAUUUAUCAUUUUAUGCAGAUUUUGACAAAUCAAAACUAAUUAGGCCAUAAGUUUUGACGGACAAGAUGCACAAUAUUUUAAUUGUCAAAUGUUGUUCAAGUUUAUUUUAAUUUUGUGAGUUUGUUUUGAAUGAAUAUGUUAAGAACUUCUUUAUUAGGAUGUAUUAUACCGUAAACUUGUAUGGAUGUAUCUUUAAAUUGUUAUGUAGAUGUCAAAGUAGAUAUGAAUAAUAUAAAAGAGGUAUCAAUUUGGAUUACGGACACAAAAAAAUAACAAAUAAUUUAGGUAAAAUAAUAAAAAAAGUGGGCUUUUAGCUAAUAAACUCAAACUGAGAAUCCAAACCGAUCCAAACCGAUCCAGUCGGUUUGGAUCGGUUCGGUUUGAAAAAUUUUUAAGUUGAUAUCGGUUUGAAAAUAUUUCAAACCGAUAAGUUUGGAUCGGUUUGAGAAUAUGUCUCAAACCGAUCCAAACCGACUUUGCCCACCCCUACACAUGUCAAAUUUUCAAGUCCAACAAAUUGUUAUCUUUCUAAAGAGGCUAAUAUUAUUAUUAUCUAUGCAUAGCAUGCUAUAAACAAUUCAUAUUACUGGGCCUUUGUUUUGUGUACACAACAUAUGGACAGAGGAACAAAUGCCUGAGCUAAAAUCAUCAUAUUCCAAAAUAUUCUAUUAAAUCAGCACCACAAAACGCGAACGCUAAACAGAAUUGGAGCAAUUUACCAAAGCUAUUUGUCACGCAAAGCACUAGUACCUCAGAACCCAAUUUGCAAAAAAGCACCAAAAAUGAAAAAUAACAAAUGCCCAGAUGAAAAAUCAGGAAAAAAAAAAUGCUCAAAUCCAAAUUACAACCCCAUAAGUUGAGUCGUUCUCUUCGAACUGAAUUAAAAAUAAAUAAAAAAAUUAAAAUGGGGAGAUUGACCUCAAACUUUGGAAACAGAAGCGACAGCGAUCUGUUUCUUGUCUGGAGUGUCCAUUUCUAUAAUCUACUUUGUCCGUUUUCAGUUGCUCUGCCACAGAGCUUCUUCCCUCUGAAGCUGAAGCUCACACACACUCGCAAAACGAAAGCAUUUUUUAUUGAUUGAGAGGCGGGAAGGCGGGAAAAUGAGAGAAAUUUGCAUUUGUUUUCUCUUGGUUUGGUCAUACUUGUGCGGGCCCCAGCUUGACAAGCGGUAUUAUUACUAUUUGUAUAAUUUACAUGACGCGUGUCACGCAAUGACGAUAAAAAAUAUAUAUAUAUUGUUAAUUUUUCACUUAACAUUGAAAUAUCAUAUAAUUUUUCCAAUUUUAUGGUUAUUUUCUCGCCCUUAUGCCACAUUCUUUUGAUCAAAUAAUACAGUAAAACUUUUCUAUAAUCAUAAUAUUAGAGCCAAAUUAACUUUAUUUCUGUAAAGAGGCUAUAGCUUAAUAAAGGUAAAAUUAUAAAAAAAAUAUUAUUUUGACUCAGUUAUCUUUAGUGCAAGUGAUAUAAAGUACAAAUAUAUGAUAAUUAAUUAAUGAACUAUGUCAAAUACAAUAUGCUAACAAUGAUAAAAAAAGAUAGACAUAAUUUCAAGAAACUAUGUAUUUAUGUAGUGCUGGGAUUAUACAAAAUUAUCUUAAAAGUGUAAAGAGUAAAGUAUUAUUCUGAUUAAUUUAUAAAAAAAUUAUUUUAUCUUAAUCUUUAAUGCAACAUAGCUUUUUCUUUUCUUAACAACAAAGCAUUGUUUCAAAUAAUAAUUAUUGGAUUCAAAUCAUGUCCUAGGCAUUUUUUCUUCUAGUCGUCUUAAACUUUUAAUGAUUUAUUGGGAUGUGUCAAUCAUUAAUGAAAUUAAAUAACUAAGACUUUGUUUUAAUUAACGUUUACAUAAAUAGACAUCAAAACUCAAGUGUGAUUCUUAUCAAUUUUUUCCUGCAAAUUCUUUUCCUCUCAACUAUUCAUAUUUUGACAUUAAUUUCCAGCAAAUUAUUAAAAAAAAAAAGAAGCGUAAAAUGGAGAAAAGUGAUUGACAACAAGGUUUGCAUCUUAAUUUCAAAAUUUUCCUUUCUUUGCUAUUUUUGUGAGUUCUACAAUUGUUGUUUUCACUCUCAGCUGCAGUUCAAUGAACUCUAUUAAUAACCAUGAAGCUUAAUGUAUCAAUUCCAGUACGAGAAGUCCUUCUACGCAUGUUACAACACUUUUUGGUCAUUAUAGGUUGCAAAUGUUCCGUAAUGUACUCAUUCAUAUAACGGAAACGCUAUUAUCAAUAAUGAAAGUUGACUAAGUUUGUAAAUUCUAUUUAACGAAAAAGUAACAUAAAUUUAGUUGAACAAGAGGUAAUCAAUAUGUAAUCUAUGAAACUAGGGUGUGACUAAGUUACAUAGUAAUGUAACUUACAUGAACACAAAAAUAAUUAGUUUUUAAACUACAAGUAAUUUUGGAACUGCUCUUAAAUUGAUAUAAGUUUUAUUAUUAUGUAACUUAGCAAGGUCAGGUAUUUUAAUAAUAGCACAUCACUAUUGUUUCAUGUGAAUGAUGCAAUUGGAUUAGCCAAUACAUACUGUCAUCCCCGGGAGAUGCUAUGGCAAUAGCUUACUCUACCGUGCCAAUGUCAUUAGUAUUAAUCUGUUGAGCCUAAGACCAGAUCUAAGCUGAUCUAGAUUCCCCAAGAUCGCACACCACACAGUGAUUAAUGAAUCAAGAACAAUAAACCAUCAAAGAAUCGCAAACUUACAUGUCGGGUUACAUGUAAUAAAUGUUUUAAUUAUUAGAUGAUUCAUAAUGUUAGACCAUUUUUUGUAUGUUUUGUAAUCUACGUUUGAUAAUUUAAUUAGCUGAUAAACAUUUGAAUAAUAUUAUUUCAUUAGCUAUGUCAUUGAUCCCCAGGAAAAAAAAAAAAAAAAAACCCAAUUUGGGAUGUUAUACAUUACUUUUUCAUUACUUCCCAUUUUAGAUUAAUAUUUAUCACAUAUAUUCUUAGCAACUUGUAACCCUUUUUGCUAAGGGUGAAAUGUGUUUGUUACCCCUUCUAUUUCUGAGAUUGUCCUUACAAUAAGGAUGCCGGCCCCAAUGUCAAAAACUGCUAUCUCUAGGUGUAAAUUCCUUAUAAAAUUCUUUUUUAAUUGAAAUUACUUAAAUAAUUGAAGAUAAAUUAAUUUUUUAUUUCAUUCAAAUAAAAAAAAAUAAUUAAACACUUAAAUAAGCUAUCCUUUUAAUUUUUUUUUUUACACCCAUCCAGUUUCAUAAUUUAUAUUUAUAAUUUAAAUUUUAAUGGAAAAUAUUUUUUUGAAAAAUUUUAAGAAUUAAGAAUUAUGGGGAUAAAAAUUAUGUAAUAAGAACAAAAUAAUUUAAAAUUUUAAAAUUUGCAUGUAUUAUGAACAAAAACUUGAAAGAAAUACUCUUUUCAGGGUGAGAUUUAAUCAGAAAAAGAUUAAUUUUCAUUUAUGGAUCAGUAUUUUAUAAAUUAAACAGAGGUAUUUUAAGAAAUAGAAUUCAAAAGGCAUGGGAACAAGGGCAUUGGGUUUCCUUUUGUUUUGUAUGGAUUGGGAAAAAUACACGGACAGACAAAGGGAACAGUCAUUAUAAUGCUGCGGAGCUUGUCGGAGAUUCCCUGCCCAUUUGUAGCUUAGACUCCUGGGGUUUUGUUCAUGUCUUUUCUGUAUCCCACUUUCUCAUGCAGCAGAUGUACAUAUGAUGAGAUGAAAACAACAGCAAAAAUUGCUGUCUCAUAAGAGAAAUAGUCAUACAUAGUUGGUUAGGCCUCCAGUCCAUUAACUUAAUAAUGAAUUUUACGAAAAUUGAUUAUCUCAUUGGAAUUACAUAGAUAUUGGAAAUCAUUACUCCAGCCCCACCAUGCCAACCAUUUACUUAGUUCAUCAGUAAAAGCUGGAUUUUCCAUUUGUUCUUGAGAUUCAAAUUAAGGCAACAAGUUGCUCAUUCUAUAUUAUCUAUGUAAUCCUGUAAAAGUGAAGGGCGUUUAGAUGUGGAAAAACCUUACUCCUGCCGCAACACCUCAAACAGAUUGUGAUCAGACAAGACUUAGUUCAUCAUUAGUAGUAGUUGGAGCUUCCAUUUGUUCUAGAGAUUUAAAGGCAGCAAGCUGCUUCCUCAGUGCUACUAAUUCUUCCCCGGCAUUGCAUAUGUAGCCUGAGGCUUGUCUACCAGACAAAGUUGCUCCUUCCAUACUAUCUAUGUAAUCCAGUGAGAGUGAAACCAUUUAGAAGACGUAUCUCUUUCUUUCCAAUAUUUAGAAUGAAACAAUUAUAUACAGUUACCUGUUUUGCAUAUGAGCCGGUGAGGAAGAAGUUCUUCACUGGUGUCUUUUGAUCACGUCUGAAGGGGUCUUUACCAGGUCCCUCACCGCACAUAGAUUGCCCGAUUUUGACGAAAGAUGACCAAAUAACUUCCAAACCUUGGGAUGAUGGAAAUGGAGCUAAAACCUAAUAAAAGGAACCGUGAAUGGAUAGUAUGGACUCAUGUAUAUUAUCCAGAAAGUUGCAUGACCUUUUGUGGUACUCAGGUCACUAAAAAACGUGAGAUAAACAUCUAGGAUAAGAAAAGCAAAAAAGCAUAACCUAAUACGUAUUAUAUGAAUUGAAGGUGUCACUGAACGCUACCAACCUGCUUUGCCACUCUCCUUAUGAUUUCAUCAUUUGGUAAGGGCAUAUAAGGAUCUCCAGGCGUCAAAACGCGUCUGAAAGAUAAUAUGGUUAUAGUAAACAACAUGGAAUACAAAGACACUUGGCAAAAGGAAGUCAAUCAGAUUCCAUGCACAAAAAAUAACUAAUAAUGACGACGAUAAGAAAUUUUUCACACCGGAGCCUUCUCUAUAGUAGUCUUCUGGUGAAGUAAGUGCUAGAUCUGCAAAGCAAGAGAAAUCUGCAUCUGGAGUAUAUAAAAGGUUAUCUAACCCCACAGCUUGCCUCAAUUGCCUACAUGUUCAAAACAAGGAUCUAUUAAAAAAUGGAAAUUUCUUCAAUGCAUUAGUGAAGGGAAGUGAAGUGAAAGCGGAUUUCUUAAGCCUUCACAGAGCAUCUUGUGUUUGAAUUCCGGUAACCUCACAAAAGAUUAGAGCAUCACCUUGACCGUUCUAGGUCUUGCAACUCAGUAACCCAACCAUUGUAUCUAAGCUGCACUGUGACAACAUGAACUCCAACGAGCUCAUAAAUAUUGUUGAAAAAUUUCAUUUCCCUCCAGCCUCCACAAUGAUGAAAGCAAUCUUUUAAUUCCAGGGACAUCACAUGCUGCCAUUAAAUAAGAAGUUGAAUAAAGAAAAAUCGUUCAACUAAAUGAUUCAGGAGUUAAAAAAAAAUGUAGAAGUAGAAAUAAAUAACAAAGAUUUAACCAUAAACCUGCAACAUUUGCAUCAGCUUGCACAACCUUCUUGUCAGUGGCCUGAAAUAGAAUGAGAACUUGAAAGACAGUAAGCAUAAAAGAAUAAACUCAAAGAAGCUGCUUCUUACAGAUGAUAUAAACAACAAAUUUACAAAUGUCAGGUCAUUGCAUUAGCUCCAUGCCUCCAUCAGAGGGAAUAUUAGUAGAUGCAUAAAAAAAUAAUUAGAGCCACAUGUGAAACAAUUUACCUUAGACAUGGCAAGUGCUUUAACAAAUGUUUCCCCGUUAGCAGAUUUAUCAUAAAGUAUCUCUCUGCAUCCCCACCUAAGAUGGAACCUGUUCUCACAAGAACAGAUCCCAAGGUUGGGAAAAUCAGUUCAUCAUAGGAGAAAACAAAUAAGAUUAACAAAUCACUACAAUGGUGUGAACCCGUAAAUACAAACGUACCUGCCCCCUUUUUCUGUGAUAUAUUUUCUUAUGGGCCCACUCAAAUAAACAUCCGGAGAACCCGAGCAUCAGCAAUAGGGAAGCCUCGGUCUUAGUCGCAAAUAGUGCAAGUAUGGUAAGCGUACAAUGAGCACUGAUGUUAUCACAAUCAAUAAACCCAAGGGCAUACGCAACAGGAUCCCACAUUCUUUGGAUACUUGUCCGUGUACCACCCUUGGACAAAAACCAAUCAGAGAAGCUUAUGUGUAAGAAGAAAUGAAGUUUUAGGUAAAAUAACAAUUUGUAGGAACAGGGAUUGAAAUUCAACAGACAAGGAAAUAUGAUAUCAUUCUUACACUAUCCAAAUCUCAUAUGUCCUUCAAGGCUCCAUCAGGAUCAACAAGUGCCUUUACAACAGGACUCAGAGCAAGAGCAAGAGCAUUUCUUGCUUUAUCUUAAGUCUGCACUUGAGCAAUAUACCAGGCAAAGUACAUCAAAAGAGAAUCCAAAAGAGGCAAGAAGCUUCAACAUGAAAAAAGGAGUACUGCCUCAUCAUACUGCUUUGCAAUCACAGUGCAAAAGAUAACAUCAACAAAUCAAAAUCGACCAAAAAUCCAUAUGCACUACCUUAAGCUGAUUUGUAGACAAAAAUGUGCGAAUCCCAUGUAACGGAGCUCCAAUCAGAAACCGGAAAUCAAGUUCUGGAGUUGAAAAUCAAAAUCAUGAACCAAAUCAGAGUUAUUAUUGAAUUUGACAAUCCAUAAACCAAUAGAAGGUGAUGUCAAACCAUCAAGCAUAACUACCCACCAAGCAAAACUAUUAGUAGUUUUAAGUGAUCAAGAAAUAACCAUACCACCAAUUUCACCACCCUUAUUUACAAAUGUAUGAGUAUGAUCCUUCAUGAGUAAAUUUUUGUCCACACCUACCUGUCGAAAUGCUUGAAAAACUAUCAGAUCAUAAACACAGGCUCCAGUUAAAGAGGAUCUAUGAUUCUGAUCCAUCAUGUUAUUUGAACAACAUUUUCGAAUUUUGGUACAACCCUAAGCUAUAAUCAGUUGUAGUGGUACAACCCUAAGCUAUAAUCAGUUAUCAUCACUACAAAUGAUAUGGUCAAGAGGAAUGAUAGUUCUUGUUUCAAGUAUCUCAAAUCAUAAUUCUUUUGCAUGGCUUGUGUGCUUUUAUAAUCAUUCAAAUACGCAUAUCCACAACUAAGCAAGCUUUACCAUUUUCAUCAAUCGGAAGAGAUUAUUGUAGCAUCCAAAGAAAACGUGCAGGCCCAUUUCAAUAUGGUUUUCACGUUUAUCGACAAAUGAACCCACUUUACCACCAAUAAAAGACCUCGACUCAUAUAUAUCCACCUGGAAGAAAGGAAAAGUUAAAAAAAAAAAGUGUUGAGAAUUAUGUUUGAUUAAACUUAAUUCUUUCCCCAAGAAAUCUCCACACACUGAUCUUAUUGAAACAAGAAUGAAUACCCAAGAUAGUAAUCAGAAAUAAAGCAAGAGUGUUUAGACAGAAAUAGAGAUUAAAAGCAUAGAAUAAACCGGACACAAGGAGAAUUAUAGAGGUUCGGCUGGGUAGCCUACAUCCUCUUGAGAAACAGAAGCCAUAGCUUUUCUUUGAUGCUUAACAGAUUACAAGACUUAGAGAGUUUGUUACAAAGAACGUUGGUUAUCUAAACUUGGCCUUGGAGACCUUAUAUACAGCUCUCGAAGGAUCCAGAUAAGUGUGCUGCUUGCCAGCUCUUGUUCUGGGUUUGUUGAAACAAACCCAGAAAGUUCCCGCCAAGGCUAACCGUUGAUAACAGCCUUUUAAUUAGAAACGACACUUGCUGCUGCCGUUUAACUAAAGCUUGAAUCCGUAGAUGCUCGUGCAAUUCACGUGCAUUACUUAAGCUAUUCGUGUGACAGGAUAUGGUUGUCAUAUGCACAGCAUUAUCUGUCUGAUUGCUUUGUCGUUACUUGAUUAAUCCUAGACACGACAAAGUCAUCUUCUCCGUAAGCUCUUAAUUCAGGUUCACAAUUAACAAAAAGGAAUAAAAAUUCUUCUAAUUUCUUACACCAUCAACAAAAUCAGAAUAACACAUACUAGUUCAAAAUGAAAUAAAGUUUGUGAAUUGAAAUAAUGCCAACUCCUAAGAAAAAUUAUGACUGCUGAUAUUUUUUCCGAAACGCUGAUAAAAGCCUCUGCUAUUUACUUUGAAAAAAUUGAGGUUAGAAGCCAAUUUACUUGAAAUUUUUGAGUUUAGGCAAGAGGAUGAAUGGUAAAACUGAAACAUAUUAGGGAAAAAUGUACUUCAGAGGCCAAUGAAAGCAUUCAGAAGAUUGAAAACUAAAUGAGCAAAACCUCGUGGCCAUGAUCCAACAAUUCCACUGCUGUUGACAUGCCUGCAAGCCCAGCUCCAAUAAUAGCCACUUUCAGCUUUGGUCCUCUAUAAUGUUCCGGUUCUGGUAGAAACAAACCCUUGGGAGCUGCCAAGUAUACCAUCCAAUUAUCCACAGUGAUAAUGGAAAUAUAUAUUUGUUUAAAGGUACUAAAUUCCUAAACAUGAAAUGUAUCCAAAAAGAGACACAAAGCAGAAUUGAGUAAGCAUUUCAAUUCCCAAUAAAUUUCAAGAAUACAAAAUACUCGGUCUGUUCUUCAAUUCCUUUAAUAAAAUUUCCACUAGAGGCUACGCAAGCCACUCAAUAACACGCCAAAGCCAGAUUUUAAACGUUAUCUUUAUCUUUAACUCCAAUCCAUAAACAAUUCUGCCACAAAUUCAAUCCAAAAUUGUUCAACUGCACCGCCAAUUCUCCAUCAAUUCCCUCAAAAAUUCAUAAUUGCCAAACACUGCAAACCAAAAAGAGCUUCCAGCAAUAAACGCAUAAAAAUCCGCCAAACAACAUAAAACAAAAUACCUAGAAACCAGAAAAGCCAAAAGAUCAAUGCUUGGCAAACAAGCAAAUCAAAUAAAACAAAAAGAAGAGAAAUUUACCAUUAACGCUCAUAUCAGAAACAUUCGUGUCCAAAGAAGCCCGUACGUGGAAUCGUGGACCCUUCACUUGAACCCGAGACCAUUUAACGCCAGUAACUGAAGUUGCAGGAAGCAGAAGUGAAGAACCCAUAUUGCAAAUCCUGAGCUGAAAUCAAGAAAUUCAAUUGGAACUCAAUUCAACUCAACCCAGCUGAGCUCUCUUUUGCUUCAAUAACAAAGUGUUUUUCUUUUAUAUCAACAAAGAUUUGUCAACAUCAACAAAAUUUAACUAAGAAACUAAAAUAAUAAAAGAGGGCACCUUUGAGUUUAAGAAUCUAACAAGAUGCUAAGGAAGAGAGUUUUGUCAGGGAACUGUUUCGGAGAGGUUGGCCAAGUGCUUUUUUGUUUGUUUGUUUGUUUUUUUUUUUUUUUUUUUUUAUCAUUUUGGCCCUUUUCAUUAAUACACAACAUUAGUACUCGCGAAGAGCACAAAAUGUUGGUGACUUUGUCACUAACGAUAAUGGAUGGAGCGACCAAAGCAACCAACUAAAUUUUAAAGAGAGGGAAUGACAAGCAAUAUUUUAAUUGGGUGAUUAAUUAAUGUAUUAUCAAGCAAUUGCAUUUAUUUAUUUAAACGAGGGUUUGGCUACAAUGCCGUUGGCAUUGUAGCCGGCACCAUGCCGGGCUCUCAAAAAGAGAGCCCGGCUGUCUUUGGCUGCCAUCUGGCAGCCAAAGACUUGGUGCAGCCAGUUAACAAACCGGUUGCACCAUAUUUUUUUAAAAAAUAUAUUAAAAAUAUAAUAUAAAAAUAAAAAAAUUAAAUAAAAUGUCAAAAAUAAUUUUUUAUAAUAUAAUUAAUAGCAAAAGAUAAAGAAAUUAAAUAAUAUAAUACAAACCCUAUAAUACAAUAUAAUAUAAUUAAAUAAAAUGGCAAAAAAUAAAGAAAUUGAAAAUGAAAAAAAUAGUAUUUCAGGUUUAACGUCAGUUGUUGCAUGUCCGAUGUCUCGAUUGCAUGUUUGACGUAAGAUGUUGCAUGUGUUGAAUAAAGCCAAAAUAAAGAAUAUUCUCGAAUAUUCUCGUCCGUUUCAUGUUUGACGUCGAAGUUGCGAACUUUACGUGAUAAGUUGUAUAUUUCGCGUGAAGUGUUGUAAGUUUCAUGUUUAACGUCCGUUGUUGCAUGUCGGACGUCACGGUUGCAUGUUUGACGUAAGCUGUUGCAUGUCUUGAAUAAAGACAAAAUAAAGAAUAUUCCCGAAUAUUCUCGUCCGUUUCAUGUUUGACGUCGAAGUUGCGAACUUUACGUGAUAAGUUGCAUAUUUCGCGUGAAGUGUUGCAAGUUUCAUAUUUAACGUCAGUUGUUGCAUGUUCGACGGUUGGAUUUCAUGUUUGACAUACGAUGUUGCAUGUUUUGAAUAAAACCAAAAUAAAGAAUAUUCCCAAAUAUUCUCGUCCGUUUCAUGUUUGACUUCAAAGUUGCAAACUUUACGUGAUAAGUUGCAUAUUUCACGUGCAGUGUUACAGGUUGCAUGUUUAACGUCCGUUGUUGCAUGUCGAACGUCACGGUUGCAUGUUUGACGUAAGCUGUUGCAUGUCUUGAAUAAAGCCAAAAUAAAGAAUAUUCCCGAAUAUUCUCGUCUGUUUCAUGUUUGAUGUCGAAGUUGCGAACUUUACGUGAUAAGUUGCAUAUUUCUCGUGAAGUGUUGCAAGUUUCAUAUUUAACGUUAGUUGUUGCAUGUUCGACGGUCGGAUUUCAUGUUUGAUGUAAGCUGUUGCAUGUCUUGAAUAAAGUCAAAAUAAAGAAUAUUCUCGAAUAUUCUCGUCUGUUUCAUGUUUGACGUCGAAGUUGCAAACUUUACGUGAUAAGUUGCAUAUUUCACGUGCAGUGUUGCAGGUUGCAUGUUUAACGUCCGUUAUUGCAUGUCGGACGUCCUGCUUGCAUGUUUGACGUUCGAUGUUGCAUGUUUUGGAUAAAGCCAAAAUAAAGAAUAUUCUCGAAUAUUCUCGUCCGUUUCAUGUUUGACGUCGAAGUUGCAAACUUUACGUAAUAAGUUGCAUAUUUCGCGUGAAGUGUUGCAAGUUUCAUAUUUAACGUCAGUUGUUGUAUGUUCGACGGUUGGAUUUCAUGUUUGACGUAAGCUGUUGCAUGUCUUGAAUAAAGCCAAAAUAAAGAAUAUUCUCGAAUAUUCUCAUCCGUUUCAUGUUUGACGUCGAAGUUGCAAACUUUACGUGAUAAGUUGCAUAUUUCACGUGCAGUGUUGCAGGUUGCAUGUUUAACGUCCGUUGUUGCAUGUCGGACGUCACGGUUGCAUGUUUGACGUAAGCUAUUGCAUGUCUUGAAUAAAGCCAAAAUAAAGAAUAUUCCCGAAUAUUCUCGUCUGUUUCAUAUUUGACGUCGAAGUUGCGAACUUUACGUGAUAAGUUGCAUAUUUCGCGUGAAGUGUUGCAAGUUUUAUAUUUAACGUAAGUUGUUGCAUGUUCGACGGUUGGAUUUCAUGUUUGACAUAUGAUGUUGCAUGUUUUGAAUAAAGCCAAAAUAAAGAAUAUUCCCGAAUAUUCUCGUCCGUUUCAUGUUUGACGUCAAAGUUGCAUAAUUUACGUGAUAAAUUGCAUAUUUAACGUGACUUGUUGCGGGUUUCAUGUUUUACGUCUAUUGUUGCAUGUUGGACGUCACGGUUGCAUGUUUGACAUUAGAUGUUGCAUGUCUUGAAUCAAGCCAAAAUAAAGAAUAUUUCCGAAUAUUCUCGCUUGUUUUAUAUUUGACAUCAAAGUUGCAUACUUUACGUGAUAGGUUGCAUGUUUGACGUAAAAUAUUGUAGGGUAGGUUUAUAUAAAAUAACUAAUUAUAAAAUGAGAGUGCAUUUCAAAAUUCCUUGACAAAUCAAGUGAUAAUUUAUAACUAAACUUAUUUUUUUCAAAUUUUUUAUUAUUAAUUAAGUUUAAUUAAGCCAAUCUAUUAAGAAACAAAUGAAAAUAUAUUAAAAUUAAAUUAAAUGCAACUUUUACCCAAUAAAUAUAUUUAGGAAUAUAUCUAAUUAAAUUGGUACACAAAUUACAAAUGUUUUCAAGAAAUUACACACAUAAGUUUAAUAGUCUAACUAUUUUUUAUAUGAUUGAUAAAAUGAUGGCUUUGGAAAGAACUUGUGAUUUGAAAAGAAAAAUCUAGUUAAUUAUAAUAAAAUUACAUAUCUAAUCCAACCUUUUUUCCUUAUUUUAGUCAGAUAAUAGUUUUGAAAAUAAUUUGAUAAUUCAAGUGAUAAUGUCUAUUCUUAUUUGUUGUAUAAUAUUUUUUUAGGUGCAUUUCAUUUUAUUUUUAUUUUUUUAGAGAAUCUAAUCAUGGUGGAUAUUUUAAAUUACUAAGUCAUGAAAAUUUUGAAUUCAAUUGAAAUUUACAAUCUUUUAUGAAUGAAAAUAUACAGCAAGACAAAAAAAUUGAGAGAUAAAAAGAAAAUGUGGUAGAAAGAAAAGGCAACAUCAAUAUGAUCAUUUUCUAAGAAAAAUUAAGGCAAAAUCUUCCAAGUAAUAUGGUCAAUUUCAAUAAAAUUACAACUUACUAGAGUAAAUCCAUCUACUAAACAUCCAAAGUUCACAACAUAAUAUUUGAAUAUCACCAAUAACAUCCCCAAUCCUAAAGAUUGCAACAAAUUCAUGUAACAUUUGAGGGUAUUGUUUGGGGGUAAAAAUAACGUGACCAAGUACACAUAAGUAGAACGUGCACCCCUCAGUCGGCCUAAGGCGACUCCUUGAGGAAAGUCUUCCCCGAUGAGUUGAGCAUUGGAGGGUUUAUGUUAGAAAAAUCUCCGACAUCCCCUAACUAGUUGUUAUGAACGCAAGCAUCCUUGGAGAAAGAGCUUGAGGUCCCAAGAGCCUAUUCGAUAAGAAAGAUAGAAGUACAAACCGACUCCCCAACAACUACUAAUUUAAGUGUUGGCGUGGUUGUCUGGUCGCUUCACAGCUCGACGAGAAUUCAACAUCAACAAAUAUUUUAGAACCUAGUGUAUCUUCAAUCAUUUUGGAUUAAAUUCUAUGACACUUUUUUCUUUUCUUCUCUUUUUUUGUGAAAACAAAUUUUAGUACACUUAUUUUAAAAGAAAUUUGUUAAUGAAAAACAAAAUAAUGACAAUGAAGAGCACUCAUUUAUAAAAAUAAGCUACAAAUAGAAAAACAAAAUUCAUAUAAGUAGAAUCUCCCAAAAACUAAAAGCAUUGUCGAAUUGAGUUACAAACUAAUAAUAAUUUCAUCAAAGUUUGUAAACCAAAGAUUGUCCUAAUAUCAAAAAGUUUCCAAUAAAACACUCCAACUGAAUUCUCCCCUGGAAAUAAUUAAAAUUUUCAAGUUAGUCAAUAAGAAAAAACAGCCAUCAAUCAUAAUAAGAAGCAACAGCAAAUUACACUAAAAAAAUGGCAGAAAAAAGCACCAAAACAACAAAUAUAAACAAGAAACAACAAUUAAAAAAAACCCAAAAAUGGCAUAAAAAGAUGCUCAAAGCAGCAAUAAAUUUAUAAAAAAUACCCUAAAAUAGCAGUGAAAAGUGCUUUAAAAAGCAUUAAAAAAUCCAAAAACAAUAGUAAACAUGCCUAGAAACAGUAGAAAAAACCCCCUAAAAUAGCAAGAAAACUGCCUAAAACUAGAAAAAAAAUCUAACAGCAAAAUCUUCCAUUGCCAGAUAAAGCUACGAAAGAAAAGAAAUAAAAUUCAUAAAGAGUCAAAGCUAACAUACUGACCACUUGCUAGAAAUUAAGCUAUAAAUCCCAAAUUUUUACACAAAUUAGUAUCUGAAACAAGAUUGGUUUGAUAUAUGAUAGUCAAGUAAAAUACCUAUAAAGUAGUACAAAUUCAGCAAACCUAAUGGCUUCACUCCACUGAUUUUCUUAAGACUCCAGUGAUGAGAAGCUGCCAACAGAAUGAUAAAUUGAGGUUUGACAGGAAGCACACAAACUAAACAAGAUACAUAACAACUUUGUUAUCCAUGUUACACCCUAGAACCAUUUCUAGGAAUAUUUGUUAGAAUAGCCACCAUAACAGUUGAUGAGCAACAUAAAACAGAGACAACAACAAAACCAGCAACCUGCAAAGUGCCAAUUCUUCCAUAAUUAAAUCAGAUACACAAUAGAAAUAAUUUACUAUUAAAAUCCCAAAUUCAUUUUAUCUUCUUCCUGCAUUUUCUCAUCAAUCAAACAUAAAAGAGAGCUCCUAUCGACACAUGCAAACAGCACCCACCAUCUUGUCGCAUUCAAACACAACCCAAGAUCACAAAAGUUAAUUUUCUAGAUUUAGUUAACCAAAGAAAAUAUACCAUCAACUGGAUCACCUUAUAAAUCAAAUACAAUUCCACAAUAUUACCAACCUCCCAAAAAAAAAAGGCACAAACUUUAAAAUGAAAACAACAACACCAUGAAAAAUAAGCAAAAGUGGGUAUUUAAAUCAAACAUGAUAGAAUGCAACAAAAGCAAAAAAGCUUUCGAUAGAAGCCAAAGCUAGAUGGGGUACAAGCAAGCUAGGAGGUACCAAUUAAAGAUGCUUCAUUCAAGAACAGAAAAGCUACCAGAAUGAUAAAAGUAGAAAAAAUGAAACAAUAAACAGAAAAUUGGGUGAAAGCUGCAACAAUAGUUUCAAUCACUUAACAGUACCAGCAAACUUAUAGUAAACUUUAAGAACUAGAUGUUUAAGCCACAGAUAAUGGGGACGUACCCAUGAGGAUAAAGACACAAGCGUGAGACCAGUAAAGCCGCCCAUCCUUAACUUGUGCAGGAAACAAAGUCGAAUGAAAAAGGAGGCAACGACGGUAGCGACGAAAACAGCUGGAUCGGAAGCGAACAGCUCAAGAUGAAAGCAACAAGUUAAUGGAUUGGAUUGUGUGCGCGAGAUGUGGCUUCGAUUUUAUUUGAUUAGUCAAGAAAUCGAAGAGAGAAAUUUGAGAGAAAUUUGUGAUUUCUGAGAGAGAGGCAAGAAAUUGAGAGAGAUUGGGCACGGUUGAAACACCUAAAUUAUAAAAAUAUAAAUUUUGCAGCCUUUGGGAACUGGUUGCUUCGGUUGCCCUUUUUUUGUUUUUUUUUUUAUUUCUUUUCAAUGUCAGCCGUUGGAUUCAUUUUACUUGAAUCCAACGACUGCAUUUACAAGCCAGCACAAUGCCGGGCCUCAAUGCCCGGCAUUGUAGCUUUAGCCUUUAAACGAUGUCCUUAUCGUUGGACAAGGUUGAGGAAAGACAGCGAUGUUGUGUUGUCACGUAUUUUUGGGCCGACCGUUUCCAGUUCCGGCUUAAAUGAGGCUUUUGUAUUUUUGUGCCCUUUUUUUUACUGAGUAUUUUGUCCUAAAUUACACCAAAGAAAAUGUGGACUUUAGAAUGUGACAGUAUUGAUAUCUAAGUUCAUAAUAUCAUGAUAAAACAAAUAAAUGAAUAGAAAUGUAAAUAAAUUUGGUUAAAAUUUAAUGGCUUCGAAUUCGGUAUGUUAUCAAACAAAUCAUACUCUUAGGAUUUGGAUUCAAUUCAUUUAUUAAUUGGAUGUCUAUUUAAUUCGUUUAUUAUACAAAAUUAAAUGAAUUGAAUUGAAUUUAGAUUCAUUUACAAUUUGUUUAAUUUAUUUAUGUAAAAUUAAUAAUAAAUCAAUCAAAUGUGGAUUUGUUUAAAAAAUAAUAAUAAUUAAUAACAAAAAUCAAGCAAAGUAAAAUAGAAAAAAAAUCAUAAAAUUAACAACCUACAAAAUAAAAACGAAUUAGUGACCGCAAACUUGAAUUCAAUUCAUUUAUUUAACGAAUUGAAUUGAAUUCACUUAUUUGUUAAUGAAUCAAUUUUUUUUUUAAAAUUCAAACCUAUUUAACUUGAAUCAAAUAAACACAUCCUAAUCUAAAUUGUCACCUCUAAAUAUGAUGGACCUAUUUAAAAUAUAUGAAUACCAAAAUGUGUGGGCUAAAAAGUGGUUUACCAUGCAACAAUACAAAGUUUAAGCUCUCUUUUCUUAUGUCAUCCAAGGCAUUGCCUAGAUCGCCAAACACUAGAGUUCAAGUCUACAAUAAAGAAUCGAAAUUUUCCUUUGUAUAUGUUCGUAAGUAUUUAGCAUAGAUUUUUUAGUUAUACUUGAUAGAUCCCCUACCAUAUUUGCUAUAAUAUUUCUCUUCUAUUUAAAAGUAAAUAAUGCAUAAUAACGGAUUUGUAAAGAAAUGAAAUUUCCAGUAAUUAUCUGAAAAAAAAAAGAUGGAUUAAGCGAAAGAAGUUAAUAUAGAGUAAGUCGAGUACUUGACAAUUAAAGUAAUUUUACUCGAGGUUGAGUAAGGAUAGUAGGAUACUUUCCCAAGUUUUCCGAGGACAUUCAUGUAACAUUGGACUAUUGACUAUAGUUAGAGAGAAGUCCUAGGAUGUAAGUGAUGAUGAUAGAUUCACAAUUCUUUUGAAGAAAAUAUUUUAUAUAAACUUAAUUAUAUGGUAUAAAAUGAUUGGCCUUAAUAAAAUUAAAAAAUAAUAAAAAUAAUACACGCCUGGGUCAUGCAAUAUUUUCAACCAACUAAUUUACACGCAAAAUUAAACCUUAUGAGUGAGAACAUUAUGGUACAUUUAUUUGCUAGCAAAAACUCCGCAAAAAUUUUCCGAAGUGUGAAAAUGAACACUUUUAACAAUGGCACAAAAUUCCCACCCCCCAUGAUUAAUUCUCUUAUCUGGAAUAUUAGGGGGCUUCCCCUGCGGAAAUUAGUUCGAUUACAUCGAUUGUCUUUGAUUUGUGUGUUGGAGCCAUUUAUUUCCGUUGAUCGUUUAGAGGCUCUUCGGGUGCGACUUGGGAUGGAUCAUGCUUUAUCUUCCCAAUCUGGGAAGAUUUGGGUUUUCUGGUCCGCACCUUUCUCGGUGGAGCUUUUGCAUGACAUGGGCAAGGUGAUUUAUUAUCGGGUUAGUCACUCUUUUUUUCCUGAUCCUGUGUAAGUUUCAUAUGUGUACUCUAGUUGUUAUAUGGAUGUGCGAGAGAAUUUAUGGGAUGCUCUUAAGACCUUUGUGGAUAGUCAUGACCUACCUUGAAUCGUGGGGGGAGAUUUUAAUAUGAUUCAGGCGGUCUCGGAGAUUUCUGGCUGGCAUCUACAGACUCGGGGAGCUAUUGAUGCCUUUAAUUUAGCGUUGCUUGAUUGUGGGUAGGAGGAUGCUAGCUUUGUUGGCAGUCCUUUUACUUGGACUAAUGGGCGCCCAUGGAGGCAGCUUGAUAGGGUGGUCUGCAACACUCACUAGUAUGCUUUCUUCUCAGUAUUUCGGGUCUCUCAUCUGAAUCGUACUGCCUCAUAUCAUUCUCCUUUGCUUUUUUUUUGGUGAUCGGGACGCUGUUAAAGGACCUUUACGGUUUAAAUUUCUUCAUGUGUGGCUCAUGCAUCCAGGUUUUCUUGAUACUGUGCGGCAGUCUUGGGGUGCUCCGGUGGUUGGUUUUGGAAUGAGAGCCUUUCAACAAAAACUCACUCGGUUAAAGUUCUGCCCAAAAGCUUGGAACAAAAAUGUCUUUGGUAACGUUUUUUAUCGGGUCCAACAAGCAGAGGAGGACGUGGCUCAGAAGGAGAGAUUGUAUGAUAUUUCUGGCUCCGCCGAUUACAGAGCUAAUUUUUCUGAGGCCAGGGCCUGGUUGCAGCAUGCUUUGCUUCGUGAGGAGAUUUUUUUUUGCGUCAGCAGUCCUGUGUUCGAUGGGUUCGAGAGGGCAAUACUAAUACCUAUUUUUUCCAUGCGAUGAUCCGGAAAAAGCGCCAGUUGUUUUAUAUUCACAGGAUUCGAGUUGAUUGUUUCUCAGAGUGGAUUUCUGAGCCCUCCGCCAUUGUAGAUUAUGAUGUCGAUUAUUUUCAAGAUUUAUUAACGGGAGAUGCCAGUCAAUUUCAGCAGACGGACUUCGAAGUUAUUCCAUCUCUUGUGUCUGUAGAGGAUGAUGUAGAGUUAUGUAGAGAGCCGUAUAUGGAUGAGAUUAGACAUGCGGUAUUUUUUAUUGAUCCAGAUAGUGCUCCUGGACCGGAUGGUUUUUGUAGCAGAUUCUAUCAGUCGUGUUGGGACAUCAUUUGCCAUGACUUGUUAAAUGUUGUCCUCGAUUAUUUUAGAGGUUCGGCAUGCCCAGAGGUUUCCAAAGUACUUUAUUGGUCUUUCUGCCUAAGAAGGCUUCUCCGGCUUCUUGGGCUGAUUUCCGUCCAAUUAGUCUUUGUAAUGUGAGCAACAAGGUCCUUACUAAGUUGCUUGUCCCAUCUCCUGCCUCACAUUAUUUCUCCUACUUAGAGUGGUUUUAUUCCUGGUCGAGUGAUUCAUGAUAACAUGCUCCUGGCUCAGGAGUUCGUUCACGAUCUCAAUCGCCAUACUCGAGGGAACAAUGUGGUUCUGAAAUUAGAUAUGGCGCAGGCAUACGACGUAUGUCAUGGCCUUUUAUUAUUAAGAUGAUUCACUGUUUUAAGUUCUCGAAGCGUUGGAUUGCUUUGAUUUGGCGAGCGAUUUACGGUCCUUAGUUUUCAGUGCUUAUGAACGGGGUCAGUAACAUAUAUUUCCAGUCCCAGAGUGGUCUUUAGCAGGGUGAUCCCCUUUCCCUUUGCUUAUUUAUUAUUGCUGCAGAAUUUUUAUCUCCAGGCUUAGAUCAUUUGUAUUCUCAAUAUCCCUCUGUUCGGUAUUGUUAUACUGCACCUACUUCUAUCUCCCACUUGAGUUUUGCGGAUGGUAUUGUUAUUUUUGCAAAUGAGAGCCGAUCUAACUUACAGUGGCUUGUGGAUUUCUUACACCAUUAUAAGGCGAUCUCAGGGCAGUUGAUUAGCGAGGACAAGAGUAACUUCUACAUUGGGAAGCCAGCUUCGACCUCCCGCCAGGCCAUUGUUCACUCUGUGCUUUCAGUGACGUCAGCUUCCGUUUACUUAUCUUGGGUGCCUGAUCUUUACAGGGCACCUCAAGAUCUCCUAUUUUGAUGACAUGGUCCGGAAGGUCAAGGAUAAGAUUUCUGGCUGGGCUAACCGUCUGCUUUCCUUUGGUGGGAAUCUCGUCCUCAUUCGCCAUGUGUUAUCCUCUAUGGCCCUGCACUUAUUUCACGUCCUCCGUCCUUUUAUAACGGUAGUUUAACGCCUAGAGCGAUUAUUCACCCGAUUCCUAUGCGGUGAUUUUGAGGGAAGACACCGGAUCCACUAGUGUAGAUGGCCAAAGGUUUAUUAUCCAGUUGACGAGGGUGGCCUCGAUAUACGAUCUUUUGAUGAUAUGGCGGAGGCUUUUGAGAUUAAACUUUGGUGGCGGUUUUGUUAGCAGAGUUCCUAUAUGAAGUCUAAGUAUUGCAGAUCUACGCAACCAAGCCUUAUCCAGUUUCGCUAUCUUGCCUCUCCUUUAUGGAGACACCUUUAUAAGAUUCGUUGCACGACUAAACCUCAUGUGCGUUGGCUCGUUAGGAGUGGAGAUUGUAGCUUCUGAUAUGAUUGUUGGCUGAGUUCUUGCCCUUUAUUUUUUUAUAACCCUACAACGGCUUUGUCGGUGUCGGUCUAGUUCUUUUGGCAGGGUACAAUCUGGGACAAAGGCAAACUAAAGGAUGUCUUGCCUUCAUCUAUUGUUGAGCAGAUCCUAUUAGUGCCUAUUUCUAGUGGGAAUCCAGACCUGAUUCGUUGGGACCUUGCCCCCGAUGGCACGUUUAACUUGCGGACUGCUUGGGAGCUUGUACGGUGCUCGAGGCCGAGGGAUGAGCUUUUCUCGAUGAUUUGGUAGAGGCAUAUCCUGUCACGAGUUUCCUUUUUUCUCUGGCAGCUACUUCACGGAUUCCUAGCUACUGAUGAUGCCUUAUACUUGAGGGGUUUCUACAUGGUUUCUCGAUGUAUUUGUCAGCGGGUUGCUGAGACUUCUCGGCAACUUUUUAUGGAUUGCCCGCGGGCCCAUCAUAUUUGGGUUCAUUACUAGCGGAUCAUGGGGAUGCGUGAGCUUUAUUUUCUGUCUCCCCGUACUUUGCUUUUAUUUUGGAAACAUUGUGCCCCUUCUCAGAAUCAUCAUCGGGUCCUUCUGCCUUACUUCAUUUUGUGGCAAAUUUGGAAGGCCCUAAAUGCUUUCUGGUUUCAUUCACAAUCUUUCUCCACUGAUGCGGUUAUCUUUCAGGUCGACUCUGAUCUCAGGCUUGCUAGUUCUGCUUUUGGAUUCAAGCCUCCCCAACUGAGGGGAGUCUUGGGUUCUCGUAUUGCGGAGAGCUUGCGAGUGACGGCUCCCCGUAGGAGGUCGAUUCGUCUAGUUGCUUGGAUGAGGCCAACUUCAGGGGUGGCUAAGCUGACUGUGGAUGGUUGCUCUAGGGGCAACCUUGGGAUGGCUGCUUCCGGGGGUAUUCUUCGGGAUCACCGGGGCGUGGUUUUAACGGCUUUUGGAUCCUUUUUGGUUUACAAGCCGAUCUUAUAUGCUGAGCUCAUGGUGGUGUGCGAGGGUUUGGAGCUUGCCAUUCAGCUUGGGUACUCAGUGCUCGAGGUUGAGUCAGACUCGGCUAUAGUGAUGUCAUGGAUUCACACCUCAGGGUCCUGUUCGAUGGGAAUGUUUUUAUUCUCUGCGCUGGGUGUGCCGUCUGGUAACGUCAUUCCCCAUUCAGGUGAGACAUGUUCUUCGCGAGGCUACUUAUGCUGCUGAUGUUCUAGCCAACUGGGCACGCACUCAUCGGACUAGCUGAUGUUUCUUAUCUCCUCGAGAGCUUCCCAAAGGCUUAUCUGGUAUUCUUUACUUAGAUGCCCACGCAAUCCCCCAUGUCAAACGUUAGGAUUUUAUCUUUUUCUUAUAUCUCAUUUUCUCUAGGAGGUUUUGGCUUAUAUCCCCUCCUUUGUAUCUAAUUCAUUUUCAGAUUUAUAUUAUAGGUAAGGGUUCCGUCUAACCCCACCACUCUGGUGGUUUAAAAAAAAAAAAAAACAAUGGCACAAAAUGCCUGUGAUAAUGAAACAAUGUGCCAUCCUUAAACUAAUAUCAUUACAAACUACAAGUGAAAGUUUUUGGAAAACAUGUGAUAAGUUUUUCUCGGAAUUUGUUUUCUUCUUUGUUUUGAUUUAAGUGUAAAAUUUUAAAAUCCGUAACAAAACAAAAAUUUACAUGGGUUGGGUGCACCUUGUGGUUCGUGCAUGCUUUCGUCUAAUAGUAUUUGAUACAUACAUAUUCAUUUUAAAAUUGACGAAUCGUAAUAAAAAAAUUUAUAUAUAAUAAUUGAAUGAGAUCCAUGGUUCACAAUUGCAAAUUAACGGUUGGUUUUAUAAUAAAAAUCUUUAUGUACAUACCAAAUUAAAAAAAGUUAUAAGUGAAUUAAGAUUUUCAAAAUUUGACUCGUAUUAUAUUGUGUACGUCAAUAUAAUAUAAAUUUGUUAUAUAUAUAUAUAUAUAUAUAUAUAUAUAAUCCAGUGCUUUGAAAAACUUUAUACUUGUUUGAACAGUUUUUUUGCUUUCUAUUUAUAUACGGUAUCAUUUAUGUUUACAUAAAUUUUCAUAUGUACCCAAAUUAAGCAUUAAAUACACAAACACUUUGUUAGGGCACAUGUAUAAUUAAUCUUAAUAAUUCUUAUACAAUCCUCUAUUUAACACCAGCAACGUCACCCAUUAUAAUUUAUCACUAAAUAUUGUAAAACUAUUGGUUUUCACGAAUAACUAAUAAAAAUUAUUUUUUUUAAAAGAAAAAUACUGCGAUUCCUUUCACUGUUGUAGUAGUAUAGUUAUCGUGGACGAUGAAUUUCUAGUAUUGUACAAUGAUAUUUAUGUUGAAUAUAACGCUUCAAUGAAUUUUAUUACUAUAUACUACAAUACUCAACCAUCUUCAUUAAAAAAAAAAAAAUUGCAUGAUUAGAAUGAUUAAAGUUCAUCUAAUGACGAGUUUCAUCAUUGACUGUGUCCAAACACAGCAGCAAUCCAGAAUACAUUUAACACGAGAGGCGCACACAAACAUGCAUGAUGAAUCUUCCACCAUUAAACCUGAAAUCAUAAAAUGAAAGAAACAAGAUGAGUGUUGUUUGUCUGAAAGCCGAUUCGAGAAAAAAUAAUAAUAAUAAUAGACCUUUGUUAAUAAUUAAUACUAGUUGUCACUACCUUGUGCAUCUUCCUCCUCUGUAUCAUCGUCCUCUUCCAAUCACACCGCAAGACCAGUAUAUCUCGAGAAUCUUUACUGCCUUCUCACAGAUCCCAUUGCUGUCAUGUCUUUUGAGAUCUUCAAUCUUUUUGAAUCCCUCAGCCGCCUCCACCAACCGUGCAUAAUGAUUAAAAUAUCUAUUGGCGGUACCCGUAUUCAUUUCAGCUUCCCCGACCUUCAAAAUGUUCUCUAAUCCUUUUAAGCAAAUAGUGACGAUCUCUGGAUCAGCGUAUAGAAGGAGAUCACACAAUGGUUUUAUACACCCCUUUCUCACGAGGUACUUGAUUUGCUCAUGAGUACCACCUGAGAUGGCAUUUGAAAUUGCCCGAGCGGCCUCCUUCUUUGUAAAAAAUUCAGCAUUUUGAAGCAGAUCGACAAGGGGACCAAUUACGCCAGCAUCAAUUACCACCUGAAUCUGUUCCCUGUUACCAGCUGUAAUAUUUGAAAUAGUCCUGCAUGCCUCUUUCGCAAUGCCUGUACACUGAGUCAGGAAACCAUCUCCCUUCACAAUAUAUCUGACAGUCCACAGGGGAGGAGUGAGCCCGAAGGGGAAGGGUAAUGGAUGAAGAAGGAGCUUAACAAGUCGUGGACAGACAUCUGCCUCGAUCACAGCUUGAAUUUUGUCAUUCGUACCAUCAGAUAGACAGGAUAGUGCCUCGCAGGCAUAUCUCAAGACAUCGUUGUCAUUUGAAUGAACAAGUUGUGCAAGCGCAGGAAGAGCUGGCCUCACCUGAUCAAAUGGUGGCUCUGGCUUGCCCUGGCAAAAACGAGACAAUGUCUUUGUGGCAUUUCUUAGCAUUGAAGGCUUAGCAUGCUUAUUUAACUGUGCCAGCAACGGAAUCAAAGCUUUUUCACUGAGCACAAGAUCACGGUCUCUAGGUGAGCUACGAGCAAUAUUUCCCAGUGCCCAAACAGCCUUCUCUCGGACAUCAUCACUUGGAGAAGAAAGUAGCUUCACAAAUAUUGGAACAGCACCGCCGUCGAUCACCACAUUAGUAUUCUCAGAAGCAAUGUUUGUAAGAGCCCGAGCAGCUUCCAACUGAAGCUGCGGAUUGUCUUCCCUAGUAAGAAACUCAACAAAGCGCGCGACAACGCCAGAUUGUAUGACUUUCUCACUUGGUGGUAGGAGCAGUUUUCGGAACCAAGUAGUUGCUUCCAGCUGCAAGCCACUGUCAUCUGACCAAACCCCAGCAAGCAUCCCAGGUAAACUCACCAACUUAUUUUAGGAGCAGGAGCAGGAGGAGGAAAUUAAGUUAGGGAUUUAGAGUGAGAGUGAAGGUGGAGAAAAAGCAAGAGAGGGAAAAAGCUUAUUGUUGAGAAAUAUGUACCUUUUGUAUGGUUGUGUUAAGGUCGUCCUUCCAAGCCCAACAUGCUUCACCAUGCCGCUCCACUUUGUGUAAUUUGGGUGUACUUAAUUUUCCUUCAGAGAAAAUCUUCAUAUCGGGGCAAUCAUCCACCACUAAUCUUUCUAAAGAUGGGAACUUGAAAGCACAAUUGCCAGAGCAGAAGCUUGUCAGGCGUUCUAAGUCUACAAGCUUCAACUCCUUCAAUUCUCUGAAAGUAAUAACCUCAUCUUUUGCUACAACAUCAUCCCCCUGUACUAUUUCUGUUAUCCUAUCGCAUGAUUUUAUCUUCAUAUAUCUAAGUCGCACCAGAGUCUUUGCAAUUAAGGAUGUUAAUACGAUUUUCAAGUUGUUGCAACGCGAUACCACCAUAUUUGUAAGAUUCUGAAAGGAUGUCGACGGUGGCACUAGAUUGACUAAAUGGUCACACCCCUUUACACGUAGAAUAACCAAGUUGUUCGUAACAGAGGACUCCCUUAUCAAAAUGUGCUCCAGAUGAAAUGCUUCUCUUAUUUCUACCCACAUCCCAUUUUCAACCUUCUCAUACGGCAACGAGGCACUAUAUCCUCCUAUUUGGAGGACUUUCAUUGUGUGAAGUCUCUGGAGGAAGUCACCAAGUGAUAAAAUCGUCCGCUCAUCACCCAAGUGAUAUUUAUUUGUCACUACGUGCUUUGCAUCAACUUUCAACUUUUCCAAAUUAGGGAAUACCUGGGAGAUCGAUCACAACCCCAAAAAAAAGAAAAAAAAGAAAUACAAGAUGAAUCAAUUGAUAAGAAAUAUAAGUUACCACUAAUUUAUACAAUAUAUUUUAUUCAAUAAAUCUUAACCUUUAAAAAAAAUAGUAAUAAUAGUAUGCCUAACAUCUAGAAUAAUUAUGAAUGAAUACUAUACACUAAUCCGUAAGAGAGUUACGUUGCUGACAAUUUGAGUUUUAGUAAGAAACCAAGCGAUGAAGGCAAAGGCAAUAUAACUCUAAACUCUAUGAUAUAAACUCUCACAGUGCAUACAUAAGAAUUGAAAAAUUGAUUAUAAAAUUCUUGUACCUACCCUUUCCGUGAAGAUACUAGUAGUUCUCACCAUGAAUUCAGGACAUUUAGAUAUCCGUAAUUCUUUCAAGGAUGGAAAUUCAAGAAUAUCAAGAUCUCCAGUGCAGAAGCUUGUGAACUUUUCAAGAUCAGACAUCUUCAGAUAUUGCAACUGAGGAAACAUUACAAUAUUUUUCUUCCUUUCUUCUUGGUUGUCCAUAACUAUUAACUCUUCCAAGACAGGACAUCCGACUAUCUCAAUGCAUUGGAGUUGAACAAAGCUACUAACGGUAGAAGAUGAAAAUAGACAUCUUAAAUUCAUACAGCAGGACAGGGUCAAGCGCGUUAAAUUCUGAAUACCACAAGACAUGACUGCAACUUGGUUUUGCCAAAUCCUUUCAACAUUUAUUGAAAGCAAAUGCAACUUCUCUAACUCUGGUAACCGAACCUGCUCGAUCAAAAAAUUAACUCGUUAAUUACAAGCAACAAUGAUUUCUGUUGAUGGACAAAUCAAUAAAAUUACUCUUUCUCUGGUUAUAGUUCUUUUCAGUUUUUCAUACAAACAACCGUUAAUCAAGUUUUCCAAAUUAUUCCUUACUAAAUGUAUAGAUUUAGACGGCGGCUAAUAUAAUUCAUAUUGCAAAUAUUCUUUGAUUGUAACGAAUUUUGUAAUAUUAAAUUUUGGUUGAUUCGCAAUAGGACCUACUAUCCAGCGGGAGCAGUUCCUUGGGAUUUAACUACUGGCACCUCGAUUAUAUAAAAAUUUGGAAUAUUUUCAAAGGAAAUCACAUAAUUUCCCCUUGCAAAUAGUAAUUAUCAUUAAUUGCCACGGGUUGACAUAUAAUUCUAAGAAAUUAGGCGAGAAGAGUCUCAUCAACAAUCAAUCAGCAGAUAUCACGUUUGGCAGAUCAUCAUGAUUUCCUCAUAUGCUAGAGAAUCAACGUGAUUUCCGCUCAUGCAGGAGCAGGAGUGGACACAUUAUCUUAGAGCAUCCCUCACUGAGAUCUUUUAAAAAAUUUAUAUUAUAAAGUGAACAACAUAUUAAGUAUAGAUUUAGACGGCGGCUAAUAUAAUUUAUAUGUAUUCUAAUGACGUAUAUUAAAGAAAAUGACUAACCAUAAUUUCAAUCAACUUAUUAGUCUAUAUAUAUAUAUAUAAUAUAUAAUAUAUUCAGUGAUUACAACAUAUUUAGUAUUCCAUAACAUGAAGUUUAUAAUAAUAAUUAUUAUUAAUUCACUUAUUGUGUCAAGAACAUUUUCUUUCUCUAAGAAUGAAUUUGUUACACCCUACUAUACUACGGAUGAAAAAUUUAGAAUCAUUGUGAAAUAUAAUUAUUAAUCACUCUUUGCCAUAUUUGCGACCAAAGAAGAAUAUAACAAAGAAAAGAAACAAAAAUUAUAGAGAAUUAAUGAGACCAUUGACGUAUUAAUAACUGACCUUCCCAGUGAAAAGCGUAUUAGAAAUUUGGAUAUUGUCCUCCAAAAUGAUUUCAUGUGACUGCAAAUCAUUAGCUGAUUCCUGUUGUCUCUGUUGACAUUGAGUGUAAACUUAAUUGUGAGCACAAUCUUAAUGCAUAGAUACAAGAUCUCUAAAAAUUAGUAUAAUAAACUUAGCACAAAAUCUAAAUUUGAUAUUUCGGAUUCCAUGAUUAAGAUUUUUUAAAUAAAAAUUUAAUAUAGUUAAUUUAAAAAUAAAAAUUAAAUAUGAAAAAUUAGAUUUGCAAUUAUGGAUUUAAUUUUGAUAAAUAAUGAAUGUUCUCUUUAUAUUUUUUUUUAAAGGUAAAACAGCGUACAAAGCCCAAAUUCAUUUUUUUAGUCCCUUACUCUCCCAUGAUUCAAACUUGGGUGGUUGUAGGGGGACUGAAAAUAUGUAAGACAGUUAACUUCACUUUUUUUUUUUUUUGAGAGAGAAAAGAGAAGAAGGAUAUUACAAAGCACGAAGCUCGUGCAAUAUAAGGGCAAUUAUGGUUUUUUCUUUAAAUUAAAAUGGUAAGAUUCUGAAGCUAAAAGAUUAAAAUAUUAAUUAAAUUGCAAACAUUAAAGAUUUUUUUUCCAAAAUUGGUUGCUUUGAAAAUGAGAAUAAUAUAAUGUUUGAAGACUUUUCAAAAUUAAUUACUGUGAUGCACUAGAAAUUUCUAGCUUUAGUCUAAUGUAUAAAUUGACAAAACGAUAUUAGAAUCCCAGGUGAAAAGAACCCUCUCAUACCAAUUAUUUAAAUUAGGAAUGAUCAUACCUCUGACUCUGCCGAACUGAGGGCGGGGUCUAAACCCCUCAUACGGAGACGCUUGAGAUGGGAAGAGCCCACUUUGACUAAUUCAUUACGAAUAUAAUCGACAUCUUGCUCUUGCAAUCCACGUAAUUCAAGGUCUUCAAUUCUCUGCAGUUGCACGAUCAGCGAAUCCUUCAAGCAAAUCUUGUCAUUGAGGUCGAGACUGAAUUCACGACACCAACUGCCGUUGCUCUCCUCAUCAUCUCCAAUGCGUAUGCUGUACCUUUCCAGCUUCUCCAAGAGCAGGCCUCUGGGCAGAGUGCUGACGUCAUAGACGUGUAAUUCCAAAGAGGUCAAGUUGGGCAAAUGCUUCAACUCCUCAAGGCUUGCAUUCUUAACCCCUCCCACCUCCAUCUCCCAGUAACGAAAGCUUUGAUCUAUAUAUAGUUCUUCUAAAUGUGAUAAUUUUGACAGUAUAUUUGGUGGAAUAACUUCUAGAUAGCAACAAUCCCUCAAAUCAAGCAACUUUAGCCAAGUCAAUUCACCUACUUCUACCGGCAACUUCUUAAUAUAAGAACCUCUUAAGCAAAGGAUUUCUAGUUUCUUCAAGCCUCCUACAACACUUAUAUCGGGCAAGAUGAAGCCGCACAAACUCAGUGUUCGAAGGUUUGACAGGAGACCAAGUGAUGAAGGCAGUGACCGUAGAAACAUGCCAGUCAAGUUGACAACUCUGACCUGCAUCAUCCUCUCGAAAAAGUUGUUUGGAAUUGUUAAUGAUGAAAAUUCCCAACGAUCAGCACGUAUAAAAAGAAGUUCGAGCUGAGGACAUUCCAGUACUUCAGGAAGCAAAUUAUUCUUGAUACCAUGUAAGACGAUUGAAGUGCAAUGCUUUAUUGCACUUCCAUCUGACCAUUCCCUGCAACCAUCAACCUGCUCAUUUGUAGCAGUAAACACAUUUCGUUCAGUAGAUGCAAUUGAUACGGCGACAUCGCGAACUACAUCAUGCAUAGAAAACAACUCUUUCUUCUGGCUUAUAUGGUCAAGCAACAUACAAGAAGCUUUGAGUGUGCGCACCAAUGUAUGUACUCGAUUUCGUGCUACUUCAAUCUUAUUCACACCUUGAAAUAAACCCAAUCCCAUACCACACAUUAACAAGUCAUCAAUAGAUGCUAUGGCUGUAUAUCCUAUUAGCAAAAAGAUGUUCUUGAGAUCAUCCCUUCCUAGUUUAUUGUAGCUCAACUCGAUAGCUUUAAAUGCGGCUGGCUGUACAUCCUUAAAAUUCGAUGAAGAAGGCCUUCUUAGCUGUUCCAAUGCAUCCUUCCAUUCACGUAUGCUCUUGCUCCUUAAUGCCCUUGCAACCGUCACAAUGGAAACUGGUAGACCUGCACAUUCCUUUGCCACAUCCCUUGCUACCUCUUUCAAUUCAUUAUCUUCAACAUAAUCACCUGCCAUCUUCGUGAAUAGACUCCAAGCUUCAUCUUCUUUUAAAAAUCCAACUGGGAAAUUUUUUCGAGACUCCAUCUCUCCAGACAAUACUUCUUCACUCCUUGCCGUGAACAGCACUUUACAUCCCAUGUGAUCAUCUCCGUGAGGAAUUCCGACAUCCAACAAAUCAAGAUUUUCCCAAAUAUUAUCCAAGAUUACAAGGAUCCUCUUCUCUUUCUUCAGUCGAUCAUAGAGUCUUCUUGCCCUACCCGAUUCACUCUCCUCAUCAAAUUUUAGACCUAGUUUAUCCGCGAUUUCUCCUUGAAGCUUUCUUACGUCUCGACUCUCAGACACCUCAGAAAAAACCACCUGAUCGAAAAGCUUGUCACUCUCUGCUUUUCUAGCAACUUCUUUAGCUAGCGUCGUCUUUCCGAUUCCGCCCAUUCCAUAAAUCAAAAGCAUGUUGACAUUGGGAUUUUUUAAUGCAUCAAUUAUUUCAUUCAGAAUGGACGUUCUUGAUUCAAAGGCCUCGAAGUCUUUGUUAGGCAUAAGCAAGGUAUCCUCCGGAAUGAUGCUGUAGGAAAUACUAUUAACUGGUCUAGCGUCCAGGACUUUGACAACAGCCUCCUUCUGCCUCUCUGCUUCCUUGCUAAGUCGAGGGCGGGUCUUCAAAUUAGGACAUAACCCCUUGAAACAACGCUUAUUUGCAGUGGCUUCAUCUUCUGUAAAUUUAUCUGCCUCUUCAAUGACACUGUUGGCCGUUGCAAGCCAAUUCUCAACGUUCUCUUCAAUCUCUUCUCCUUUUCUUUUAGCCUCAUCAACCUGGUGCUCUGUAUUCACCCUCUCAGACUUUAGUUUCACAACUUCAGUGUUGAGAUUCUGUAAGUUGCUCGUGUACUUACUCUCACGCAAAUAGCUAAUUUGGCGAUAUGCGUGAGGAGCCAAGCACUUUGCAACUUCUAAAGCAAUAGUAAGAAUGAUUUCAGCCAUCUUCAGUCCUUUGUCCUUGUCUCUCUAUCUCUCUUUUUCUGAAUUUUGGAAAAACAAUUCAACAAGUGACCACAACAAGAUGGAACAAAAUAAAAAGGAAAAAAAUACAAAGAGUGGAUGGAGAAUAAAACAGAGACAGCGGCACAGCUAGACACAACUAGAUAGAGAACAGAGGAAAACCAAAUAACAAGACUUAAGAUUACAACAAACAGAGGCCAAGUAUUAUUGUUGAGAUCAGAAGAUGGAAAAUUCCAAAGAGUUGAUGGCAGAUGCUGAAUAACAGAACAACAAUGAACACAAUAAACAGAAGCAAAGUGUGUUUGUGAUCGACAGACGGAAGUAAGGAAAGCGGUUGUUGAUUGAAAAUGAAUGAAUGCAAAGAAAGACUGAUGUUAAAAAUUGAUGUCAAGGAAUAAUUGAACUUUCGCUGAAUUAUUGUUUGUGGCUUCUUUUACUGUUUAUUUGUGGGUCAUGUCUUUUGGAACUAAUCUUGUCCAAAAAAUGUUGUUUAUUUGUGGGUCAUGUUAUUCAGCAUCUGCCAUCAACUCUUUUGUUUAUUUAUUCAAAAAAUAAAUUGUGAUUAUUUGUUAAUGUAUGCGAUUACUUGUGAUGGUAAACAAAGUAGAUAUGGUAUAUUUUGAAGUUAAAUUAAAAAAAAAAAAAACAGAACUUUUACCGUUACUUGCCUUAUCAUCUUUUAAAUUAGAGUUAUUAUUCUUUUAUUUUUCAAGUUGCCAACUCAUCAGUGUAUUCUUUUAUUGAAUUUAAAGAUCAAUGAUUAUAAAUUUUUGUGAAAAUUUUAAGUCAAAACUUUAAAUUAAAAUAAUCUUUAAGUUAUAGGGAAAUAAUAACUUAGUAUAACAAAUAUUAUAUCCUAUACUUUAUUGCUACAAAAUUACGAAACCUUAUAGUUUCAAAAACAAAAAUUACGAAACCUUAUAUUAUAUUAUGUUUCCAUAUUUCUCCUUUAUAGUGAAGACUCAUACUUCUUAUCUAAUAAAUGCUAAAGUAUUGGCUUAAAUUUUUUAACCAGCAUAGUAGACCCUUAAGCUAUAUAUACUAUAAUGUCCCUCUUCUCUCACAGAGUAAACCAAUCUGAUCUCAGAGUGAGUUGAUACCAUGACUUCGCAUCAUUUGUGAUCAAAGGAGUAUCAUUACUAACUAAUAUAGGCUCCAUCAAUAGGCAUGAUAAUAAUUUUUUUUUUUAUCUACAAACGCUGUUUUUCAAAAUAUUAUAUCUUAAGACUUAACUAAAUAUUUUUUAACUAUGUAGAUAUAGUUUGUUUGAUCUCUUUUAAAUAGUGGAGAUUACAAACAAACAUAUGUGAAUUAGUAGUGAUGUUGAGUUCAGAAGCUUGAAGUUAAAAAAAUUAAGGGUUUCUUGAUCUAGAGAAAUUUCAAAUGAGUGAAGCGUCCUCGAAAUCGGAAGACGAAAAUAAGGAAAGGGUAAGGGUGUAUUUUCAAAGUGAUUCUAUUAAGAGAUCUUUGAAGUAGGGGUGGGCAAGUCGGGUUUUGGUUCGGGUUGUUCAAAUUUCGGUUUGGGUUUUAACCCAAUCGGGUUUGAGAAUUAAACUCAAUCGGGUUGAAAACGCCAAUCCAAACUAAACCGAACCAAAUUUAAUUCAGUUCGGGUUCAUAAUUCGGAUCGGACUGGGUUGAUAAUUCAUGUUAAAAUUUCGAUUCGGGUUAAUUUGGGUUAGAAUAAUUCAAUCUAAAAUUUUGGGUUAGUUCGGUUUAAAACGGGUUGGAACUAUUUAAUCCAAAAAUUCUACCAACAACCACUUAAAAUCUAAAAAUCUCAAUUCCAAACAUCCUUAACAACAAAUAUCAACUACAAACCAUCCUUUACAACAUUUCAACAAUAACAAUAGCAAUAAUAACAACAACAACAAUAAUAAUAAUAAUACCAACAACUAUGAAUCAGCAAUUCAACAUAUUGCCAUAUUCUAAAUUUAAAAAAACACACAAAUUAUUUAAUUAAUUAAUUAAUUAACAAUCUCCAAUUUAAUUUAUAAUAACAACAAAAAUCCUCUCCAAUUUAAUUAAUAACAGUCUCCAAUUGUUUAAUUAUCAGUCAACAGCAACAAACCCAAUCUAAUUUAAUCAUAACAAUCUCCAAUUGUUCAAUUAUCAGUUAACAGCAACAAAUCAUCUCCAAUUUGUCACGAACAGCCUCUAAUUGUUUAAUUAUCAGUCAACAACAACAAACACACUCCAAAUAAUUGAACAAUUAUUAAUUAAUUAAUUAAAAAUACCCAAUUUAAUUAAUAACAACACCCAGGAGCAAGUCAGCAAUAAACCCACUACAAAAUCCAAAUAUCAGUGUAAACUAAGUGUCAAACCUUGAUCGGUGGGAAGCUACAGCGUCGGCAAAGCGUGACCGUGUGGGGCUGAGUGAGACCGUCGACCGAGGGUGUGAGAAGGGAGAAGAGGGAGCUGGGAGGUAACAUGGUGUGUGUGAGUUUAUAUAUAUAUAUAAUUUUUAAAAGCCAAAACUUAAAAAAAAAAAAAUUUAACCCAAUCCAAACGCGCACCUCAGAUUACUUCCGUGUUAAGAGAUGAAUCCCACACUCUUGAGCCUUUGUCGUCCUAGUCAACUAUCAAAACAAAUCAUUAUUGAAUGUGAACAGAAUUAUUGAUCACCCAAUUUUCAAACUUGUCAUCCUUAUUGAAUCUGCAUUCCCUUUUAAAAUUUUUUAAAAAAGUACAAAUAAUGAAACAAAGUGUUGUUCCUUCAACAGUUGAUAGAGUUACGCGGCUUCAACUUGCAAGUGCUGUCGGCAUUUUCAAACUUGCAAUACCCUUCAACUUGCUUUCCAAGAUAGCUAUAAUUAAUAAUGACAACAAUCUCCCUUGUAGUGACUAGUGAGCAACUUGUUUCGUGAAAUUAACGGCAUCUUCUCUCACAUUUAAAAAAAAAAAAUUGAAUUAUAAAACCCACCAAAACUAUAAAAGAAUUGUUAGUUUUUCUUCAUUAAAAUUAAUAGAUUGCUCCUCAUAUUGAAAAAUCAAAAUUCAGAAUAAGAAUGAUUGAUACUCUUUAUUUACUAAAAUGAAAAUAAAAUAUAUGAAGCCUACAUAUUUUUGAAAUAAAAAAAAAGAACUUUAUUUUUCAUGAGGAGUGUUGGGAAUCAAGUUCUCAUUAUUUAAACUCUCAAUUGUACCAUUAUUUAAACUCUCAAUUGCACCUCACCGAAAUUUCAUAAUUUCACUUUUGUUCUCAAUUAAAAUAUUAUUAUAGUUAUUAUUCUUAUAAAUGUUGAUGAUGAUGAUACAAGAUAAUAAAAUUAAUGAUAAUUAAACCAAUUUGAAUUCAGAGUGAGUGAGUACCAUUACUUCGCAUUAUUUGAUAUCAAAGGAGCAUCAUAACUAACUAAUAUAGGCUCGAUCGAAUUCAUCAUGCGAAGUAUAUUAUCGGCUGUAGGUAUGGAAAUAAAUUUUGUAUCCACAAACACUAUUUUUCAAAAUAUUUUAAGACUUGACUUAGCAUUUUUUAACCAUAUAUGUAUAGGUUGUUUGACCUAUUUUAAAUAGUGGAGAUUACAACAAAUGAACAGAUGUGGAUUUGUAGAGUUGUUGAGUUCAGAAGAUUGAAGUUAACAAAGGGUUUCUUUAUCUAGAGAAAAUUCGAAAGAGCGAAGUGUCUUCGAGAUCAAAAGACGAAAUAAGGAAAGGGUAAGGUUAUACUUUCAAAAUGAAUCUGUUGAGAGAACUUUAAAGAUUACUUUCGUUAAGAGCUGGAUCCCACACUUGAGUCUUCGUCGUCUCAGUCAGUCAGCUAUAAAGACAAAUUAAUUUUGAGCGUGAAAGGACACAAUUGAUCACCAAAUUUUCAAACUCGUGAUCCUUAUUGAAUCUGUAUUCUCAUUUGAAAAACAAUAAAAGAUUAACAUUAAUUUAACUUCAUCUAGAUUCCCAUUUGAAUCUGCAUUCCCAUCCCGUUGUUCUCUGGGAAUGCACAUAAUCAAAAAAAAUCCUAUCCGCAUUUUCAAACUUGUGACCCUUCAAGCUUUCUAUGACAACUAUAACGAAUAAUUACAACAGUGCUACCUAAUAGUGAGCAACUUGUUUGAUGAAAUUAACAACUUCUUUUCUCUCAUAUAUUUUUAAAAAAUUGAAUUAUCAAAGUUUUUAUUUCAAAAUUAGUGCUAUAGUUCAUUAAUUUUUCAAAUUUUCCUUUUUCUUUCCACACAACAGAUUGAUUUGCCCUCCAAAAAAUGUAUUAUAUUGUUUAAUAUUGUAACUUCAAGAAACUUAUAAUAAAUUUUUAAAGAGAUAAAUAGAGAAUGUCAGUCUCCCAUCUACUCAAAAUUAAUAUAUAUCAUUAACUCUUGAUUAUUUUUAUAACAACUAAUAACUUUCUUGGCAGCAUAAUUUUACAGUAUCAUCCUUGUUUGUAAGUAUAUUUUUAUUCAUAUUUAUUAUAAAUUAAUUAAAUCAUAUCAAUGAAAAUUGAAAUAAAAAUUGAAGUACUAAAAAUUAAAAAAAUAUAUUUUGGUGUGAAUAAAAAAUUGAAAAUAAAAAUAUUUUUCUUAUAUUUUUUGUUAUUUUUAAAUUUUUUCUUAUAAUAAAUGUAUAUUUUAUAUGCUCAACUUUUUCUUUUAAUUUUUGUUAUUAGGAGGAUUUUUAGAUAUAAUGAAAUUUGUAAGGUAGUAAGUAAUAUAUAAUAAUUUUAAUAGAGAAAAGUAAAAAAUCUCUUAUUUUAAAAUAUAAGGAGAAAAAUAAUUAAUUUCAAGACAUUUUAGAAGAUAUUUCAAUACGCGGUGGACCACAAACUCGAGUCUUUGUCAUCUCAGUCAAACUAAAAGGACAGAAUAUUGAGGGCAUGGCUAAGGUGCAGAAGCUGCAAGUAACAGCUUCGAACUUUCCCAUUUCCAUCACCUUGCAUUGGGACCUCUUUCUUUGUCCUCUAGCACCCGUGGAAGUUCCCCAUUGGCCACUGUUAGGAGCUGUAACAUAGACUUCUCCGAAAAUUGAGCGCGAAGGGCUCAAGUGAUUGUUAAUUUCACAGCAAUUGCCUUUUUUCUUUCUUUUUUUUUUUCUAAUUAUUGGAAAAUAUAAUUUAGUAUAACAAAUAUUAUAUCCUUUCCUUUAGUGCUGCAAAAAUUCCGAAACCUUAUAUUAUAUAAAGUUUUCAUAUUUCUCCUUUAUAGUGAAGACUCAUACUUAUUCUCUAGUAAAUGCUAAAGCAUUGGCUUAAACUUUUUAACCAGCACAGUAGACCCUUAAGCUAUAUAUACUAUAAUGUCCCUCUUCCCUCACAGAUUAAAGCCAAUAUGAUCUCAGAGUAAGUUUGCUUCAAAGGAGUAUCCUUACUAACUAAUAUAGGCUCGAUCAAUAGGGAUGAUAAUAAUUUUUUUUUAUCUACGAACAUUAUUUUUUCAAAAUAUUAUAUCUUUAGACUUAACUAAAUAUUUUUUAACCAUAUAUGUAUAGUUCGAUUAAAUAGUGGAGAUUACAACAAAACAGAUGCGAAUUAGUAGUGAUGUUGAGUUCAGAAGAUUGAAGUUAAAAAAAUAAAGGGUUUCUUGAUUUAGGGAAAUUUCAAAAGAGUGAAGCGUCUUCUAAAUCAAGACGAAAAUAAGAAAAGGGUAAUGGUGUAUUUUCGAAGUGAUUCUAUUGAAAGAUCUUUGAAGAUUACUUUCGUUAAGAGCUGGAUCCCACACUCUUGAGCCUUUGUCGUCCCAGUCAACUAUAAAGACACGUUAUUAUUGAGUGUGAAUAUUCCGAGUUAUAAAUCACCAAAUUUUCAAACUUGUGAUCUUCAUUGAAUCUGCAAUCCCUUUUGAAAAAAAAAAAAGAAAAAGAAAGGAAAACUGCAAAUAAUGAAACAAAAUUCUGAUCCUUGAUAGAGUUACGCGGCUUCAACUUGCAAGUGCUGUCGGCAUUUUCAAACUUGUGAGACCCUUCAACUUGCUUUCCAAGAUAGCUAUAAUUAAUAAUGACAACCGAAGACGGCCACGUUUGCGGUACAAAAGUUGCACCAUAUUAGACGUUCUUUUUUGUUCUUAUCCGAAGUAACCGUUGGAUUCAAAGGAAAGUGAUCAGACAUUCAAUAGCUUCACACGUGGACAUUAUAGGAUACCGGUCAAAUCGGUUAGCGCUCCUCCACAUCAAACUCACAAGCAUGGCAAUCAUCGUAUUCGUAUCAGCUUGGAAACUUGUUACAAGUAACGAAGAGCAACAGAGUCCGCUCCUCUAGAGUCGGCAACAGAGUUUUAAUUAACGGCAUCUUCUCUCACAUUUUUUUUUAAAAAUUGAAUUAUAUAACCCACCAAAACUAUAAAGAAUUGUUAUUCUUCAUUAAAAUUAAUAUACUGUUCCUCAUAUUAAAAAAUCAAAAUUCAGAAUAAGAAUAAUUGAUACUGUUUAUUUACUAAAAUGAAAAUGAGAAUAAAAAUAAAAUAUAUGGAGCCUAUAUAUUUUUUAAAUUAAAAAAUAAGAACUUUUCAUGAGGAGUGUUGAGAAUCAAGUUCUCAUUAUUUAAACUCUCAAUUGUACCUUACCAAAAUUUCAUAAUUUCACUUUUGUUCUCAAUUAAAAUAUUAUUACAGUUAUUAUUCUUAUUUUUGUAGUUGUUGUUGUUGAUGAUGAUGAUUAUGAUGAUACAUGAUAAUAAAAUUAAUGAUAAUAAUAAUGAUAAUGAUAAUGAUAAUAAUAAUAAUGAUAUGAUAAUGAUGAUAAUAAUUUGAACAACAACAACAACAAUAAAUAAUAAUAAUAAUAAUGAAAAUAAUAACUAUAAUUUUAACAACAAUAAUAAUCAUUAAUAUUAUUAUUGUUAAAAUUAUUAUUAUUAUUAGAUAAUUAUUUUGAAUAAUAAUAAUCACAAGUCUAUUCUGAUUCCAGUUUAUUCCGAUUAUCGAUUAGAAAAUGCAUCAUUACUGUUUUAAUAAUAACUAAUAAUUCUCUUGACAUCAUAAUCGUAAUUCUUAUACUAUUAUCCUUAUUUUAAAAUCCACUACCAUGAGCUUGCAUCAUUUGAAAUGGUAGGUACUAGGUAGCAAUUGCUUACAUCAAAAUAUCUAGACUCACUCGGCAAAGUAUCCGAGGCCAAAACGCCAAAAGAUGGGACACCCACAUGUGCAUCUAAUUACAAAAUCUAAAGUUAAUGAAAAAGAAAAAAGAAAAAGUAUAAAUGAACGGUAUUGGCUGUAGGACAAGGGGAGGGGAAAAAGGACCAUUUUGUUUUCUUUGCUAAUUCACAUGGGGAAGGGAAAAAAAGAAAAAGACAGUUUUGAUUAAAAAACACAGAAUAUUCAAUUCACAAGCCACCAAUGCUUGUGGACCAAUGGUCGAUAUAUGAAAGUUAGAGAUUCUGGCAAAAUGAGCAAAUAUUUUGAGUUGAUUAAUGGAUUUGUUUGUAAUGCAAUACAAGAUAGCAUUUUAAAGCUGGCAAGAAAGAAAGAAAUAAGUCAAUAAUUGAGAUAUUUAAAGAAGCUCAAGUGGUCAUGAAAUCUCUCCUUAAAAACUAUACAAGAUAAUGUUAAUGAUAAAGUUAGCCAACCAAGUCGUUCAAUCAUUGCUAGAAGCAAGCAGCCAUUGAAGUUGAUAGAAGCUAAUGCAUGGAAAAAGGUUCGUUACAUAAAGGAGAUAAUGAGAAAAUUGAUGAACCCCUAUCAUCCAUGUUUUGUUUCAAUCAAAAGGUUUGAAUUUUAAGGCCGAUAUUUUGGACUGAAUCCCCCUGUCUGCUUCCAAAGGGGAGGAUGUGCAUGUAGUUGAUUGGGCCGAUGAUUGUGAUGGGAGGGAACUUUUAGCUUGGAAAUGGACCUAGCAAGCCCAUGUUUGAUUCGGUAAGUUGUGACUUCUCAUGGGCAUUUGAAAUUUUUAAAUGGCCUUUUAUAACCUUUGUCAAGAUUCUCAGAAAUCGAAUCAUUCGGUGAUUACUUGCAAAUUCGGAAAGGAAAUUGGAAUCAAACUGGGGUUCUAAUUAAAAAAAAAAAGGGUUCAGAAUCAGAAUUUUGUUCUUUUGACUGACUAAACUACCCUCAUUUAAUUUUCAAAAUGCCCAAAUUUUUAUCAUGCUCACUUGGCGUUAUCUCGUCUUGUGGGAGCUGUAGGACAGUUGAGAUAAAAGAUAUUGCUCCAGUAUCUACUGUUUUCUCAUCCUGAUCUUCAGAGUUAUUCUCAACAAUGGACAAAUUUGAGUUUAGAACAGCAUCAGAAACCAAUGACACCCAGUCGCAUCCAGCUACUUCUUCACUUUGCUCAAUUCGACAGAUUUUACGCAAAUUUGUUUUGUUCUCAAAAUAGUCUGCUGCUCCCGGAUUGUCCUCAUUACAUUGAACGAAUGAUGACGACGCUCUGUCCGUUUCUGGCUCUCUGCUUUUCUCUUUCACAUCACGAGACACCUCGUUUCUAACUGGGGUACCACCAUCACAUUUAACUGUUAUUGGCAACUCAAUAGCUAAUUCCAAUGUUUCCUCAAGCAGUUUAGAGAUAAACUCUCUCGCUGAACUCCCUGGAGUAACACAAUCCAGUUUUCCAGUGCAAUCAUCAAACAGUUGAACAGCUCCUGAAUUCCCUUUGCUUUUCUUGUUUUCUUUUCCAUGUAAAGGGAGCUCAGGCUUCAAUAUAUCUGGGGAUUGAUUACUAAUGAUAAAGACAACAUGCUGUAGAGGACACAAAUUGUUAUUAAACAACGAUGCACUUUUCAUUUUUCAACUGAGUACGGUAAAGCAAGAAUGGGUAAUUAGUUUUACCUGCUAAGCGAAAAUCUACACUCCCGAAGGUAACCGAUCUUGGGUGAAGCAAAUAAAGACGAAGGCGAAGUAAAAUUCACUGAGUUGAAUGAGCGAUCAUUGCUGAUAUAAUUAAAGACUGGUGAAUCCUGCAUGUUGACAAGCAUCAUUUUUAAUCUAACAUAGAGUCUUAAAAACCUGGUCAGUGGCAAAUGAUCACGACAACAAAUCUGAAGUACAAACAGCAGAGCUCAACAAAUCACUAAGAGAAAAUAACACCAGUAACCAAGCAGAUGAAAGAAAAGCAAAAUAAUCCAUCUCAAAUCACCACAUGCACAAUUUAAGGGGGUUGUGACAUGGGUUUAAGCAUGAUUUAACAAGUGCCACCAGUGAAUUCUCAGAUUGAAUUUUCAUACACAUGUCAAAUUUUCAAGUCCAACGAAUUGUUAUCUUUCUGAAGAUAUUAACUAUGCAUAGCAUGCUAUAAACAAAUCAUAUUAUUAGGGCCUUUGUUUGCUGUACACAACAUAUGUACAGAGGAACAAAUCCAUGAGCUGAAAUCAUCAUAUUCCAAAAUAUUCUACCCAAUCAACACUACAAAACCGUAACGCUAAACAGAAUUGGAGCAAUUUAAGAAAGCUAUUUGUCACACAAAGCACUAGUACCUCAGAACCCAAUUUGCAAAAAAGCAACAAAAAUGAAAAAUAACAAAUGCCCAGAUGCAAAAUCAGGAAAAAAUGCUCAAAUACAAACUACAACCCCAUAAGCUGAGAUUGACCUCAAACUUGGAAACAGAAGCGACAGUGAUCUGUUUCUUGUCUGGAGUGUCCAUUUCUAUAAUCUACUUUGUCCGUUUUCAGUCGCUCCGCCACAAAGCCUCUUCACUCCGAAGCUGAAACUCGCCACACACUUGCAAAACGAAAGCAUUUGAUUGAUUGAGAGGCGGGAAGGCGGGAAAACGAGCGAAAUUUGCUUUUGUUUUUUCUUCGUUUGGUCAUACAUGUGCGGGCCCCCCAGGUUGACAAGCGUUAUCAUUACUAUUUGCAUUAUUUGAAGGACGCGUGUCAUGCAACGACGAUAGAAAAAGUGGUGCAAAACUCCAAUUGUCACGAAAUGAUGAUAAAAUAAAAAUAUAUCGUUAAUUUUUCACUUAACAUUGGAAUAUCAUAUAAUUUUAUGGUCAUUUUCUCGCCGCCACAUUCUUUUGAUAAAAUAAUACGGUAAAACUUUUCUAUAAUCAUGAUAUUAGAACCCAAUUAACUUUGUUUCUACAAAGAGGUUAUAGCUUAAUAAAGUAAAAUUGUAAAAAAUAUUAUUUUGACUUAAUUAUCUAAAGAGUAAAUAUAUAAUAAUUAAUUAAUAAAUUAUGUCAAAUACAAUAUAUGGACUAUGAUAAAAAAGAUAGACAUAAUUUCAUAAAAUUAAUACAUAUGUUUUUGUAGUGCUGCGAUUAUACAAAGUUAUCUUAAAAGUGUAAAGAGUAAAGUAUUGUUUUAAUUAAUUUAAAAAAAUAUUUUAUUAUUAACCUUUAAUGCAACAUAGUAAUUUUUUUUCCCUGGCAACAAAGUAUUGUUCCAAAUAAUUAUUAUUGGAUCUAGAUCCUGCCCUAGGCAUUUUCUCUACUAAUCCUCAUAAACUUUUAGGGUAUGUUUGGCACGUAAGAUUAGAUUGGACAAACUAUUAUGAUUGGACUAACUUAGAAUGGAUUAGAUUAGAUUGGAUUAUAUAUAGUGCUGACUUAUGUUUGGUAUGGUAUUGGAUUAGAUUAUGUUAAAUUAAAUUUACAUAAAAUUAAAUAGUAUUUACAUUAAUAUUUGAAUUUAAAUAUCAACUAUUUAUAGAUAUUUAACAAGAAAUAUUAUAAUUAAUUAAAAAUAGCAAUUGGGUAGUCAUAAUUAUAAUAAAGAAAUAUAAAUUAUUUAAAUUAUAGGUUAUUUCAAAGAGUGAUGAUACAACCACAAAUUCUUGUACAAACUGAUUUGGCAUUAAUUCAUUUAUUGAAUGAAAAUAUAAAAUAAUAAAAAUAAAUCAUGUGGGCCCAAGAUAUAUUUAAUUCAACCAAUUUUAUCAUGCCACAUCAGUUUGUACAAAAAUUUGUGAUUAUAUUAUUACUCUAUUUCAAAUGAGAGAUAUCAUUUCAUUGAAUAAAAUAAAUAAAAUUAUUCAAAUAAUAAAUUAAUUAAUAAAAUUUAAGUAAAUCAUGAAUAAAAAAGAAAUCAAUUAAUUAAAAACAGUAAAUAAUUAAAUAAUUUUUAAUUUAUAAAUAAAAUGGUAUAAUAAAUUAUGGAAGAUACUAUAAAUACACAAAUAUUUUUUUCACAUUAUCUAGUUCUAACUAAACACACAUAAAAAUUAGGAUUAGCAAUCCCAUGAAUUUAGGAUUAAAAUUUGAAUUUAGUCGAUUAAUCCAAUACAAGUGAGCAUGCUAAAUAUGGUAUUAAUAUUUUAUCCCAGUAAUAAGUCCAAUUCUACACUUAAUCGUACCUCCCAAAUAUAAUCUUAAGGAUCUAUUGACAUGUGUCAUUAAUGAAAUUAAAUGGCUAAGAUUUUGUUUUAAUUAUUUUUUACCUAAAUAGACAUCAAAACUCAUGUGUGACUCUUGUUAAAUUUUUUCUUACAAAUUCUUUUCCUCUUAAUUCUUUAUAUUUUGACACUAAUUUCCAGCAAAUUAUUUAAAAAAAAGGAGCACAAAUUGGAAAAAAGUGAUUGACAACAAGGUUUGCAUCUUAAUUUCAAAAUUUUCCUUUCUUUGAUGUUUUUGUGGUUUCUAUAAUUGUUGUUUUCACUCUAAGUUGCAAUUCAAUGAACUAAAUUAGUGUUGCUACUUUAUAAACUGCUAUUACUGGGCAUAUAAUUCUAUUGCUACAAUUUUUUUGAGUUUAUAGUUUCUGUUCUAUUCUCUUUUUGGGUUUGCAACUGCUGUUUGUUGUUUUUUUAGGUUUUAUAGUUGAUGUUUUGGGAAAAAUAAAAAUAAAUGUGAUCUUGAAUUCUUUAACUACUAUGAAACAAUUAAAUUAUUUAGCUGCUGCAUUUUCUGCUGUAUUAUUAUAGGCGAGAUGUGUGUCGAAAGGGAAAGAAUUUGCCUAAAAAAAAAAAUUGACAAGAGUCACAUGUGAGUUUAGAUGUCUUUUUUAAGUAAAAAUUAAUUAAAAUUAAAUAUUAGCCAUUAAUAACACAUGUCAAUAAAUUUUUCAAAGUCUAAGAAGAUUGGAAGAGGAUCCGAUCUAUUAUUUACUCUAUAAAAGGAAGUUCCUUGAAGACAAGAACUAUAAAUAAAUUAAUAUAAUGAAUUUAUUCUUAACCUAGUCUAAAUUGAGACUAAAAUUUUUUACUUAAAAAUUUACUAGCUAGCUUUACCUUGAUGGACUAGCUAUGGCCCAUACACAUUUCUCCAAUUUUAUUAAUAUUUUUGUGCAUAGCAAUUAGGGAUACGUGACAAUAAAUUAUCCUUUUAACAUAUAAAAAGUAUUCUCACAAGUAGUGUGCCCCUCCAAAGGGCACAGACAGACUUUUAGCCUCUUUCUUCGGUUUACCACUCCAGUUGGAAUCUUCAAUAAGAUUAAACAUUGAAUAUAUCUAAAAUAUUAGCAAUAUUUGUACUUAUAUUUAACAAAACUAGAGUAAUAUAUUGAUUAAUCUACAUAAUUUUGGGCGGGUUCUUAUGUAAUGUUACAAUUAACAUAGAUUAUUUUCACGGUAUAAGGCAAAUCUUGAGAAUGAACCCAUUUCAAUAUGGUUUCCACAAUAAAUGAACCCACUUUACUACCAAUGAAAGGCCUUGACUCAUAUAUAUCCACCUGGAAAGAAGGGGGGGGGGGGGGAGAGAAGAAAUCUUCUAAUUUCUUUCACCAUCAACAAAAUCAGUGAAACACAUACUAAUUCAAAAUAAAAUAAACUUUGUGAAUUGAAAUAAUGCCUGCUCUAAAGAAAAUGAUAACUGCUAUUCAUUUUUCUGAACUGCUGAUAAAAGCUUCUGCUAUUUACUUCGAAAAAAUUGAGUAACUUCAAAUUUUGAGUUUAGGCAAGAGGAUGAAUGGUAAAAGUGAGACAUUUUAGGGGAAAAGUAAAUACUUGAUAGGCCAAUGAAACAUUCAAAAGAUUGAAAUCUAAAUGAGCAAAACCUCAUGGCCUUGAGGCCCUUGAUCCAACAAUUCCACUGCUGUUGACAUGCCUGCAAGCCCAACUCCAAUAAUAGCCACUUUCAGCUUUGGUCCUCUAUAAUGUUCCGGUUCUGGUGGAAACAAACACUUGGGAGCUGCCAAGUAUACCAUUCAAUUAUCCACAGCGAUAUUGGAAAAACAUACAUGUUUGAAAGUACUAAAUAUCAAAUGUCUCCCGAAAAAAAUACAAAGCACAAUUGCAUAAGCAUUUCAUUUCCCAAUAAAUUUCAAGAAUACAAAAUACUUGGUCUGUUCUUGAGUUCCUUUAAGAAAAUUUCCACGAGAGAGCACGCAAGCCACUCAAUAACACUCCAAAGUCAGAUUUUAAACGUUAUCUUGAUCUAUAAGUACAAUCCAUGAACCAUUCUGCCACAAAUUCAAUUAAAAAUUAUUCAAGUAAAAUGCCAAAUUCUCCUUCAAUAGCCUCAAAAAUUCAUAACUAGCAAACACUACAGAACAAAAAGAGCUCCCAGCAAUAAACGCAUAAAAAUCCCACCAGAAACCAGAAAACCCAAAAGAUCAAUACUUGGUAAACAAACAAAUCAAAUCAAAUAAAACAAAAAGAAGAGAAAUUUACCAUUAACACUCAUAUCAGAAACGUUAGUAUCCAAAGAAGCCCGUACACAGAAUCUUGGAACCUUCACUUGAACCCGAGACCAACAAACACCAGUAACUGAAGUUGCAGGAAACAGAAGUGAAGAACCCAUAUUGAAAUAAAAGAAUCCAAACCCAAAGUGCCACAUCUAAAUAUGAUGGAUCCACUUAAAAUAAACAUAUAAAAAUCUUCAAUAUGAGUGCGAAAAUGUGUGGGGGAAAAAACUAAAAAGUGGUUUACCAUGCAGCAAUAUGAAUUUUAAGCUCUCUUUUCUUAUGUCACUCAAGGCAUUGGCUGGAUGGCCAAACAGCAGAGUUCAAGUGUACAAUAGAGAAUCGAAAUUUUCCUUUGUAAAUGUUCAUAAGUAUUUACCACAGAUUUUUAAGUUAUUCUUGAUAGAUCCCCUACCACAUACGCUAUAAUAUUUCUCUCCUUUUAAUUUAAAAGUAAAUCAUGCAUAAUAACGCACUUGUAAAGAAAUGAAAUUUUCGGUAAUUAACUGACAAAAUAAAAAAAAAGGAUUAUGCGAAAGAAGUUAAUAUAGAGUAAGUCGAGUACUUGACAAUCAAAGUAAUUUACUCGAGGUUGAGUAAGGAUAGUACGAUACUUUCUCAAGUUUUCUGAGGACAUUCAUGUGACAUUGGACUAUUGAUUAUAGUUAGAGAGAAGUCCAAGGAUGUAAGUGAUGAUGAUAGAUUCAGAAUUCUUUUGAAGAAAAUAUUUUAUAUAAACUUAAUUAUAUGGUAUAAAAUGAUUGGCCUUAAUAAAAUUAAAAAAUAAUAAAAAUAAUACACGCCUGGGUCAUGCAAUAUUUUCAACCAACUAAUUUACACGCAAAAUUAAAACUUUAUGAGUACAUUUAUUUGCUAGCAGAAACUCUGCCAAAUUUUCCGAAAUGUGAAAGUGAACACUUUUAACAGCGGCACAAAAUGCCUGUGAUAAUGAAACAAUGUGCCAUCCUUAAACUAAUAUUAUUAGAAACUAUAAGUGAAAGUUUUCAGAAAACAUGUGAUAAGUUUUUCUCGGAAUUUGUUUUCUCCUUUGUUUUGAUUUACGCGAGAGAUAGUUGUAAAGAUUGUUUUGAUAAGUUUUCAGAAAACAUGUGACGAAUCGUAGUAAAAAAUUUAUACAUAAUAAUUGAAUGAGAUCCAUGGUUCACAAUUGCAAAUUAAAGGUUGGUUUUAUAAUAAAAAUCGUUUUGUGCAUACCAAAUUAGAAAAGAUUAUAAGUAAAUUAAGAUUUUCAAAAUUUGACUAGUACUAUAUUACGUACAUCAAUAUAAUAUAAAUUUGUUAUAUUUAUAUAUGUUAUUCUGUAACUAAUGCUUUCAAAAAUUUUAUACUUGUAUGUUUGAACAACUUUUUUUCGCUUUCUAUUUAUAUACGAUAUUAUUUAUGUUUACAUAAAUUUUCAUAUGUACCCAAAUUAAGUAUUAAAUACACACACUCUGGUAAGACACAUUUCUAGUAUCAGACAAUGAUAUUAUAUUGAAUGUAAUGCUUCAAUGAAUUUUAUUACUAUAUACUAAAAUACUCAACGAUCUUCAUUAAAAAAAAAAAAAAGAAAUUGCAUGAUUAGAAUGAUUAAAGUUCAUUUAAUGACGAGUUUCAUCAUUGACUGUGUCGAAACAGAACAGCAAUCCACAAUACACUCAACACGAGAGGCGCACACAAGCAUGCAUGAAUCUUCCACCAUUAAACCUGAAAUCAUAAAAUGAAAGAAACAAGGUGAGUGUUGUUUUACGGUCUGAAAGCCGAUUCGAAAUAAUAAUAAUAAUAGACCUUUGUUAAUAGUUACUACUAGUGGUCACUGCCUUGUCCAUCUUCCUUCUCUGUAUUAUCGUCCUCUUCCAAGCCGCUGUCAUCUGACCAAACCCCAGCAACCAUGGGAAAAAUCACCUACUUGUUUUAGGAGCAGGAGCAGGAGCAGGAGGAGGAAAUUAAGUUAGGGAUUUGGAGUGAUAGGGAAAAAGCUGAUUGUUGAGAAAUAUGUAUACCUUUUGUAUGGUUGUGUUAAGGUCGCCCUUCCAAGCCCAACGUGCUUCACUCCGCCGCUGCACUUCGUGUAAUUUGGGUGUACUUAAAUUUCCUUCAGAGAAAAUCUUCAUAUCGGGGCAAUCAUCCACCACUAAUAUUUCCAAAGAUGGGAACUUGAAAGCACAAUUGCCAGAGCAGAAGCUUGUCAAACUUUUUAAGUCUAAAAGCUUCAACUCCUUCAAUUCUCUGAAAGUAAUAACCUCAUCUUUUGCCACAACAUCAUCCACCAAUACUAUUUCUGUUAUCAUAACGCAUGAUUUUAUCUUCAUAUAUCUAAGUCGCACCAGAGACUUUGCAAUUGAGGAUGUUAAUACGAUUUUCAAUCUUUCGCAACUGAAUACCACCAGAUUUGUAAGAUUCUGAAAGGAUGUCGACGAUGGCACUAGAUUGACCAAACGGUCACACCCCUUUACACGUAGAAUAACCAAGUUGUUCGUAACAGAGGACUCCCUUAUCAAAAUGUUCUCCAGAUGAUAACAAUUAUUUGCUUCACUUAUUUCUACUGCCAUACCAUUUUCAACCUUCUCUUUCGGCGACCGGCCACCAUAUCCUUGUAUUUGGAGGACUUUCAUUGUGUGAAGUCUCUGGAGGAAGUCAUCAAGUGAUACAAUAGUCGGCUCAUCAACCAACUCCACAAAAAGAUAUUUUAGUUUGCAAAGCAAGUCUUCAAAAAAUAGAUAUUUAUUUGUUCCUAUGUACUUUGCAUCAACUUUCAACUCUUCCAAAUUAGGGAAUACCUGGGAGAUCGAUCAGAACCAAAAAAAAAAAAAAUACAAGAUGAAUCAGUUGAUGAGAAUUAUAAGUUACCACUAAUUUAUACAAUAUAUUUUAUUCAAUAAAUCAAUAAAUACAAGAUAAACUUUCACAGUACAUACAUAAGAAUUGAAAAAUUGAUUAUAAAACUCUUGUACGUACCCUUUCCGUCAAGAUAUUAGUAGUUCUUUUGCAUCUCGCCAUGAAUUCAGGACAUCCAGAUAUCCCUAAUUCUUUCAAGGAUGGAAAUUCAAGAUUAUCAAGAUCUCCAGUGCAGAAGCUUGUGAACUUUUCAAGAUCAGACAUCCUCAGAGAUUGCAACUGGGGAAACGUUACAAUAUUAUUCUUCAUUUCUUCUUGGUUGUCCACGACUAUUAACUCUUCCAGGACAGGACAUUUGACUAUCAUAAUGUGUUGGAGUCGAACAAAGCUACUAACUGUACAAGAUGAAAAUAGACAUCUUAAAUUCAUACAGCUGUACAGGGUCAAGCGCGUUAAAUUCUGAAUACCACAAGACAUGACUGCAACUUGGUUCAGCCAAAUCCUCUCAACAUUUAUUGAAUACAACAUCAACUCCUCCAAAUUUGGUAAUGCAACCUGCACGAUCAAAAAAUUAACUUGUUAAUUACAAGCAACAAUGAUUUCUGUUGAUGGACAAAUCAAUAAAAUUACUCUUUCUCUGUUUAUAGUUCUUUUCAGUUUUUCAUACAAACAACCGUUAAUCAAGUUUUCCAAAUUAUUCCUUACUAAAUUUUGGUUGAUUCGCAAUAGGACCUACUAUCCAGCGCGAGCAGUUCUCGGGGAUUUAACUACUGGCACCUCGAUUAUAUAAAAAUUUAGACGGCGGCUAAUAUAAUUUAUAUGUAUUCUAAUGACGUAUAUUAAAGAAAAUGAUUAACCAUAAUUUCAAUCAACUUAUUAGUCUAUAUAUAUAUAUAUAUAUAUAUAUAAUAUUCAGCGAUUACAACAUAUUUAGUAUUCCAUAACAUGAUGUUUAUAAUAAUAAUUAUUAUUAAUUCACUUAUUGUGUCAGAGUAUCUUUUCUUUCUCUAAGAAUGUAUUUGUUACACCCUACUAUACUUCGGAUGAAAAAUUUAGAAUAAUUGUGAAAUAUAAUUAUUAAUCACUCUUUGCCAUAUUUGUUACCAAACAGGAAUAUAACAAAGAAAAAAAACAAAAAUUAUAGAGAAUUAAUAAGACGAUUGACUUAUUAAUAACUGACCUUCUCAGGGAAAAGUGUAUUAUAAAUUUGGACAUUGUCCUCCAAAAUGAUUUCAUGUGACUGCAAAUCAUUAGCUGAUUCCUCUUGUCUCUGUUGACAUUGCAGGUAUCUUGAUUUUAGAGUGUAAACUUAAUUGUGAGCACAAUCUUAAUGCAUAGAUACAAGAUCUUUAAAAAUUAGUAUAAGAAACUUAGCACUAAAUCCAAAUUUGAUAUUUUGGAUUCCAUGAUUAAGAUUUUUUAAAUAAAAAUUUAAUAGAGUUAAUUUAAAAAUAAAAAUUAAAUAUGAAAAAUAAACUUGCAAUUAUGGAUUUAAUUUUAAUAAAUAAUGAAUGUUCUCUUUAUAUUUUUUUUAAAAGGUAAAAGAGCGUACAAAGCCCAAAUUCAUUUUUUUAAGUCCUUUACUCUCCCAUGAUUCAAACUUGGGUGGUUGUAGGAGGACUGCAAAUAUAUAAGACAGUUAACUUCACUUUUUUUUUCUUUUUUUUUUUGUUGAGAGAAAAGAGAAGAAGGAUAUUACAAAGCAUGAAGCUCGUGCAAUAUAAGGGCAAUUAUGGUUUUUUCUUUAAAUUAAAAUGGUAAGAUUCUGAAGCUAAAAGAUUAAAAUAUUAAUUAAAUUGCAAACAUUAAAGAUUUUUUUUGCAAAUGGUUGCUUUUAAAAUGAGAAUAAUAUAAUAUUUGAAGACUUUUCAAAAUUAAUUACUGUGAUGCACUAGAAAUUUCUAGCUUUAGUCUAAUGUAUAAAUUGACAAAACGAUAUUCGAAUCCCAGGUGAAAAGAACCCUCUCAUACCAAUUAUUUAAAUUAGGAAUGAUCAUACCUUUGACUCUGCCGGAUUGAGGGCGAGCCAGAGACGCUUGAGAUGGGAAGAGCCCACUUUGACUAAUUCAUUACGAAAAUAAUCGACAUCUUGCUCUUGCAAUCGCCAUAACUCAAGGUCUUCAAUUCUCUGCAGUUGCACGAUCAGCGAAUCCUUCAAGCAAAUCUUGUUAUUUAGCUCGAGACUGAAUUCACGACACCCAAUGCCGGUGCUCUCCCAAUAGCCAUCAUCUCCAAUGCGUAUGCUGUACCUUUCCAGCUUCUCCAAGAGCAGGCCUCUGGGCAGAGUGCUGACGUCACGGGCGCGUAAUUCCAAAGAGGUCAAGUUGGGCAAAUGCUUCAACUCCUCAAGGCUUGCAUUCUUAACCCCUUCUUCCACCUCCACCUCCCAAGCAGCAAAGCUUUGACCUAUAUAUAGUUCUUCUAAACGGGAUAAUUUUGACAGUAUAUUUGGUGGAAUAACUUCUAGGUCCUCACAAUGUCUCAAAUCAAGCAACUUUAGCCAAGUCAAUUCACCUACUUCUACCGGCAACUUCUUAAUAUCAGAAUCUCUUAGGCAAAGGAUUUCUAGUUUCUUCAAGUCUCCUACAACACUUAGAUCAGGCAGGUAGCACCAACACAAACUCAGUGUUCGAAGGUUUGACAGGAGACCAAGUGAUGAAGGCAAUGACCGUAGAUCCAUGUUAGUCAAGUUUACAACUCUGACCUCGAUCAUGCUCUUGAAAAAGUUGUCUGGAAUUGUUACUCGUGAAUAUUCCCAAGGAUCAUCACUUAUAAAAAGAAGUUCGAGCUGAGGACAUUCCAGUACUUUAGGAAGCAAAUUAGUGUUGAUAUCAUGUAAGACGAUUGAAGUGCAAUGCUUUAUUGCACUUCCGUCCGACCAUUCCCUGCAACCAUCAACCUGCUCAUUUGUAGCAGUAAACACAUUUCGUUCAGUAGAUGCAAUUGAUCUGGCGACAUCGCGAACUACAUCAUGCAUAGAAAACAACUCUUUCUUCUGGCUUAUAUGGUCAAGCAACAUACAAGAAGCUUUGAGUGUGCGCACCAAUGUAUGUACUCGAUUUCGUGCUACUUCAAUCUUAUUCACACCUUGAAAUAAACCCAAUCCCAUACCACACAUUAACAAGUCUUCAAUAGAUGCUAUGGCUGUAUAUCCUAUUAGCAAAAAGAUGUUCUUGAGAUCAUCCCUUCCUAGUUUAUUGUAGCUCAACUCGAUAGCUUUAAAUGCGGCUGGCUGUACAUCCUUAAAAUUCGAUGAAGAAGGCCUUCUUAGCUGUUCCAAUGCAUCCUUCCAUUCACGUAUGCUCUUGUUCCUUAAUGCCCUUGCAACCGUCACAAUGGAAACUGGUAGACCUGCACAUUCCUUUGCCACAUCCCUUGCUACCUCUUUCAAUUCAUUACCUUCAACAUAAUCACCUGCCAUCUUCGUGAAUAGACUCCAAGCUUCAUCUUCUUUUAAAAAUCCAACUGGGAAAUUUUUUCGAGACUCCAUCUCUCCAGACAAUACUUCUUCACUCCUCGCCGUGAACAGCACUUUACAUCCCAUGUGAUCAUCUCCGUGAGGAAUUCCGACAUCCAACAAAUCAAGAUUUUCCCAAAUAUUAUCCAAGAUUACAAGGAUCCUCUUCUCUUUCUUCAGUCGAUCAUAGAGUCUUCUUGCCCUACCCGAUUCACUCUCCUCAUCAAAUUUUAGACCUAGUUUAUCCGCGAUUUCUCCUUGAAGCUUUCUUACGUCUCGACUCUCAGACACCUCAGAAAAAACCACCUGAUCGAAAAGCUUGUCACUCUCUGCUUUUCUAGCAACUUCUUUAGCUAGCGUCGUCUUUCCGAUUCCGCCCAUUCCAUAAAUCAAAAGCAUGUUGACAUUGGGAUUUUUUAAUGCAUCAAUUAUUUCAUUCAGAAUGGACGUUCUUGAUUCAAAGGCCUCGAAGUCUUUGUUAGGCAUAAGCAAGGUAUCCUCCGGAAUGAUGCUGUAGGAAAUACUAUUAACUGGUCUAGCGUCCCGGACUUUGACAACAGCCUCCUUCUGCCUCUCUGCUUCCUUGCUAAGUCGAGGGCGGGUCUUCAAAUUAGGACAUGACCCCUUGAAACAACGCUUAUUUGCAGUGGCUUCAUCUUCUGUAAAUUUAUCUGCCUCUUCAAUGACACUGUUGGCCGUUGCAAGCCAAUUCUCAACGUUCUCUUCAAUCUCUUCUCCUUUUCUUUUAGCCUCAUCAACCUGGUGCUCUGUACUCACCCUCUCAGACUUUAGUUUCGCAACUUCAGUGUUGAGAUUCUGUAAGUUGCUCGUGUACUUACUCUCACGCAAAUAGCUAAUUUGGCGAUAUGCGGGAGGAGCCAAGCACUUUACAACUUCUAAAACAAUAGUAAGAAUGAUUUCAGCCAUCUUCAGUCCUUUGUCCUUGUCUCUCUAUCUCUCUUUUUCUGAAUUUUGGAAAAACAAUUCAACAAGUGACCGCAACAAGAUGGAACACAAGUGACCACAACAAGAUGGAACAAAAUACAAAGGAAAAAAAAUACAAAGAGUGGAUGGAGAAUAAAACAGAGACAGCGUCACAGCUAGACACAAUUAGAUAGAGAACAGAGGAAAACCAAAUAACAAGACUUAAGAUUACAACAAACAGAGGCCGAGGUGGAUAUAUAUACUUGGAGAAUAAAAUUCAAGAGCAAAGCGAGUGCUGGGCUGCAGUUUCUUAAGGAGAUUUAUAUAUCAUCCUCAAAAAUAAAUAUUUUAAGGUAGGUAUUUAGACUAUUUCAUCAUAAAAUAAAUGUAAUUAAUUUUCAUAAAUAUGUGAUAUCAAUAUUUAUUUAUUUUUUUAAUUACUGAUGGCCUUUGAAUAUACGAUACAUAUUACUAAUUCAAAAAAUAAAUUGUGAUUAUUUGUUAAUGUAUAUGAUUACUUGUGAUGGUAAACAAGGUAGAUAUGGUAUAUUUUGAAGUAGAAAAAAAAAAACAAAAGAAAAAACAGAGCUUUUACCAUUGCUUGCCUUAUCAUCUUUUAAAUUAAAGUUAUUAUUCUUUUAUUUUUCAAGUUGCCAACUCAUACGCAUUUUCUUUUAUUGAAUUUGAAGAUCAAUGAUUAUAAAUUUGUGUGAAAAUUUUAAGCCAAAAUUUUAAAUUAAAAUAAUCAUUAAGUUAUUAAAAAAUAAUAACUUAAUAUAACAAAUAUUAUAUCAUAUACUUUAUUGCUACAAGAUUACAAAACCUUAUAUUAUAUUAUGUUUCCAUAUUUCUCCUUUAUAGUGAAGACUCAUACUUUUUCUCUAGUAGAUGUUAAAGUAUUGGCUUAAACUUUUUAACCAGCACAGUAAACCCUUAAGCCUAUAUAUGCUAUAAUGUCCCUCUUCCCUCACAGAUCAAACACUAUUUUUCAAAAUAUUAUAUCUUUAGACUUAACAAAAUAUCUUUUAACCAUAUAUGUACAGUUUGUUUGAUCUCUUUUAAAUAUUGGAGAUUACAACAGAACAGAUGCGAAUUAGCAGUGACGCUGAGUUUAGAAGAUUGAAGUUAAGAAAAUUAAGGAAAGGGUAAGGAUGUAUUUUCAAAGUGAAUUAUUGAGAGAUCUUUGAAGAUUACUUCCGUCAAGAGCUGGGUCCUAUACUCUUAACCCUUUGUCCUCCAGUCAACCAUAAGACAAAUUAUUAUUGAGUGUGAGCAGACAUUAACCACCAAAUUUUCAAACUUGUGAUCCUUAUUGAAUCUGCAUUCCCCUUUACAAAAGUAAAAAAAAAAAGUGCAAAUAACGAAACAAAAUUCUGUUCCUUGACUGCAAGUGCUGUCGGCAUUUUCAGACUUGUAAGACCCUUCUACUUGCAAGAUACCACUGAAUUUGUCUUUUUUUUUUUAAAUUACACUAUAUUAUCUUAUAUUUUAUAAAAAAUUUAAUAAAUAUUAUAAAUUAUAAAUUUUUAUAUUUAAUAUUCUCAAAAUAAAUUAUCAAACAAAUGAUUCAUUUAUUAUUUUUUCUUUUAAAUUUUUGUUAUUAAGAAGAUUUUUGGAUAUUAAGCGUGAAGGGCUCCACUGAUCGCUAAUUUUGCAGCAAUUGCCCUUUUCUUUCUCCCCUAAUUGUUUUGAAAAAUAUCUAGUCUCAUUCAGCGAAGUAUCCAAGGCCAAAGGGCUAAAAGAUGGGACACCCACAUGUGCUUCUAAUUAAAAAGGGUUAUUUUUCGCUACCCCACAUGUUUUGACAAAUCAUAUUGUGUACCCAUUUGUUUCAACAAUCAUCAGUGUGCACCCAUUCUGUUAAAUUCAGCCGUUUAGUUUAACCAAUCAAGGGUAAAAUGGAUAUUGUACAAUAAAUGAAUAAAAAAUCAAGUUAAACUGUUUACACAGAAGAAAGAGAACAAGGAGAAGUAAAAGAACAACAUCAUUUCUGAAAAAACAACUCCAUCUCUGCAAAUCGUACCAUCCAAGAGCAUAAAUCAAAGCAAAUAUGGAGGGAAAAUAUUAUGUGUUGGAGUUGAUGUUCUUAUAUCCCCAUCUAGAGUAAGAGGUUUUGACAUGGUAGCGUCUUAUGACACCAUUGUAUUACAAGUUAUCAUUGGUAGUUUUUUGGCUGAAGGCUGGAAGGAGUCAAGAUCAUGGAUGCAACCAAAACCAUUGUCUUCUUCUAUGCCAAAAUUCAUCCUAGAAGCAUCAGCAAUUGGAAGCCCACCAUCACAUGGAAACUUAAGUGAAUCAUCUGGUGGACCUGGAAGCCCUCUAAACCACAGCACCGAAGGAGGCUGCAGUAACAGCAAUCCGCCAAGCAUACUGAAAUUUAAUGAGUUGGUGUUGUGUGAUUCAGCAUCAGUUUUUAUUUUUUAAAAUGCAUAUUAACAGUGACUGGUGGCAUUUUUGAAAUUUAAUGAUUUGAAAUUCAAAUUGGGGACAAAAUCACCAUUUCACAAAAUAAUUGUCAGAAUGGUUAAAAUAAACGGCUGAAUUUAACGGAAUGGGUGCGCGGUGAUAAUUGUUGAAAUAAGUGGGUUUACGGUAAAAUUUGUCAAAACAUGUGGGGGGUGGCCAAAAAUAACCGAAUUAAAAAAUCUAAAGUUAGGGGGACCAUAACUUACAUUUAAUAUAAUUUAUGAUAGGAGUCCACUUAUGUUACCACUGUACAACAGGUUUGGUCUUUUCUGACUCAAUUGCUGUAAAAGUUUGUUGAGCCCCUUGUACUCGAUAUUAUUUACUAUUUAUUUAUAAGUAUUAUAAAAAUUUUUGCUUACUUGUUAAAACAAACCUCUCGGCCCCACUUCCCUUUUUUUUUUUUUGAAAAGCCCCACUCCCCUUGUACUCGAUAUUUUUUACGCGUUUCUCUUUUCUCUCCCCCACGUGAACACUUUUGCCUUUUGCUCGUUCACGUGAAAGUCAGUUUAGAAUUUUGAUCUUAUUUCACAGAGCUAAUUUUUUUAUCACAAGCAGGAGAGAAACGGCAUUUCUUAGCAGUAGUUCAUCACUGUAGUAGCGAGCGAGUGAGGAACAAAAUUACCAACAAUUCUCAAAAAAUAAUUAUAAAAAAUGAUCACAUGCUAUAAUUAAUCAUGACACUUUGACAACAUUACUCCCACCGAGCAAAAGUUAACAGCAUCUUCUCCCACAUUUUUAAAAAAAAAAUUGUAUUAUAUAACCCACCAAAAGUAUAAAGAGUCUUUUCUUAUUAAAAUUAAUAAAUUACUCUUUAUAUUGAGAAAUUAAAAUUUAAAAUGAGAAUGAUGGGCGAUGUUCAUUUCUUAAAAUAAAAAUAAAAUUUAUGAAGUUUAUCUAUUUUUAGAAUUAAAGAAUAAGAACUUAAUUUCUUAUGGGGAGUGUUGGAAAUCAAGUUCUUAUUCCUUAAACUCUCAAUUUUACCUCACAAAAAUUUAUAAGUUCACUUUUAUCUUUAAUUAAAAUAUUAUUAUGUUAUUAUUAUGGUUAUUAUUCUUAUUUUUGUAGUAGUUGCUGUUGUUUUUGUUGAUGAUGAUGAUAAUAGUUGAUAAUAAAAUUAAUAAUAAUAAUGAAAAUAUAACUAUAAUUUUAACAGCUACAAUAAUAAUCAUUAAUAUUAUCGUUGUUGUUCUUAUUAUUAUUAUUAUUAUUAUUAUUACUACUACUACUAUCCUAUUAUAUUAUUAUUAUUAAAUAAUUAUUUUGAAUAAUAAUAAUCUCAAUUAUUAUAACAAACAACGACAAUAAUGAACUAAUGUCAUUUUCAUAACUUAUAACAAUUUAUUUUUUAUUUCAAGACAAAAUAAACAUAUUAAUAAUAAUACAGGUCAUUUCGAUUAUGAUUCUUACAGGUAAAAUAAAUAAUUUAUUAUGAUUUUCACAUCAUAAUCAUAAUUCUUAUAGUAUUAUCUUUAUUUUAAAAUACUUUUUUUAUUUAUAUUUAUUAUAAAUUAAUUAAAUUAUACCAAUGAAAAUUAAAUAAAAAUUUAAGUAAUAAAAAUGAGAAAAUAUAUGUUUCCGUUUGAAUAAAAAAUUAAUAAUAAAAUAUUUUUCUUAUUUUUUAAUAUUUUUAUUAUGAAGAAAAUAUAUUUUUCUUUUUUUAAUUAUUUUGAAAAAAUAUCCAGACUCAUUCUGCAAAGUACCCGAGGCCAAAGCGCCGAAAGAUAGGACACCCACAUGUGCUUUUAUUUACAAAAUCUAAAGUUAGGGUGGGUGUCCGAAACUUAAAUUUAAUAUAAUUUAUAAUUAGGUAAAAUUCUUUGAUUGACCCAUUAAAUUUUAUUAUUCUACUACUUAUUUUUAUAUUAAAAAAUUAGUAAUGUAGAAAAAUUCUUAAAAGUUAAUGGAGAAGGAAAAGAAAAAGAAAAAGUGUAAAUGAACUGUAUUCACCUAAGUUUCAAACACGUGGUUCAAUCUGAAUUCGCUUUUUUCAAAAGUAAAUACAAAAGAAAAUAUAAAGAAAAAAAAUUAAACGAGACAAAAAUCUGUGGCGUGGGUCAUUCAUAUCUUUUGUCAUUUCUUUUUUAGAGGUACAUGGGGUGGAUAUUUUGAAGUGACAAGCAGAGCUUUUACUGUUGCUUGCCUUAUCAUCUUUUAAAAUUAGAGUUACUAUUCUUUUAUUUUUAAGUAGCCAACGGAUGGUAGCCAACUCAUCCAUGUUCUCUAUUAUUGAAUUUAAAGAUCAAUGAUUUAUGUUAAUAAAUAUUUUGUUAACUAUCAAAGUUUUUAUUUCAAAAUUACUGUUAUAAUUCAUUAAUUUUUCAAUUUUUCCUUUUUCUAUUCACACAACAGAUUGAUUUGCCCUCCAAAAAAAUGUAUUAGAUUGUUUAAUAUUGUAACAUCAAGAAACUUAUAAUAAAUUUUUAAAGAGAUAACUAGAGAAUGUUAGCCUCGCAUCUACUCAAAAUUAAUAAAUAUACCACUAAUUCCUUAUUAUUUUUAUAAAACUAAUAACUUUCUUGGUAGUAUAAUUUUAUAGUAUUAUCCUUAUUUGUAAGUAUAUUUUUAUUCAUAUUUAUUAUAAAUUAAUUAAAUCAUAUCAAUAAAAAUUAAAAUAGAAUAAUAUGUUUUGGUGUGAAUAAAAGAUUGAAAAUAAAAAUAUUUUUCUUAUAUUUUUUGUUAUUUUUAAAUGUUUUUCAUAUAAUAAAUGUACAUUUUAUAUUCUUAAGAUGAAUUUUGAGUAAAUGACUCAUUUACUCAUUUUUUUUCUUUAAAUUUUUGUUACUAGGAGGAUUUUUAGAUAUAAUGAAAAUUGUAAGGUAGUAAGUAAUAUAUAAUAAUUUUAAUAGAGAAAAAUAAAAAAAUCUCUUAUUUUAAAAUAUAAGAAGAAAAAUAAUUAAUUUUAAGAAAUUUUAGAAGAUAUUUCAAUAUGCUGUGGAUCACACCCUCGAAUCUUUGUCGUCUCAGUCAACUAAAAGGACAGAAUAUUGAGCGUGAAGGCUCAACUGAUUGUUAAUUUCACAGCAAUUACCUUUUUUUUCUUCUUUUUUUCCUAAUUAUUUUGAAAUGGUAGGUAGCAAUUGCUUACAUCAAAAUAUUUAGACUCACUCGGCAAAGUAUCCGAGGCCAAAAUGCCAAAAGGUGGGACACCCACGUGUGCAUCUAAUUACAAAGUCUAAAGUUAAUGAAAAGAAAAAGAAAAAGUAUAAAUGAACGAUAUUCAUUCAAACAUCUAGUUCAAUAUGAAUUUCUUUUUACCAAAAGUAAAUUUGGGCGAGACUUUGCGAGGGGCCUCGGUGUGCCCGCGGGGAGUCGUCGGCUGAGCGCUGCCCAAAAAUAAGCGUCCGAAGGUCGUACGCUCGCGUGUGAGGCUGCCCUUGCUCGCGCGGCAACGUAGAGUAUGCUCACGCACGAGGCUGCCCACGCCCAGUCGCAAGUAGGGCAGCGCGCGCGACAAGUGGUUGCCCACUCUCGCGCACAAAACAAGCUUAUAAUAGAGCAGCUCCAGGCAUAUGAGGCAGUAGCCAUAAGACAUAAUUUUGAGAAUGGUGAGUGUGGAAACAGGGAGGAAUUUCAUAAGGUCAAAAAUGGGAUAUUGGCGGGCGAGGCUUUGCGAGGGGCCUCGGUGUGCCCGCGGGGAGUCGCGGGCACAGCCGCACCCCAAAAUAACGCCCCAAGGUCGGGGUGAUAAAAAGGCCUCAGUGCCCCGAGACGGGUGUGCUAUAGCCUUGGUGGGGGGCGCGGGCGAAGUUCGUCCGCCAGCGCGGCCGUGCCCGCAACUUCCGGCGGGCACACUGAGGCCCCUCGCAAAGCCUCCCCCUAUACCGAGUCCGGCGGACGAACUUCGCACGCGCCCCCCACCAAGGCUAUAGCCCACCCGUUUCGGACGAGACUUUGCGAGGGGCCUCGGUGCACCCGCGGGGAGUCGCGGGCACAGCCGCACCCAAAAAUAGUGCCCCAAGGUCAGGGUGCCGAAAAGGCCCCUAGGGGCCCCGAGACGGGUGGGCUAUACUGCCUCAAGGUCGGGUGCUAAAAAAGCCCCAGGGGCCCCGAAACGGGUGGGCUAUAGCCUUGGUGGGGGGCGCGGGCGAAGUUCGUCUGCCGGACUCGGAAUGAAGCGAGGCUAAACGAGAGCCCUCGGGUGCGCGGGCGAUGCUCGUAUGCCGGACUCAGAAUGGGGCGAGACUUUGCGAGGGGCCUCGGUGUGCCCGCGAGGAGUCACGGUGCCAAAAAGGCCCCAGGGGGCCCGAGUCGGGUGGGCUAUAGUCUUGGUGGGGGACGCAAGCGAAGUUCGUCUGCCGGACUUGGAAUGGGGCGAGGUUUUGCGAGGGACCUCGGCGAGCCCGCAGGGAGUCGGCGGCCGAGGACCAUCUUGAAGUCAUCCAUGAGGACGAUGGAGAAAUCAAGCUUUCCGCUCCACGUACUGAGUGUUAAGUGCACGCCUUGUGCAAUUCCUGCAAUUGACUUGGCGGGUGAGUUUACCGCUUUCAUCGUGCCUCUUUUCAUCUCGAUUCCCGAGGCCCGCUGGUCCCAUUGGACGAAACGGAACCACAAUCAGAUGCCUCGAUCAUGAGUUACGGCCAAAACCGGUAAAAACAACCCCGAUCUUACCCCCCGCUGGCGAUCAAAACCCGCUAACGCACUAGCGGAAAAAGGCCCCGAGACGGGUGGGCUUUAGCCUUGGUGGGGGGCAUGGGCGAAGUUCGUCCGCCGGACUCGGAAUGGGGCGAGGCUUUGCGAGGGGCCUCAGUGUGCCUGCGGGGAGUCGUGGGCACCCUGCCCUUCGGGGCCCAAAAAUAAGCGCCCGAAGGUUGGGGUAGCAAAGGCCCCAACGAAAAAAGGCCCCGAGACGGGUGGGCUAUAGCCUUGGUGGGGGGCGCCGCCGCACAAUUCAUCCUCCGCGGCCCUUUCCCCACUCCCCGGUGGGUCCGAGGUGUCCCGGAGAGUUACGAACUUGACGUGAUAAGUUGUAUAUUUCACGUGAAGUGUUACAUCCUUACUUCUUCAGCUUCCUUGUACGUUCACUUCUUAAGAAUCUGGCUAUGUUUUUUUAAUUUUAGGUAUUUUUAGUGUUGAAAUCUGGCUUGUAGUUGGGCUUAAUGAGUAGUGUAAAGAUUGUUGAUCAAUGAUUAAUGUGCUUGUUGCUGAUUUAUUUCUGUUUUUGUUUCAGAUUGGUGAGUGUCGCCUUGGUGGGGGGUGAGGGCGAAGUUCGUCCGCCGGACUCGGAAUGGGGCGAGGCUUUGCGAGGGACCUCGGGGAUGCAGCCCAGCCUCGCAUGCCAGCAGCACAUGCUCGCGGGCAAGGAUGGGCGCUCGCGCGGGGCAUACAGUAGGCAGUCGCGCGGUAAACUGCCCACGCUCUCGAGGCAAGCAGCUCCUAGUCGGGCAAGGCAGUGCGCGCUCGCCACCAAGGCAAGUAGCCCAAGCUCGCGCGAGGAAGUCAGGCCAGGCUUGUGCGCGCGCGUGGGGUGAGGCUUCGUAAGGGGCCUCAGUGUGCCCGCGGGGAGUCGUGGGCAUAGCCGCACCCAAAAAUAGUGCCCCUAAGGUGGUGGGGGGCACGGGCGAAGUUCAUUCGCCGGGCUCUGAAUGGGGCGAGGCUUUGCGAGAGGCCUCGUUGUGCCCACGGGGAGUCACGGGCACAGUCGCGCCCAAAAAUAGUGCCCCAAAGUCGGGGGGCCAUUGACUGGUGUACCACGAUCAUAUUUAACUGUUGUAUGCAUGAAUCCUUGUGACAUGACAUAUAGCCAAUUAAAUUCUGACAUGCGUGCAAUAAAGACUGUAAAGUGACCGGUUAUUCCGGUUGAAUUCACAAGAACUCUUGUUUGUGUGUUUAUGUUCCAAGUUGUGUACUCUUUGUUACGAGUUCUCUAAUUAGUCUGAUAUUAUCGCAACUGAUGCUCAAUAAUGUUACAGGUUUUAUAAUAUAUGUCACUGGUACGAUCGCUGUCACAAAUUUUGAACGAAAAGUUCCUAAUAAAACAAGUUAUUUAAUUAAUUAAAUAAGAAUAAAAUGAAUUUGUGAAAAAAAAUUUAAUUUAAUUUUGAAUUAUUUUAACCAAAAUUUAAGUUUUUUUUUUAAUUUGUUUAAGAAAAUGCGUUUUAAUUGGAAAAUCAAUGAAAAAAUUUAUGUAACAGAAAAAAAAAAAAAGCAAAACGUUUUGUUUUGGAUGGAGGCCAUAGAUUCCAAUAUUUCCUUCACGAAAACUACAAAAAAUUAUCAAAGGCAUCAAUUUCUACACUCUCACCGAGCAAUACUCUUAACCCAGAAGAAAGUGUAUAAACCAACCCCAAUCAGUCCAUCAAUGUCGUCAACCUCAUACAAUAUAAAAAAAAUCCGUGUCCAUUAAACCGUCUUUAUUGAGCCAUUAGACUAUUCGUGUCAUCUUCCCAUCUCGUUGUAGUAUUUUGCCGUUCAAAUCUAGUUAUCAAUUGGGGAAAAUGGGGACCAAUCUGCAAGUCUUUAAAAUAGAUAGGAACUUUAAUUGGGCACUAUGUUCACAGUGGUGGACCCAGCAGCAUUAAUAUUUAAGGUGGAGCUAUUUGUAUCUUAAAAAUGAUUUUAAAUAUUCUAAUUUCAAUAAGAAUAUAUAUUAUAAAAAUAUUUAUUAUAUAAGUUAUUGGACAAUAUAUUAUAAGUCAAUAUUAUAUAAUUACUUUGAACACUUAUAUAGCACAAUCCUAAUUUAAUUUAUUAUUCUCAUGACUUAAAUAUAAAAAUUUUUAUUUCCAACAUCUUAAUAAAUAUGUAGAUGAAUAAUAAGGAAAUUAACUUUGAGAAAAAAUUAAAUACAAAAUAUGUGUAAUACUUUUAAAAAUAAAAUAAAACAAAAGUAUUGCACAAGAUUUUUUUUGGGGGGAGGGGGGGGGGGGGGGCUUUGGCCAUUCUUCUUCUUCUUCUCCUUCUCUCUCUCUCUUUUUUUUUUUGGGUAGUAUUUAUGGAACAUUUUCUAUUGUUAUGUUCUCAUCACAAGUUAUUUUGGGUGUAAAAUUCAAUAUUGAAAAUAAAUUAAAUGAAAAAUUAGUAACGAAAAUUAUGUUAAAUUAUUUUUUUAUAACUUAAUUUUUAAUUAUAUUAUUGUGAGUAUAUGCUAAAUCUCUUAAAAAUAGAGUGUUGAAUAAUUUUAUUAGUUUUUUUUUAAAUAAAUAAAGUUAAGUAACUUAAAAAGUUUAAGUAAGGAUAUUUUUGAAUUUUAAUUAGUGUACAAAGUAAAGUUUAAUUUUUUUAUAAUUAAAUUAUAAACGUGAAAAAUAAUAGAAUGUUCAAAAUAAUAUUUAGAGUACUAAUAAUCCUACCUUAAUCUUUAUCAUCACAUUAUUUUUCAUAAAAAAUUUACAAUUACCUCUUUAUUGGAUAAUUUUGUUCCCUCUCUUACCUUAUGUUCCCUUACAUUCUCAUUUCUGCAUCACCAUUUAAAUUGUAAUCAUAACGUUAAUCUUUAUCCAUCACAUAUUUUGCCAAAUUUAUUCGCACCGCAAAGCUCUUUCCUUUUUUUUUUUUUCCUCCGUUAAGUUUGCUAUAAUGUACGUGAAGAAUAGUUAAAGAGCUCUUUCGUGUCCUUACCCUUUUUUUCGGGUUCACUUUUGCUGCUUUUUAACGUUUCUCCAGAAUUCACUUCAACAUGACUGGCGCAUUUUCUUCUUUCUCGUUGCAACAUCAACUGGGCCACCACCUCUUGCCUCUCCCGGUUCCCCUCAAUUUUCGUAUUCAAUGUCCACCGUUGAUUGUACAUUUAUUAAAACUCUGUGGUUAUUGUUUUUUUGCAUACAUUUAAUUCCACACGGUCUAUCAAUAGAGCAGGUGCAUCGUAGUUGUGGCCUUAACUGUUAUUGGUAACUCAAUAGCUAAUUCUAAUGUUUCAUCAAGCAGUUUAGAGAUAACCUCUCUCGCUGAACUCCUUGGAGUAACGCAAUCCAGUUUUCCAGUGCAAUCACCAGACAGUUGAACAGCUUCUGAAUUCCCUAUGCUUUUCUUGUUUUCUUUUCCAUGUAAAGGGAGCUCAGGCUUCAAUAUAUCUGGGGAUUGAUUACUAAUGAUAAAGACAACAUACGGUAGAGGACACAAAUUGUUAUUAAAGAAUGAUGCACUUUUCAACUGAGUAUAGUAAAGCAAGAAUGGGUAAUUAGUUUUACCUGCAACGUGAAAAUCUAGACUCCCGACGGUAACCGAUCUUUGGUCAAGCAAAUAAAGAAGAAGGCGAAGUAAAAUUCACUGAGUUGAAUGAGCGAUCAUUGCGUAUGGACUUGACUUGUUCAAUGGGUGAAAGACUGCUGAUAUAAUUAAAGACUGGAGAAUCCUGCACGUUGACAAGCAUCAUUUUUAAUCUAACAUAGAGUCUUAAAAACUUUGUCAGUGGCAAAUGAUCACGACAAGAAAUCUGAAGUAGAAACAGCAGAGCUCAACAAAUCACUAAGAGAAAAUAAGACCAAUAACCAAGCAGAUAAAAGAAAAGCAAAAUAACCCAUCUCAAAAUCACCGCAUGCACAAUUAGGGAUGGCAAUUUCCGGGUCCGGGUCCGGGUCCGGGUUUGGCUGUUCCGGAUCCGGACCCGGACACGAAAUUUUCAUAACCGGACCCGCAUUAAACCCGGGUUUUUUUAAUCCGGGUCCGGUCCGGGUUCAACCCGGAAAAAUCCGGGUUUCCGGAUUCCGGGUUUUGAACCCGGAUUGCUUAUUUUUUUUUUUUUAGAGACCAUAUAACUUAUUUUAACAAGGCACAGGGGAUGGGGUUUAAUGUUUUAAUCUUUUCCCCAACAACACACUACACAAUUCUUCCUAGAAUUGGUUCAAUAAAAUUUGAUGGAUAAAAGGCAAAAUAAAAGAACAUAUAACACAUCAGUGACAUCACUAGACUACUAGAACCAAAUUGUUUAACUUUGGUUCAUCAAAAUUUGCCGGACAUAGGGCAAAAAAACAGAACAUAUAAACACAUCCAGAACCACCAGCCCACUAGAACCAAAUUGUUUAACUUUGGUUCAUCAAAAUUUGCUGGACACAGGGCCAAAUAACAGAACAUAAUAACACAUCCAGCUUCUAAAACAAAUACAACACAAAUACACAAUAUAAAAUCUAAAAUUCAAAGUUUUAAAGUAAUAAACAUCCACAAAUACAAAUUCAUAACAUAAUUCUAUAAUUUAAAGCUGAAAUUUCCAGCCACUGCCCACUAGUGCUCAGAUUUCUAGCCACUGCCCACAGCCCACCAAUGCUCAAAUUUCCAGCCACCGCCCACUAGUGCUCAUAUUUCCAGCCACUGCCCACAGCCCACCAGUGCUCAAAUUUCCAGCCACUGCGGCACUGCCCACCAGUGCUCAAAUUUCCAGCCACUGCCCACCAGUACUAAAGACUAAACUCUGAAUCAUGCACUUCAUUGGACUGUUGUUCACUCAUCAAACUUUCAUCAAUCAAAUGCUCUGCAGAAAGUAUUGCUUCCUCUGGAAUUCCAUUUACAAAAAAUGUGUAAAUCAUAAACAUAAUGAACAAGACAACCAAUUAGUGACAAAUUGAUAAUAAGAACAAUACAACAAAUAAUUUGAUUCUAAUAAAUAAAAUUUUCAUACCUUUUAAGUUUUGUUCAAGCCAAAACCAAUUUUGAGUGCACACUAAUGCCUCUACUGUGGAUGGGUGAAGUCUACUACGAUGAGGGCUCAAAUGUCUACCUCCAGUGCUAAAAGCAGACUCUGAAGCAAUUGUUGAUACAGGAAUGGCCAAAAAGUCCCUUGCAAUCUUUGCAAGUAUAGGAUAUUUGCCUUGAUUAUUCUUCCACCAUGAUAAAAUGUCAAAUUGACUAGUUGAAGGCAAAGUACACUCCUCAAGAUAAAACUCUAAUUCUGAUUUGGAAUGAGUAUUUUGCGUGUUUUCAUUUCUAAAUAAUGCCCACUCAUCAGCCAUUUCAUCCAAAUCUAAAUCUAACAUAUUAGAGUCCUCUCCUCCAGCAGCUUGAGAAUUGGCACCAUUAACCCCCCCACUUGAAUUUGAUAGAUGAUUUACUUCAUACUCAUGUACUAAAUCAACAAAUAACUUACGCACUCUUUCAAUUUCAGAUUCAGCUCUUUCCCCAUAUAUUUUAGGAAAUAAAAAGUUAAUCAAUAACAUUUUACGCCUAGGAUCUAACAUAGUCCCCACUGCAAGAACUCCAUGAAUAACAUCCCAAUACUUUUCAUACUUUGCAAUCAUCCUAGUAGCCAUAUUUUUUAUCCCCUCAAUUGGUGAUUGCAACCAUGCAUUCAUUGACAAUCUAAUUUCACAAAUCUUGGCAAAAAAUAAAUUAGAUGUCGGAUAUUGUGUCCCCGAAAAAAGUUCUGUCAACUUAUAAAAGCUUUUUAAAUACUCACACAUAAGCUUUGACAAAUUCCACUCUGACUCACUAGGUAAAGAUGUAUAAUUUCUCUCACGUUCCUUUAAACGAUCAAAUACAUUUUUAUACAGCAAUGCAGUACUAAGCAUCAAGUAAGUAGAGUUCCAUCUAGUUUUACAAUCAAGUACUAAGUUUUUGGUUUCCUUAAUACCUAAUUGUUUUUUUGCAUUCUCAAAUUUUUCAACUCUAGCUGGUGUUGCUGUCCAAUAAUGAACACUAUCUCUAAUUUUCUCAACUCCCUUUUGUAUCACUGACAAACCAUCUCUAACUAUCAAGUUCAAUAUAUGAGCACAACAACGCAUGUGAAAGAAUUUGCCACCCAUAAUCAUUGAACUAGUAGAAAAUUUCCCCAACAACAAGGCAAUCAUAGAAUCAUUUGCAGCACAGUUAUCAGCAGUUACAGAGGACAAUUUUCUAUCUAUAUUCCAAUCCAUCAAACAAUCAUAUAACUCAUUACACAUUACCUCAGCACUAUGUGGAGCUGGCACAUAUAUAAACCUAAUAAUGUGAAAAAAUAAUUAAAAUAUUAGACAGGACAUUAAUUUAUGCUUAAACCAGAAAAAAAAGUUUCAAGAAUAUUACCUCAUAAUACGACUUCGCAACACCCAUGAACUAUCAAUGUAAUGUGCCGUAAUAACCAUGUAUCCUUUUUUUUGGUUACUAGCAGUCCACAUAUCAGUAGUAAUUGCGAUUCUACUCUCACAAGCUUCCAAAAUACCCAUUGUCUUUUUCUUUUCAACAUCAUAAAGCCUCAAAAUUUCAGCUUUGAUGGUGUUUCUACUAAUAGUCUCAAUAGAAGGUUGGAGUAGCUUCAACAAGUCAUAAAACCCAACAUACUCAACAAAUGCCAAUGGGAGCUCAUGUAAUACAAUCAUUCUAGCUAUAAAAAGCUUUACUGUAGCCAUAUCCCAUUUUGACUCAGAACUAAAAUUACUAAGUGAAGUGCUUCCAUCAACUUUAGAAGAAAAGGAUAGGUGCAUUUGCUGUACAUUCUUAAAUGACCUUCUAGGACAACGUUUAGCAUGGUUUAUUAAGUGAUUAGUACCCCUCGAAUAAUGUCCUUGCAUAACUAACCCACAGUAAUUGCAAAUUGCCUGAACUUCCUCACCCAACUUAACUUUUUUGAAAUGAUUCCAAGCAUCAGAGACUACUCUACCACCACUAUCUCGUUUUUGUGAAGUGACAGAAUUAGUAUUACCCCUACGGCCACGGCUACGGCCACGACUAUUCCCCUGAACUGCUGCUGUUGAAUUUGGUUCUAAUUCAACAGCUGUAUCGUUAUUAUUUUCUAAUUCUGUCCUAACUCUCACACAAACACUUUCAUCACUUUUUUCAGAGGCGUCCAAGUCGAUUCUUUGUUCAUUUUCCAUAUCAAAUUUUCACUCUACAAAAAUUAUGUCAAGAUAUAAUUAAUUCCAGCAACUUCUUCCAAUUUAUAUGCUAUGUUUAACCGUAAAAGCUAUAAAUAAUAUUUUAGAGAUACCAUUUCUAUUCUAUUAACAGCAACAAUAAAAAUAAUUCAAAAAAUAAACUAUAAAUAAUAAAAUUGAAGCAUAACAAAGUAUAGAUACUAAAAAUCACAGAGUUUAGCUAUUAAAGUCACAAAGUAUAGAUAUUAAAAUUACAAAGAGAGCAAAACAGAACACAGAACACAGAGCACAGAACACAGAACAUAUUUGAUUUGAAAACUCAAUGUUAAUGGGUCUUUUAAGCAAAGGUAUGUUAUCAAGUUUUUAUGCAACCUUAGAGAUAGCUAGUAUAUUUAAUCUAUCUCUACAGAAUUCUGAUACAGAUUAGUAUGAUUUACUGUGUUAACCGAUAUUAGACUUCUUUUGCAGACUCAAAAAAGUGCCUGCGACAAAUUUGCAGAUAUCCUAAACAAUUCUUACUGCAUUGGCAGAUUAUUCUAAAUUUCUAAUCGAGGAAAAGGAUCAGGAGUGUACAAUACUAACUGGAAAGAGUCAUUACUCUUCAAGCAACUCAGUAUACACAAGUAGUAAAAGCACAGGACAAGGUCGAACCCAAUUUCAGUGAGAGAAAGCAGAAGCAAGCCAAACAGAGUAUUAAUGCUAGUCAGGCUCAGAACUACCAUUCAUGCAGCUAGCCAUAGGCAGCAGCCCUUUGGCUAAUUAUACUUCAAAUUCAAUUCUAAGCUUACUCACUAACCAACUCUUAAUGCACAAAACCAACAAUACGCGGCAGAAGAAAAAUGGCAACUGUUCUGUUUUAGACAACAAUUUCUCCUUGUGCCAGAAAAACAAAGAACAAAAAGAGGCAAAUAAUUCAGAAAAACAAAAAGCUUAUAAUUAGUCAAGUGCUCUCAUAUGUCAUAUACAAAGAAAACAAUGUAUGAGGAAAAAUCAAAUUGUGCCAGCAGCAAUACAAGCUCAAAGCAUAACAGCACAAAAAUUGCAAAGAGGGAAAAUCAAAGUGUAAUAGAGCAUAAAUUGUAAAGAGAAAAGCCGAGACUCACAAAUAUUCACAGCGGCAACUGAAGUAUAUGCUGAUGAACACAGAACACAGCAGCGAGACUGAGGUGGAUUUCAACCCCUUUUGCUGGCCGCGACAGAGUGAGAGAUCAGACGAGUGAUGAAACGAACAAAGCCUCGCCGUGAAGGUGAUGACAAGCCACGACGCGAAGGAUCUGAUCUGAUCUGAAGAAGAGAUUACAGGAGAGUUGCAGAGAGAGUGAGAGAGAUUAAGUGACGAUGGAGGACUGAGAUGAGCAAUGAGUCACGGCUCACGGGUGAGAGAGAUUGAGAGAGGAACGGAUUACGGUUUACGGAUGAGACUUGAGAGAUUGAAAGGAGAAAUUACAGAUUUACAGUAAUUUUUUUUAGGUUGAAGGAGAAAUUUCGAGAGAGGAUUAGAGGAACGAGACGAGAGAGAUCUAGAUUCUAGGGUUCACUUUUGUUUUCGUUUUUUUUUUUUCUAUUUAUAAUUACGGAUUUACGGAUCAAAAUUAAUAUUAAAAUAAAUAAUAUCCGGGUCCGGGUUCCGGAUUUGCGGGUUCACCUGAAACCGGAUCCGGACCGGAAAAAUGCGGGUUGUCAAAAACUGAUCCGGAUUCCGGAUAAAAACUAUGCCGGUGCGGGUUGAACCCGGACCGGAUUUUCCGGGUUCAAUCCGGGUCCGAUCCGGGUCCGGGUUUGAUUGCCACCCCUAUGCACAAUUUAAGGGGUUUGUGACAUGGGUUUAAACAUGAUUUAACAAGUGCCACCUGUGAAUUGUCAGAGAUUGUAUUUUCAUACACAUGUCAAAUUUUCAAGUCCAACAAAUUGUUAUCUUUCUAAAGAGGCUAAUAUUAUUAUUAUCUAUGCAUAGCAUGCUAGAAACAAUUCAUAUUACUAGGGCCUUUGUUUUCUGUAAACAACAUAUGGACAGAGGAACAAAUCCCUGAGCUAAAAUCAUCAUAUUCCAAAAUAUUCUAUUAAAUCAACACCACAAAACGCGAACGCUAAACAGAAUUGGAGCAAUUUACCAAAGCUAUUUGUCACGCAAAGCACUAGUACCUCAGAACCCAAUUUGCAAAACAGCACCAAAAAUGAAAAAUAACAAAUGCCCAGAUGAAAUAUCAGGAAAAAAAAGGCUCAAAUCCAAAUUACAACCCCAUAAGCUGAAUCGUUCUCUUCGAACUGAAUUAAAAAAAAUUAAAAAAAUUAAAUAGGGAGAUUGACCUCAAACUUUGGAAACAGGAGCGACAGCGAUCUGUUUCUUGUCUGGAGUGUCCAUUUCUAUAAUCUACAUUGUCCAUUUUCAGUCGCUCUGCCACAGAGCUUCUUCCCUCUGAAGCUGAAGCUCACACACACUUGCAAAACGAAAGCAUUUUUAGUGAUUGAGAGGCGGGAAGGCGGGAAAAUGAGAGAAAUUUACAUUUGUUUUCUCUUGGUUUGGUCAUACCUGUGCGGGCCCCAGCUUGACAAGCGGUAUUAUUACUAUUUGUAUAAUUUAAAUGACGCGUGUCAGGCAAUGACGAUAAAAAAUAUAUACAUAUAUUGUUAAUUUUUCACUUAACAUUAAAAUAUCAUAUAAUUUUUCCAAUUUUAUGGUUAUUUUCUCGCCCUUAUGCCACAUUCUUUUGAUCAAAUAAUACAGUAAAACUUUUCUAUAAUCAUAAUAUUAGAGCCAAAUUAAAUUUGUUUCUGUAAAGAGGCUAUAGCUUAAUAAAGGUAAAAUUAUAAAAAUUAUUAUUUUGACUCAGUUAUCUUUAGUGCAAGUGAUAUAAAGUACAGAUAUAUGAUAAUUAAUUAAUGAACUAUGUCAAAUACAAUAUGCUGACAAUGAUAAAAAAGAUAGACAUAAUUUCAAGAAACUAAUACAUAUAUUUAUGUAGUGCUGGGAUUAUACAAAAUUAUCUUAAAAGUGUAAAGAUUAAAGUACUAUUAUGAUUAAUUUAAAAAAAUUAUUUUAUCUUAAUCUUUAAUGCAACAUAGUUUUUUUUUUUCUUAGCAACAAAGCAUUGUUCCAAAUAAUUAUUAUUGGAUUCAAAUCAUGUCCUAGGCAUUUUUUCUUCUGGUCGUCUUAAACUUUUAAUGAUUUAUUGGCAUGUGUCAUUAAUGAAAUUAAAUAACUAAGACUUUGUUUUAAUUAACGUUUACAUAAAUAGACAUCAAAACUCACGUGUGAUUCUUAUCAAUUUUUUUCCUGCAAUUUUUUUCCUCUCAACUAUUCAUAUUUUGACAUUAAUUUCCAGCAAAUUAUUAAAAAAGAAGAAGCGUAAAAUGGAGAAAAGUGAUUGACAACAAGGUUUGCAUCUUAAUUUCAAAAUUUUCCUUUCUUUGCUAUUUUUGUGGGUUCUACAAUUGUUGUUUUCACUCUCAGCUGCAGUUCAAUGAACUCUAUUAAUAACCAUGAAGCUUAAUGUAUCAAUUCCAGUACGACAAGUCCUUCUACGCAUGUUACAACACUUUUUUGUCAUUAUAGGUUGCAAAUGUUCCGUAAUGUACUCAUUCAUAUAACGGAAACGCUAUUAUCAAUAAUGAAAGUUGACUAAGUUUGUAAAUUCUAUUUAACGAAAAAGUAUCAUAAAUUUAGUUGAACAAGAGGUAAUUAAUAUGUAAUCUAUGAAACUAGGGUGUGACUAAGUUACAUAGUAAUGUAACUUACAUGAACACAAAAAUAAUUAGUUUUUAAACUACAAGUAGCUUUGAAACAGCUCUUAAAUUGAUAUAAGUUCUAUUAUUAUGUAACUUAGCAAGGUCAGAUAUUUUAAUAAUAGCUUACUCUACCGUGCCAAUGUCAUUAGUAUUAAUCUGUUGAACCUAAGACCAGAUCUAAGCUGAUCUAGAUUCCCCAAGAUCGCACACCACACAGUGAUUAAUGAAUCAAGAACAAUAAACCAUCAAAGAAUCGCAAACUUACAUGUCGGGUUACAUGUAAUAAAUGUUUUAAUUAUUAGAUGAUUCAUAAUGUUAGACCAUUUUUUGUAUGUUUUGUAAUCUACGUUUGAUAAUUUAAUUAGCUGAUAAACACUUGAAUAAUAUUAUUUUAUUAACUAUGUCAUUGAUCCCCAGGAAAAAAAAAAAAACCAAUUUGGGAUGUUAUACAUUGCUUUUUCAUUAAUUCCCAUUUUAUAUUAAUAUUUAUCACAUAUAUUCUUAGUAACUUGUAACCCUUUUUGCUAAGGGUGAAAUGUGUUUGUUACCCCUUCUAUUUCUGAGAUUGUCCUUACAAUAAGGAUGCCGGCCCCAAUGUCAAAAACUGCUAUCUCUGGGUGUAAAUUCCUUAUAAAAUUCUUUUUUAAUUGAAAUUACUUAAAUAAUUGAAGAUAAAUUAAUUUUUUAUUUCAUUCAAAUAAAAAAAAUCAAUUAAACACUUAAAUAAGCUAUCCUUUUAAUUUUUUUUUUACACCCCUCCAGUUUCAUAAUUUAUAUUUAUAAUUUAAAUUUUAAUGGAAAAUAUUUUUUUGAAAAAUUUUAAGAAUUAAGAAUUAUGGGGAUAAAAAUUAUGUAAUAAGAACAAAAUAAUUUAAAAUUUUAAAAUUUGCAUGCAUUAUAAACAAAAACUUGAAAGAAAUACUCUUUUCAGGGUGAAAUUUAAUGAGAAAAAGAUUAAUUUUAAUUUAUGAAUUAGUAUUUUAUAAGUUAAACUGAGGUAUUUCAAGAAAUAGAAUUCAAAAGGCAUGGGAACGAGGGCCUUGGGUUUCAUUUUGUUUUGUAGGAAUUGGGAAAAAUACACGGACAGACAAAGGGAGCAGUCAUUAUAAUGCUGUGAAGCUGGUCGGAGAUACCCUGCCCAUUUGUAGCUUAGACUCCUGGGGUUUUGUUCAUGUCUUUUAUGUAUCCCACUUUUUCAUGCAGCAGAUGUACAUAUGAUGAGAUGAAAACAACAGCAAAAAUUGCUGUCUCAUAAGAGAAAUAGUCAUACAUAGUUGGUUAGGCCUCCUGUCCAUUAACUUAAUAAUGAAUUUUAUGAAAAUUGAUUAUCUCAUUGGAAUUACAUAGAUAUUGGAAAACAUUACUCCAGCCCCACCAUCCCAACCAUUUACUUAGUUCAUCAGUAAAAGCUGGAUUUUCCAUUUGUUCUUGAGAUUCAAAUUAAGGCAACAAGUUGCUCAUUCUAUAUUAUCUAUGUAAUCCUGUAAAAGUGAAGGGCGUUUAGAUGUGGAAAAACCUUACUCCUGCCGCAACACCUCAAACAGAUUGUGAUCAGACAAGACUUAGUUCAUCAUUAGCGGUAGUUGGAGCUUCCAUUUGUUCUAGAGAUUCAAAGGCAGCAAGCUGCUUCCUCAGUGCUACUAAUUCUUCCCCGGCAUUGCAUAUGUAGCCUGAGGCUCGUCUGCCAGACAAAGUUGCUCCUUCCAUACUAUCU